This 133713-nucleotide long non-coding RNA is filed under the name Prunus persica (peach). RNAcentral describes it as "long non-coding RNA (PPER_LNC003097)". Lineage: Eukaryota; Viridiplantae; Streptophyta; Magnoliopsida; Rosales; Rosaceae. The record is from RNAcentral.
GGAACACAAUCAACUAUACCACAUAUGAGAUAUUGGCAGGCCAUGUUUGGAGAUGUGCAUCUGUGGCACGUGAACUUCCUGAUGAUCAAGAGACCAAACUACAUAUUGCAGUUGAUGGAAGGUCCAGACUGCAACCCCCACUCCCACCUGGUUUCUUUGGCAAUGUGGUUUUUGCAGGCGCACCAAUUGCUGCAGCAGGGGAUCUCAAAUCAAAACCAACAUGGUAUGCUGCAAGCUGUAUUCAUGAUACUGUUGUGCGUAUGGACAACGAUUAUCUUAGAUCAGCACUGGACUAUCUUGAACUUCAGCCUGACCUGUCACCCCUUGUUCGCGGAGCUCAUACUUUUAGGUGCCCGAGACUUGGAAUAACUAGUUGGUCUAGGCUGCCGAUCUAUGAUGCUGAUUUCGGUUGGGGUCGACCUAUUUUCAUGGGGCCUGGUGGAAUGGGAUAUGAGGGGUUGGCUUUUGUGUUACCAAGUGCAACAAAUGAUGGAAGUUUAUCGGUGGCCAUUUCUCUGCAAUCUCAACAUAUGCAAUCAUUCUCCAAGUUGUUGUAUGAGAUAUAAGGACAUGAAAUGCGUCGAAUGGGGGCAAUACGUUGAACAGACUUCGGGCUUCUGUGUGUGUCCUCUGAGUUCUGGGACUUUUCAUUGACUCUAGCCUAGCUGAUCGGAAAGCAGCUGUUUUUGAAAAGUUCAAGUGGUCUUUUGGUUAAUCUAUAUUAGAGUAUCUGUUUUAGAAACAACCUAGUACUGAAUAAGAUUGUCAGAGUAUCUGUGAGCUUUGUUUAUUGCUGUGGAGGACUUCUUUUUCGGAGUAUCUGUAGUUUACUGUGAUUGUUAAUAAGGUUUUCUUUCUCCAUGAAACAAAAACAUACUGAAUCACUUUGGUUGCAUAAAGAUUGGUGCCUUUGGUGAAGCUACACUUUGGUUAUACUUUCAGAAAUUUUGGUUUAAUGCAAGAGCAUUUGUAGUGUUUUUAUUUCUCACUGAAAAAGGAUCAAGAGGUUCUUCUUCUGGAGACUUCAGUGUCAAGUCUGCCCCUUUGCUGAAUUUUCCCAAAUGAGAAUUCCCAGCUGUUCCUUCAUAUGGAAAUCCAAAUUGCCUCCUAAAGACAAAUGCUUUCUUCUUCAAAUAAGUAACCAAGGAACGAAGACUUAAAGAGGCGUAUGGUUUCUGAGUAGUCUAGAAGGAGAUCUUGUUACCCCCAACAACUUCAAUACUCUCAGUUUGAAUGCUGCUAUGACUGGGUUGAAGCCUCUUAGGCAUGACCCUCCUUCUCAGUUGGGUAUAUCCCCUGGAAUUUAGGCAGUUUUUCUAUGGCUUGCUGGAUGUUAUGGAGGAGGAGAUGCUGUAGGGCCUUUGGAAGGGAAUUUCAGUUGAGGCGUUUUUGUUCACCCAUUCUCAACCCUGGGACUCAGUUCAGCUACCCUUUCUGCGUUUCCUUUGUUUGGCUUUUUAUGAAGUCCAUGUAUGAGGACCAGUCCACUGAUUUUGGAGACACGGGGCAGAAAUAAAAGUUGACGCCUUUUAUAUUCAACACCCACUUCAUUUUGAACAAAAAUAAAAAUAAAAAAUUCCAUAUUUAUGUGCUAAGUUGGUUAGUUUAAGUAAAAGAUGGCCACUAUGUGAAAAAUAAAGAGAAGUGCCUAAAUCUUUUCAAAAUAAAGCUCAAAAAGCAUUCAUUAGAUGUAUAAAGAGACUUUUUUACUACUAUAAUUCUUGGCCUAAAAUGUUUUAUAGGAAUUCCAUUUUUUAAGGGGCCUUGUGCUGUCGGCCGUCCUGCACACCUUGCGGGUGGGGGCAUGCCAUGUAUUAUUCCAAACUCGUCAUUUUCGUUACUUUUUCCUACAAUUCGAUCAAUGUCAUUCCUAUCCUCUUAUGUUAUACGUAAAUAUAUGUAUAUUUUAACGUUCAAUGGUUAGAUUACCGUCAUUUUACGUCAAUUUCGUCAAUUAUAUUAAAGCCAACUCGUCUAAAGUUCUACUAUCAAAUGACGGAUAUUUACAAUUGUUUGAUUUUGAAAAUUACCGUCAUCCAUAUAACUGACAACAACUAUUGAGCCUCAUCUAUACACAAGGACUAUAGCCUAGCGCGACUUUGGGCCUAAAUGCUUUUGUUUUAGAAUCUCUAAGCCACGCCCUCUCCUUUAGUCACACGCUUUACACAAAAUUUGGUACGAAAAUACCAAAAAAAUAGAGAUAGCUUAAUUGAAAUUGGUUUAUUCAUGGAAUUCAUAUAUCAUAAAAAACAAAAACAAAAAGAAUAAUAAAUAAAACAAAUCAAAAUAUUAGCGUGCAAUAUUCUGGCAAAGAAACAAUGGAAACUCCAGUUCUGAACUUCACCAAUUCCAUCAAUCCCAUGACCUCCAUUACUCGACCCUUGCCCUCUUUCGGUAAUUUUCUUCUGCCCCAGCUCUCUAUAUUAUAUAGCAUUAAAUAUGGUGAUUCUCCGCAUCUUCAAAUUAAAGGUAGUGAUUAUAAUAUCUCUCUAAUUAAAAAUAAUUUUUAUUAGAAAUCAUCCACUUUUUAACUGUCUUAAUUUUAGUCCUCAAACUUUCAAAUUAAUAAAUAUGACCUCCAAAAUUUUGGUUCACACAUAAGUUUGGUCCGUAUCAUAUUUUGGAGAUGUGCAGGCAACGCAAGUGACCUCCCCACUACAAAAAAAAAGUGGCAACAAUUAUCAUUAUUUGGUGACAUUUGCUGGGGUGACUAAAGUUUUAGCCAUCCCAGCAAAUGUCACCAUAUAAUGGUGAUUGUUGUCACUUUUUUUUUGUAAUGUCCCCUUAAUCACCAAACUAGUUAUUGCCACUAAUGGAAGGUCAAGACUGCAACCCCCACUCCUUCCUAGUUACUUUGGCAAUGCGAUUUUCACAACAACGCCAAUUGCUGUCGCAGGGGAUUUCCAAUCAAAAUGAACAUGGUACGGAGCAAGCCACAUUCAUGAUGUUUUGGUUCAUAUGGAUGAUCAAGGUUUUAAAACGCAAGGUGUUGAGGCGAGAUGCUUUUGAUCUCGCAAGGUGAAGUGUAACCCUUUCAAACAUUAAUUAUUUUAAUUAAAAAUAUAAAAUUAUAUAAAAUAAUUAUAAACGGGUACUAAUUGUCUCCUAAGUAGAAUAAUCAAGUAUUCUAGGAGGACAAUUUAGGGUACUGCAGAUAUGAUUUCUGGUUCAACAAUUCUGUAGAUAUGAUUUCUGGUUCAACAAUUCUACUGCGUGGGAAGGGCAUAAACAGUUGCAGGAUAUUUACCCUAAAUCUCACAGAGUCUUAAAAAUAGGCUAAAGACUGUUAAAUUGCGAGCAUGCCACUAUUAGCAGUGUAAAACCCUAAUAGAUCUUAAUGAAUUAAAAUAACUUAUGCACCAAGAAACCUGACUUCCAAUCAAACAAUUGUGCUUGGAAUAGAGAACUGGUUCAAUAUGGAUUUUUUCUAUGCCUCAAGAUAAACGAGGACUUUAUUAUUUCUCUAAUACAAAGCUAAGAGAUAAAAAACAUAAACAAGUAAACAAUGUGUCAAAUCGAUCAUAUCUGGUGAGAACUAAGACUGCCAUUACCUUUGAGUUGCCUCAUAGCCACUAGAACGAGAGUAUUUUUGUUCACCACUUUAACCCAAGUUGUACCAUUAUCACCCUUCUCAACACUUGACACGUAUCUGUGGGCAUAACUAUGGUUAUGCACAUGGACAGUGGCAAAGCCAUGAAUCUUACCACAAGGGGUCUUAGUGUAAAAGUCCAAAUAAAAAUUUAGGAUGGAAAAACAUAUUGAAAAUGAAAUCAUAGUAUUUUCAUUCAUAAUUCAUAACGGAAACAAUAUUACAAGCUAUAAUUGUCCAUGACGAGGUUUCAUAUUUUGAAAACGAAGCAUUAUAGCUUCAUUUUCAAUACAAGCAAAAAUAUCUCUCUCAAUAUAAACAAGCAAGCUAUCACUCAACCAUUGAUCUCCCAUUUUGUUCCUAAGUGGACCCUUAACAAUAUUCAUGAUAGAAAAUGCUCUCUUCACUGAAGCAGUUGCAACCGGUAAAACUAAAGACAAUGUAAUGAGCAAAUACACAUAAUUGAAUACUUGAUGCAUCCUUGUUUCCACCAUUUUUUUUUUUGCAAGAUCACCAAUCCCUUCCAGUUGAGAAAAGUCACUACUAGAACGCACAUAAUGGAUAUAAAUCUCAAGUUGAUCUUCAAGUGCCAAACGAUCCUCAUCCGAAAAGUCUUAAGGAUAAAAUUGAGCAAGACGAAGUAACUUUGAUUUAUCAAAAGCUAUAAAUGAAUCUUUCGGACUCAAACAUGCCAAACAAAUUAGCAAUUCGGUAUUUACCUCAUUAAAGCGAUCCUCUAACUCCGUAAUUUUUUCAUCAAUGACAUAAAUAAAGAGCUUCACACGAUAAUGAUGACGAUUUGUCUUUAUUGGAGCAUUACGCCUUGACCUCCCUGGAAGUAUAAAUGCCUCUUCCAUGUUAGGAACAUAAAUAUGAUGUUUUUCACAAAAAGAAAAUAUUUCAUUAACCAAUGUAUCGAACCCAUUAUUCCUCAUCUAAUGUAGCUUUUCCUUGCAUGAUUUCACUAAAGUCAUUGCAUUCACAAUUUCUUGAUCUUUCCUUUGCAAUGCUUGUGACAAAUCAUUUGUGAGUCCCAAUAUGGCUUUCAUCAAGAAAAGGUGAAACACAAACUCAAAAAUACGUAUUUCUCUCAUUAACUUAUUUGCUUCACCCGCAUUUUCAUUGGGAUUAUCAUCAAUAACCAUUUGAAGCACAUGAACCACUGAUGAAAACAUAGAAAUGAUGCUAAUCAAGGUACCAUAGUAUGAGUUUCAUCAUGUGUCACCGGCAUGUUUGAGACUUGUUUCUUGAUUUAAGUCUCGCCCCGUUAUAAGACAAUCAUGUUCAAAAGCUAUCACAAGCUCUUCAUAAAGUUGCCCUCUAAGUAAAUCACGCCGCUUACAAGAUGCUCCAACAUGAUUAACCACACUAUUAGUAGUUGCAAAAAAAGAGGCAAAUGUCUAUAUUUUUCUUUGCUACGGCAACAAGAGCUAGUUGAAGUUGAUGAGCAAAGCAAUGAACAUAAUAUACACAAGGUUGUUCUCUCAAUAUCUUUGUUUUAAGGCCAUUCAACUCACCUCUCAUAUUGCUAGCAUCAUCAUAACCUUGUCCUCGUAGCUUGGAAAGGCACAAAUCGUUGCGAGAAAAAAAUGUGUCAAUAGCAUCCUUUAGUGAACUUGAAGUAGUGUCAGUAACAUGUUGGAUACCCACAAAUCUUUCAAUUACAUGCCCUUUGUUAUCCAUAUAACGCAAUACCAUAGUCAUUUGCUCUUUCACCGACACAUCACGUGCUUCAUCCAUCAAUAUUGAAAAGAAUUUAUCUUUUAGACCAUCCAUGAUAGCAUCAAGUGUUUCAAGGGCAUAUGAAUUCACAAUUUCUUUUUGAAUGCAAGGAGCUAGUAAUUUGAGAUUCCCAGGAGCAUUUUCCAUCACAACUUCUCUAACUUUAUCAUCAUUAUCUGCAAGGAAUUGCAAUAGCUCCAAGUAAUUUCCCAUAUUGCUUGAAGUGGCACUUUCAUCAUGGCCACGAAAAGCAAGACCUUGUCGCAAUAAAAACUUAGUGCACUUGAUUGAUGCAUUCAAGCAUGUGCGAUAAGCCUUACGAGCUUGGUCGGAGUGUUUGCUCACUGCCGUUUCAAUAUGUGUAUUUCGAUUCAUCAAAUUUGUAGCAGCUUCUCUAGCCUUAUUAUGAACACUCCCAACCGGUCCAACAUGCAUCUUAAAUCUUCCUCUCCCUUUCUUCCAAUUCUUAAAUCCAUCUUCAGUGAAAGCUUCACUACCCACUUGUUCAAAAUUGGUUUAAAGAGAUAGCAAUAGAGACAAUAUGCCGCAUCUGUAGAUAUACUAUACUCCAACCAAUCAAACUCAUCAAACCAUUGGGGAAUGAAACGUUGAUUAAUUCCUGACAUAUUAGUUAUUGGGAAAUUAUGACCUCUAGGUUGACAAGGUCUUUUUUGUAGAUAUGAUCUUCGGACCUCAUCUCUCAUAUUAGCAUCAUAAUCUAUCAUUCGAGUUCUUAAUCCAGGGUCCGCUUGAAGAUUACCUAAAACACCAUAUAACUGACUUUGUCUUGAACUUGGAGUUCUUGAACUACCAACAUUAUUUGAACUAUCAACAUUAUCCGAACUACACGAACCUGAUCAUGAUUUUCUCUUAAAAAACCGUUCCAUAAUAUUCUACAUAUACAAAACAAUCAAAAUAAAUACUCACAAUAUAAACAAACCAUCAACAUAAUCAAAAUACAUAUGAAUUGGAUUUCAAUUAAAUUAAAUAUAUUCUACAUAUACAAAAUAAUGAAAAUAUAAACUCACAAUAUAAACAAACCAUCAAUAUAAUCAAAAUAAAUAUGAAUUGAAUUUCAAUUAAAUUAAAUAUAUUCUACAUAUACAAAAUAAUGAAAAUAAAAAAUUAUAAUAUAAUCAAACCACCAAUAUAAUCAAAAUAAAUAUGAAUUAGGUUUCAAUUAAAUUAAAUAUAUCAUACAUAGUAACAUAGGAUUUAAAACUUACUUGAAUUGUGAAAUUUCACAAUAACAAUGAGCAAAUACAAAGAGAGUAGCUAGCGGCACCACCACAACGACGACGACGGUAGCACAAAGGCACCUCAAUUGUGGCAGCCAGGGAGGGGAUUGAGUUGAAGGUUUUGGGGGGGUUGGUGUGGGGUGGGAAUUGAGUUGGGAACUUAGGGUUGGAGGAGGAGAAAACAAAAGAAAAUUGGGAGUUUUGGAAUGGAGGAAUUGGGUUUGUGGAAAAGCAAUGGCUGGAGGAUACGUUGGUCAUUAUUUUUUUUUUUCAGACCUGGCUCAAAACGACGUCGUUUUUGCCAGGUUAUUUACAAAAAAUUCACUGUGCCAAAACAACGUAGUUUUGGCCAGGUCAUUUAAAAAAAUUCCCUGAGCCAAAAGGACUUUCCUGAGCCAAAACUACGUCGUUUUGCCCAGGUUGUUUAAAAAAAAAAACUCGCACGCCAGUCAGCCUUCUUCUUUUUCAGCCUGCGAACCUUCCUUCUUCUUUCAGACAUUUCGUCGACCACUUGGUGUGCAGCUCCAAGAGGUCGCACCAGCAGCUCCAAGGGACCUCUAAGCCUAUUUCCAUGGCUUCCAAGAGGUCGUGCGACCCCAUUGACCCCACUGUGGCUCCGCCUCUGCACAUGGACACUUGUCAAGUGUUGAGAACUAUGUGUAUCUUUUUAUGUUUAUUAAUAAAAUUCACUCGUAUCAUAGAGUUUAAUAUAUAAAUUUUGCCCAAUCGACUUUCAAAUUCUAGAACCGCCACUAGGGUGUAGUGUGCAGUUCGAACAUUGAGGCGGUCAUAGGUUUUGAGAAGGAUAGGCCACUGAGAGGUGUCCAUGGAAGGAGUCGGGGUUAAUGAAGUCUUUGUCCAAAUCAUUGUCUUUAUGUCUAUGCUUUUUCUUCUUUUUCUUCUUUAUAUCUGCCCUUUUCGCCACGGCCUUCACUGGGGUUCGAUCAUCAUCAGAAGCCAUUUCCUGCACAUUAGACAGAACAAAAAUGAAAAAAAAAAAAAGAAAAAAAAGAACACUAGAACAGCAGGUAAAACCCAACAUCAAAUACAAAUUUUAUUCUGGGCAAAAUUUAAGAGAAAAUAAUCGCUCUGAUUUUUCCAUUGUCAAACAAAAAAAACACUUAAUUAAUCAUUACCCAUAAUAGAGUUAUAUUAUAUGCUUGGGGAUGGUGGCUUUCCUAAACAAAGCAUUAUCAUUAAGUUCCCAGUAAAGAGAUUAACACAAAAUGGCAGGGGUUUUACAAAUAAACUAGUUUCAGGUGCAGUGACAUGUUAGGAACCCUUAUCAGCUUCUGAAGACAAAAGAAGAGACUUUCACAUACAAAUCACUUGGAAGUAUUCAUAACAGAAAACCCAAAAGAGGGCAAGUAGAAAAUCAAUACCUUUUACUUAAAAGCACCUAAUCGGAAUGGUUCGGCGGCGGCAGAGGUAGGGGUUUUAAGAAGAGAAAGAGAGAAGAGAAGAGGAGAGAGUGGCGGGAGUUAGGGUUAUGCAAUUAACCCUGCUAUUUUAUGUUUUAUUAAUUACAAUUUUGGAGAUUUCUCACCUGUUCUUUUCUGGGAUCAUCUAGGAUAGAAAAAACCAAAUGUAACAGAUCAGAACCAUGAACAAACAAACUUUUCUUUCUCUUUUUCAUGUCAGUUUCAGAGGAAACAAACAGAGAAUUGGAUAGAGAAAUACCAUGGUUGCGAAGUUGAGCUGACGACUAGAGGAAGAGACGGCAGCAAACGAAGAAGGUCGAGGUCUCUCUCGCACUCGUUACCGUCUCCCAUGGUUGGAAAUUCAGAUCUGACCGCAUUGAGUCCGAUUUGAGAGCUCGAAGAGAGAGAAGGCUUGGCUGCCGGUGAAGAUGGGGUUUCCGUCGGUUAGGUGGGUGGGUGGGUACCUAAGGAAGAGAAGCCAUGGUUUUUGGUGUGAGUUUCUGGGACUGAGCUUGCAAUAUCCCACAUUCAUCUUUUCCCAGCUCUGUAAAUUUUCCAUCUCCAGGUUGAAAUGCAAGCUUUCGCGGGUGGGAGGCAAAGAAACCCACUAUAGCAGGUUAUCCAGUUUUUGUGUGUGGUGAUUUUAGUGAUUUUUCUUCACAAAUUAUUUUGAGCCAUUAGAUCAAAACUUUUAAAUCCAACGGUUAAAAGCUUUGAUGUAUAAGUAUUGAUACACCAGAGCAUAUUAGAAUUUUCGCUAGAUGACAUCUGUGAAGAAGUCACUAUAGAAUAGGCCUCAUUAUUUGGUCUGUGGGCUCAUGGGUCGAUAGGGGCUUGUCCGGCCCAUCGAAAAAAAGCCCGGCCCGGCCCAUUAUGGGCUUUGAGAUGGCUUGGCCAGCCUUGGGCUGGGCUAGGCUUGGGCUUGGGUGUCUCAAGCCCAGCCCAACCUGAUUAAGCCCAAGAAAGCUCGGCCUGGCUCGUUAGGCCCACAUACAUAUAUAAUUAUGUAUAAAUAGGAGUUUAGGUUUAGGAUUAAAUCACAUAUAUAAUUUGUUUCAUUUCAUUUACUUUUCUUUACUCAUUCCUAGUUUAUAAUUGGAUGAUUAACACAUUAAUUUGUGUCAAUUAUUAAUUCAACAAUUAUAUAUAUAAAUAAGAUGAACAACAUAUCACAUCACCAAAUAUAAUCAUAUCAUGAAACAUAAUCGUACCACCAAAUAUAAUCAUGCUUUUCUUGAACACAUCACCAAAUAUUUGCAUAUUUAUUCAUACCAUCCUUUAAAAAAAAAAAUUUGAUACUUAUUAUUUUUUAAAACGUAUUACGGUCUAAUUAUGUAAUAACCUCAAAAAUAAUACUUUGUUUUAUUAUUUUUUUGGAAAAUCUUAUUAAGUUGUGUGACUUUAUUUGGUGUUUUAUGAAUUUGGUUUGAUGUGAAAAUAUUGGAAUUAAGUUAGUUUAAUUUUAAAUUUGGACUAAAAUGCCCUUAUGAUUAAGUUUAUAAUUUUUUUUUAAUGAAGUAUGCCCAUUUAGGCCUGACCAGUUGGGCUUAGCCUUGCCCGGCCCGAUGGGCUUUCUCAAGUUUGGCCCAUGGGUUGGGCUUGGACUUUGAAUUUUCUAAAAAAAUCCGGCUUGGCCAAGCCAUAUAUUUUCUCUCUUCUUUUUAAAACCCGGCCCUGCCCAGCCCAAGCCCAUUAAAUUUGGGCCGAGCUAUACGAGCCCUACUACAGAAUGUCUUGAUUUGACAGUUACGUGGGUCCCAUACUUUUCAUGCAAAUUGAUCAGGAAGGUGAGAGGGAAGGGCCAUGAUGUUUUUUGGUUUUCUUAAGCAAUAGUUCUUGAACUAUACUCGUAGUUAUAUUUUGGUCACUCAACUCCAAAAAUAGAUGCAAAGAUCCCAUAAUUAUGUAUGGUGUUACAUUAGUAGUCCCUUUCGUCAAGUCUGUUUAUUUUUUCGUUAAAUCUAUGGAUAAACUUGAAAAUUCAUUCCAAAUAUUUAUAAAAACGAAAUAACAAAAAAUAAAUAAAUAAAGGUUAUUUGUAGCAAUGGUCCCUCAACUAUAGUCAAAGUUAUAUUUUGGUCACUCAACUCUAAAAAAUAGUUACAAAGGUCACUCAAUUAGAUGUAGUGUUGCACCAUUAGUCCUUACCGUCAAGUCUCUUUAACAGUAAAAACUAAUAGUGCAACACAACACCUAAUUGAUGAGCUGUUUGGGCCCUUGGCUGAUUGUUUCAAGUGGACAUACUUUGGUUUUGAUUUGAAUGGCAGAAGUGGUAGCUUAAUCCUACAAGUGCAUUUAUUGACCGAAAGGCAAAGGAUGGGACCAAUAAAUGUCUACAUCUAACCCAAAUAAGCUAGGCCUGCCCUUUCUUUUUAUAAUGAAUUCUCCAUACCUGUUCUUCACAAAUAUAUAGUGCACUAUUAAAGUCGGUCGCUCAACUUCGAGUGGUAUAACUUAAAAAAUAAAUAAAUAAAUAAAUAAAAUCGAGUAAUAUAAAGUAGGAGCUGAGGAAUCUUUAGAAGAUGAUAUUGUGAUGGAAAAAGAAGGUGAUUUUGAGAACUUGAGAGGGCCUUGGAUGGUUGUUCAAAAUAGGAGAAAACCGAAAAGUUGGGUUAAGGAUAGAGGAAACAAGGGAGCUGGAGGUCCCAGCAUAGGCUGUCGGUUUGACACGUUAAGAAAAGUGAAUGAAGACUUUGAUAGAAAUGGAGGGUUUGAUACUGGCAAGACUAAUUAGUUUGGGCCCAACCAUGUUGGCACAUCUAAGAGCACCUCCACCGCCCCGUCCACAGCCCCUCGAAGCUCAGGUUAGGCCCUCCAGCGUGCAGCCUGAAGAUCGGGCAAGUCCUGGGGCCCACUAGUCUGGGCAAGUCCAAGGGCAAUUCUUGGUUGGGCUCCAGCCCAAAGUGGUUGACGUCAACGAAGUGAAAUUAGAUUAUUAUUUUCUUUUACCGUUGGCGCAUGAAAUUCAGAUUUUUUUUUUCUUCUAUCAAUUUUUUUAUUUAUUGGGAUUUUCUAUUUAGAAUUACUAACGUACUCUUUUAUUUAGUUCAGUUGUUGAGAAGCACGAUAAUGGGCACUAGAAUAUCAGCCAGCGAAUCAUAGGACACUAGCCAGAUCAACAACAAUAGCCCAAUUGAUCAAGAUAAUUCUUUUCAUUAGUAUAGAACUUUGUUUAUGAUCUUGCGCUCUUGAAAAUCAUGUUAGUAUGGCUUCCUUUAUUUUUGGUAUGCGUUCUGUUAAAUUAGGUAAAUUAUGUAUACUUGUAUGUUAAAUUUAUGUACUAAAAUUUUAGGAAUGGAAGAAUCUUCUGCAAGACUAGACAAUAAUCAACAUGAUGAUGCAGUUGAAAUGAAUUUUAAUGGGAUUGAAAAGGAAAAUAAUGGGGAUGAAACUGAAAAUAAUGACAUUGUAAUGAGUGUUGAAGAAAAAGUACAAGACCCUCGAGUUAGAAUGAUUUUUGACAGUGUUGAUGAGGUGAUCACAUAUUACAAACAAUAUGGGAGGCAAUCAUAGUUUCCAGUGAUAAGGAGAUCAUCAAGAACUGGAGAUGAUGGAAAUUUCAAAUAUGUUACUAUUCUUGUGCCCAAUAAGACAAAUCAAAAAGUAAGUCAAGUAAUCUUCUUAAAUCUCAUCCAAGUAUAAAGAAUGAUUGCAAGGCUCAGCUUAGGGCAGGUUUAUUGAACGUCUUUUUUGCAGUUUCUUUAUAUUUUAAAUAAAUUCAGAGACUCUUUGGAUUCUGCGUGUAGUUUUCACCAAAAUUUCAUACACGCGAUUAGAAAUGGUAUUUCCUUACUUGACUUAUAACCGGCCCAUUCCCAUCCCUAAAGAUCACCAAUUUCAUUUUCAAUUAUUUUUGUUUGUAAAACUUAAGAUACUAUAUCUCUAGUAAUUCCAACACAAGACAAGCCAAUUCAAAUGAUAAUUUCAUGGAGUGAAUCUCUUUAAAAUAAGUGGUGAAGUAUUACUUUUUAGGAAUAGUAAAUCAAAUAAAUAAGCAUAAGUUAUUGGUUCCAAGCAUAAGUUAUUGAUACUAUUCUCUAAAAAGAAGAAUAUCAAUCAUAUAUGUUUAUCUAUAUUAUAACACAAAAAUAAAUCAUACCACUUAACCGUAACAUUUUAUAAUUUCUUGAAAAGUCCAAACCUUUUAAAUGAGGUUUCGUGUGAUUUUGUCAGGCUGAGAGGUCCCAUCUAAUGGUAGAAUUUUCCCAUAAAGGAGAGGUCCGACUCCCAAUGGAGACCCAUCGACCAAAAACAGUAGAGUAAUCCCCGCAAAGAAGAAACAAUUAAUAUUCAAGUGAGUAUGCCACCUAAAUAAUAAUGAGGACAUCGUGGAACAGUUUCGAACCACGAUCUACUUUGUUUUCUUCUUAUAAUUGUGAAAUUGAUACCGUUGAUGCAUUGAGGACAGAGACAAUUCGACACUGACAAGGGUCUUUAUUUGAAAAUGCUCAGGGGGUGAGAAUGAAUACGAUAUCUACCUAUCACAUCACGUGAUAAAAAUCUAAUAAGUAUAAAAUUAUUCUUUUCAAUUAGAGGGUGAACUCUAUUAUAUUAAUUGACUCUACUUUGAUUAGAAAAAUAAUACAUAAUCUUAGAAGGGACGUUUAGACUUUGCUUUUUAAUUUUGUAUUUUUAUAGAGUUGACAUUGAGAGAGCAGAAUUAUGGUUUGAAAUGCUCUUAACUACUACUAUUUAACCACGUAAACUAUAAGCUAUAAACCAAUAAUUUUUCUAUGUUUGAGGCACAUAGUAUUUAUGUCUUAUGUUAUGUCACAUGUAUUGAAAAAUAUGUCUACAUGGGAUGGGACCCUGGUGUACCCGCACAUACACAAAUUUGUCCUUGCUCAGUCGCUACAUAUAUGGAUGUUAUUACAACGUCGGUAUACAGAGACGUGCUUUGCCUUCUUCACUGCAAAGAAGGUUAGAUAAAUAGUUUGGUUUGGAGGUGAGGUGAGGCCCAGCAAAAAGAUGGCGGUGGUCAACGUGAGCGUGAGGGAGUCAACGUUGGUGAAGCCGGCGGAGGAGACGCCGAGGCAGGUGCUGUGGAUGACCAACUUGGACCUUGUGAUUUUGGGCAACCACACGCCAAGCGUCUACUUCUACAGGCAGAACCAAAACAGUGUGCACGGUCAUCAUAACAACUUCUUCGACCCGCAGGUGCUCAAGCAGGCGCUAAGCAAGGCCCUCGUGCCCUUCUACCCGUUGGCGGGGCGCCUCGGGAUGGAAGGCAACGGCCGCGGCGAGAUCGACUGCAAUUCGGAGGGCGCGCUGUUUGUCGUGGCUGAGACGGGCUCAACCAUCGACGAUUUCGGCGACUUCGCGCCGACUCUCGAGUUCCGGAAGCUCAUCCCAGCCGUUGAUUAUUCGACAGGGAUAUCAACUUAUCCCCUCUUGGUGUUGCAGGUAUGUUUAAAAUCGCUAGUGUCGUUUCAUUACUUGAUCUUGACCGUAGAUUAAACGCUUCGGUCAACAUUUCACCCAGCUGACUUGGUUGAAUGAUAGUUGAUGAUGAAAUUUUAUUUAUUUGGUAAUUGAAAGGAUAACAAAAAACACAAAAAAAGAGGAAAGCAGAAGCAUCUGGUGGCACUGCCACACUUUAUCAUGAAAUGAUAUUUGUAUUUAUUGAUUAAUAUUUGAAUUAAUAAAAAAUAUUAACUAUGCCGACAGAGAGACUAUAUUACCUAAAGAGUGAUGCUAUUUCUCUAUUUUCUCACUCAUCUUAUUUUCCUAUUCAAUAUAUAAAUUUUAAUAAAUACAAUUAUAUUUUUUCACCCUCUAUUAUUCCUAGAAUACCUUUUACAAAAUUAAAUGAAAAAAAAGUUAAUCAAGCUCUCUUCUCCAAGUCACCCCCAACCUCUUGCUCUCCUCUGCCAUCACCACCAUCCCUCCAACCCAUCUGUAAAACCCAUAAAUUUGUUUUCUCCUAAUUGAAUUUUGCUUUAACAUUAUCUGCCCAAAUUAAUUCCCUAUUUAUUUACAUAAAUUUCAAAUGAAGCCUGCAUAAUAAUAACUCACCCAACAUCCCCUACACUGCGAUAUUCCAAUUUUUAUUUCUGUAGUUUCAAAAGAGCUCUUCCUGUUUUUAUGAUACUGCAACAGCAUAAAAAUUCCAGUACCACAUGUUUUGGCAAACUCGUGCAAAAUAACAAGCAGCUGGAAAAAAAAAAUACAAAUGUUUCAGAGAGUGAACCUUAUUUUACUUGCCUAGAUAAAACUGACCAAGAUUGAAUUAAAGAUGAACAUCAAAUGGUGUUGAUUAAGCAAACAGAGGAUGAAGAGUCCAAAAAAAUGAUAAAAGAAGCGUCACAAAUAGAAGAAUUUAUUUCAAUCCUUAGAAGUUAUUUUACAUAAGGAUAAAUUUGUCUUUAAAAUUUUGAGAAUAAGAUAGGGGGAAAAAUAGGACAUAAGGUGAAAAUAGCAGCAUUCUUCUUAAAAUAUGUAUUUCGGAAGAAUUAGAGCAUGUGCGACACUUUAAUAUCCAGGUAAUUAUGAUUAGAUGGAGUUUAACUGAAUAAAAACGAGUCUAUUGUGAUUAGAUGGGAUCUUCUUUUCCUCAAUAUCAACUGGCUGAUUUAUAUGCUGCUGUCAAGUCCAUUUACUUCAACUAUCUACUUUAGUACUUUUGGAAACUACUUUUCCUCACAGGCGAAAAGUUUUGUUGUUUACGUAUACAAGUUAAGCUGCCAAUCUUGAUUCCAAGCAUAAAUGUUUGUCCUGUUGUUUCACGUUGUAUCAGUUAAUAGAAUUUGGAGAACCACCGGCCAAAAACAGUAGAAUAAUCCCCGCAAAGAAAGGAACAAUUAAUAUAUACUAUAAAUGAUAAUGAAGACACGUGGAGCAGUUUGGGUGGAGACAUUGUUGGGCAGUUUCAAACCACAUACUAUUUUGUUUUCUUCUUAUAAUUAUGAAAACGAUACCCGUUGAUGCAUUGAGGGACAGAGACAAUUCGACAGUUGACGAGUGUUCUUUACUUUGUAGUUUGUAUGGAUUCUUCAAUACUUCGAGUCCAACCUGCAUUCGUCUGUCUACUUGUUGCCACUUAGAUGAGCUUAAUAGGGAGUUUUAAUUACAAUUAUGGUAGUUAAUAAAAUGUUUGAAAUAAAUUAUAAAUAAAAUAUGAAAUUUAGUGACAAUGAUGUAAAAACGUAGGAAUAUUAUGACUUCUUAUAUCAUACUGGUCAUUUAAAUUUGAAAUUGAAUUUUAUAUAUAGAUUUAUAGAAUGAUGAGUAUAUGUUUAGGAAAUAGAAAAUGUAGGGACUUAUAUUGGACAAGCCCUAAUUCUUUAAGCCAAGUUAUUGUCUUCCUGUUAUAUCUGAGUGGAUGCGUUUUCUUUUUGGUGGAUUAGAGAAUAGUUUUACCCCACUAUACAAUUCCAAGUGCUCACCCCUUCUUUUAUUUCUCUUGCUCAUAAUAUCAUCCUGGAUAUGACUUAAACUUACAAAGUAUGGUUCGGGUUUUACUCUGUUUAUGCAUCAGGUCACAUACUUCAAAUGUGGUGGAGUGUCACUUGGUGUUGGCCUGGAACAUCGUGUAGCAGAUGGCCUUUCUGGUCUCCACUUUGUAAAUACAUGGUCUGAUAUUGCUCGAGGUCUUGACCUGACAAUUCCACCAUUCAUUGACAGGACAUUACUUCGUGCCCGAUACCCACCACAGCCUGCAUUCGAUCACAUUGAAUACCAACCCGAUCCACCCAUUAAAACUGGUACAAAAGCUGUAGGUGAUGAGAGCGCAACGGUAUCCAUUUUUAGAUUGACAAGGGAGCAGCUCAACAUCUUGAAAGCCAAGUCUAAGGAAGAUGGGAACACAAUCAACUAUACCACAUAUGAGAUGUUGGCAGGCCAUGUUUGGAGAUGUGCAUCUGUGGCACGUGAACUUCCUGAUGAUCAAGAGACCAAACUACAUAUUGCAGUUGAUGGAAGGUCCAGACUGCAACCCCCACUCCCACCUGGUUUCUUUGGCAAUGUGGUUUUUGCAGGCGCACCAAUUGCUGCAGCAGGGGAUCUCAAAUCAAAACCAACAUGGUAUGCUGCAAGCUGUAUUCAUGAUACUGUUGUGCGUAUGGACAACGAUUAUCUUAGAUCAGCACUGGACUAUCUUGAACUUCAGCCUGACCUGUCACCCCUUGUUCGCGGAGCUCAUACUUUUAGGUGCCCGAGACUUGGAAUAACUAGUUGGUCUAGGCUGCCGAUCUAUGAUGCUGAUUUCGGUUGGGGUCGACCUAUUUUCAUGGGGCCUGGUGGAAUGGGAUAUGAGGGGUUGGCUUUUGUGUUACCAAGUGCAACAAAUGAUGGAAGUUUAUCGGUGGCCAUUUCUCUGCAAUCUCAACAUAUGCAAUCAUUCUCCAAGUUGUUGUAUGAGAUAUAAGGAAAUGAAAUGCGUCGAAUGGGGGCAAUACGUUGAACAGACUUCGGGCUUCUGUGUGUGUCCUCUGAGUUCUGGGACUUUGCAUUGACUCUAGCCUAGCUGAUCGGAAAGCAGCUGUUUUUGAAAAGUUCAAGUGGUCUUUUGGUUAAUCUAUAUUAGAGGAUCUGUUUUAGAAACAACCUAGUACUGAAUAAGAUUGUCAGAGUAUCUGUAAGCUUUGUUUAUUGCUGUGGAGGACUUCUUUUUCGGAGUAUCUGUAGUUUACUGUGAUUGUUAAUAAGGUUUUCUUUCUCCAUGAAACAAAAACAUACUGAAUCACUUUGGUUGCAUAAAGGUUGGUGCCUUUGGUAAAGCUACACUUUGGUUAUACUUUCAAAAAUUUUGGUUUAAUGCAAGAGCAUUUGUAGUGUUUUUAUUUCUCACUGAAAAUGGAUCAAGAGGUUCUUCUUCUGGAGACUUCAGUGUCAAGUCUGCCCAUUUGCUGAAUUUUCCCAAAUGAGAAUUCCCAGCUGUUCCUUCAUAUGGAAAUCCAAAUUGCCUCCUAAAGACAAAUGCUUUCUUCUUCAAAUAAGUAACCAAGGAACAAAGACUUAAAGAGGCGUAUGGUUUCUGAGUAGUCUAGAAGGAGAUCUUGUUACCCCCAACGACUUCAAUACUCUCAGUUUGAAUGCUGCUAUGACUGGGUUGAAGCCUCUUAGGCAUGACCCUCCUUCUCAGUUGGGUAUAUCCCCUGGAAUUUAGGCAGCUUUUCUGUGGCUUGCUGGAGGUUAUGGAGGAGGAGAUGCUGUAGGGCCUUUGGAAGGGAAUUUCAGUCGAGGGCGUUUUUGUUCACCCAUGCUGUAGGGCCUUUUAUGUUCAACACCCACUUCAUUUUGAACAAAAAUGAAAAUAAAAGAUUCCAUGUUUAUGUGCUAAGUUGGUUAGUUUAAGUAAAGAUGGCCACUAUGUGAAAAAUGAAAAGAAGGUUCUAAAUCUUUUCAAAAUAAAGCUCAAAAAGCGUCCGUUAGACAUAUAAAAGAACUUUUUUACUGCUAUAAUUCUUGGGCAAAAAUGUUUUAUAGGAAUCCCAUUUUUUAAGGGGCCUUGUGCUGUCGGCCGUCCAGCACACGGCAUGCCAUGUAUUAUAUCCAAACUCAUCAUUUUCGUUACUCUUUCUUAAAAUUCGAUCAAUGUCAUUCCUAUCCUCUUAUGCCAUACAUGAAUAUCUGUAUAUCUUUGAUGUUUAAUGGUUAGAUUACCGUCAUUUAACGUAAAUUUUGUCAAUUACAUUAAAGCCAACUCGUCUAAACUACUAUCAAAUUACUGAUAUUUACAAUUGUUUGAUUUUAAAAAUUACCGUCGUCCAUAUUUUUGACAACAACUAUUGAGCCUCAUCUAUACACAAGGGCUAUAGCCUAGUGCGACUUUGGGCCUAAAUCCUUUUGUUUUAGAAUCUCUAAGCCACGCCCUCCCCUUUAGUCACAUGUAAAAAAAGAAAAUAUUAGCGGACAAUAUUCUGACAAAGAAACAAUGGAAACUCUAGUUCUAAACUUCACCAAUUCCAUCAAUCCCAUGACCUUUGGUAAUUUUCUUCUGUCCCAACUCUCUGUAUUAUAUCAGAUUAAAUAUGGUGGUUCUCCUCAUCUUCAAAUUAAAGGUUGUGAUUAUAAUCUCUCUAAUUAAAAAUAAUUUUUAUUAGAAAUCAUCCACUUUUUAACUGUCUUAAUUUUAGUCCUCAAACUUUCAAAUUAAUAAAUAUGACCCUCAAAAUUUUGGGUCACACAUAAGUUUGGUCUAUAUCAUCGUUUGGAGAUGUGUAGGCAACGCAUGUGACCUCCCCACUACAAAAAAAAGUGGCAACAGUUAUCAUUAUUUGGUGAUAUUUGCUGGGGUGACUAAAACUUUAGCCACCCCAGCAAAUGUCACCAAAUAAUGCGAUUUUCAAGACUGCAACCCCCACUUCCUCCUAGUUACUUUGGCAAUACGAUUUUCACAACAAUGCCAAUUGCAAUCGCAGGGGAUUUCCAAUCAAAUUGAACAUGGAACGGAGCAAGCCACGUUCAUGAUGUUUUGGUUCAUAUGGAUGAUCAAGGUUUUAAAACGCAAGGUGUUGAGGCAAGAUGCUUUUGAUCCCGAAAGGUGAAGCGUAAUUCUUUUGAAUAUUAAUUAUUUUAAUUAAAAAUAUAAAAUAAUAUAAAAUAAUUAUAAAUGAGUACUAAUUGUCUCCUAAGCAUAAUAAUCAAGUAUUCUAGGAUGACAAUUUAGGGUACUGUAGAUAUGAUUUCGGGUUCAGUAAUUCUACUGGGUGGGAGUGGCAUAAACAGUUGCAGGGUAUUUACCCCAAAUCUCAGAGUCUUAAAAAUAGGCUAAGGAUUGUGAUAAAUUGCGAGCAUGCCACUAUUAGCAGUGUAAAACCCUAACAGAUCUUAAUGAAUAAAAAUAACUUAUGCACCAAGAAACCUGACUUCCAAUAAAACAAUUGUGCUUGGAAUGGGGAACUAGUUCAAUACGGAUUCUUUUCUAUGCUUCAAGAUAAACGAGGACUUUAUUAUGUCUCUAAUACAAAGCUAAGAGAUAAAAAACAUAAACAAGUAAACAAUGUGUCAAAUCGAUCAUAUCUGGUGAGAACGAAGACUGCCACCACUUUUGAGUUGCCUCAUAGCCACUAGAAUGAUGGUAUUUUUGCUCACCACUUUAACCCAAGUUGUACCAUCACCACCCUUCUCAACACUUGAUACGUGUUUAUGGGCAUAAUCAUAGUUCCACAAAUACAACAAAGAGUUAACUAUGGUUAUGCACAUGGACACAUGUCAAGUGUAAGGAAGUAUGGUGAUGGUACAUUUUGGUUUUGUCACAUCCCGGGAUCGGCUCCGCCGUAGCACGAUAUUGUCCGCUUUGGGCCCCUCUUUGCCCUUACGGUUUUGUUUCUGGGAGCUCACGAGCAACUUCCCAGUGGGUCACCCAUCCUGGGAUUGCUCUAGCCCCCAACUCGCUUAACUUCGGAGUUCCUACAACUCCGAAUCCAGUAAGCUCCCAAAAGGCCUCGUGCUAGAUGGAUGCGGGUGUGCACAUAUAAGGCACAUCAUCCCCUCUCCGUUGGUUGAUGUGGGAUCUUACAAUCCACCCCCCUUAAGGGCCCGAUGUCCUCGUCGGCAUACUCGUACCACACGGCAGAGUGGCUCUGAUACCAAAUUGUCAUAUUUCAGGAUCGACUCCAUCGUAGCACGAUAUUGUCCGCUUUGGGCCCCCCUCUCUGCCCUCACGGUUUUGUUUCUAGGAGCUCACGAGCAACUUCCCAGUGGGUUACCCAUCCUGGGAUUGCUCUGGCCCCCAACUCGCUUAACUUCGGAGUUCCUACGACUCCGAAGCCAGUGAGCUCCCAAAAGGCCUCGUGCUAGAUGGAUGCGGGUGUGCACAUAUAAGACACAUUACCCCCUCUCUGUUGGUUGAUGUGGGAUCUUACAAUCCAUCCCUUAAGGGUCCGACGUCCUCGUCGGCACACUCGCACCACACGGCAGAGUGACUCUGAUACCAAAUUGUCAUACCUCGGGAUCGGCUCCGCCGUAGCACGAUAUUGUCUGCUUUGGGCCCCCCUCUCUGCCUGCACGGUUUUGUUUCUAGGAGCUCACGAGCAACUUCCCAGUGGGUUACUCAUCCUGGGAUUGCUCUGGCCCCCAACUCGCUUAAUUCGGAGUUCCUACGACUCCGAAGCCAGUGAGCUCCCAAAAGACCUCGUGCUAGAUGGAUGCGGGUGUGCACAUAUAAGACACAUUACCCCCUUUCCGUUGGUUGAUGUGGGAUCUUACAGGUUUAAAGUGGUGAAAAAAAUAUUUCCCCAUUAGAAUAGCCUCAAAAUGUCAAGAAGAUUUGGUAACAAUCGAGUAGAAGCGCCACUAAUGGGCAAUUCAAGAUUAUUUCCCCUUUUUUAGACUUAUCUUUGACCUUGUGUGAUUAUCAAUUAAAAGCAUCCGCAAUGGUUGUUCCAAUUCAAUGCAAUAGUUCAAUAAAUUGAUCUUUUUUGGCAUUUAUUGAAUUGAACUGCAGUUUUACUUGUAAUGGUAUAGUUCAAUAGCUUCAAAUCAAUAGUUAUAUCAAUAGUUAUAGUUCAAUAGUCUCAAAGAAAUCUUUAAAAAGAGACUAAUUUUGGAAAAUCAAUUAUGUAAUUUUUUAUUUAUUGCAUUGAACUAUUGAACAACCAUUACAGAUACUCUUAACAACAUAAUGCAUUAAUUAUUGUUUUUUUUCUAUUUUUUUAUUGGCAUGUGGGUCCCCUAGUUAGCCUAUUGCAAUUGCAAUAGAGGGUUCAUCACAUAGAACCUUCUAUUACAAUGAACUAAAUCACACAAUUGCAAGUGAAAUUUUAGUAUUUUAGUUCAAUUUCAUGCAAUAAAAUUAUAUUGAUUCUAACCAUUGCAGAUGCUCUAAUGUACAAUUCCCCUUUUAGCGCCACUAACUUGGCCAAAUUCUCAUUACUUUAUAUCAAAACAGUGAGCCCAAGCCAUCAAUUGGCCCAAUUCUUUUAUUUAUUCCCAUGGAUUGAAAAUAGGACCAAAACACAGGGAUGUAACUGAAGCAAUUAAUAUUCUUGUACAAAAACUCAAAAUCAUAUGAGCAUGCUCUCAUCUUCGCAUGUUAUCCGAGUUUCUCCUCUUCUACUGCUGCACGUAAGAUACAGUGCAUACUUUAAAUUUCUUUUCAAAGGUCUCAUGGCAUAGUAUUAAUUUUCACAAAUACACAAAUCUGUUUUGGUUGUUCAAAUUACACACUGAGGAUAAUCUCAUUAAAUUUCUUUUCAAAUUGUGGCACUGCUUUUUGCCAAAUUAGAAAACUGCAUAACAGUAUUUCCUAUAUCGGCUGAGAUUGUUCCUACAACUUAACGAUGUUUUGCCGCAUGGGAACUGGGGAGGAAAACAAUGAAGAAAUGUGUGACAUUGCUAUGUAUGUAAUUAUUGUGUACAUUUAUUAAGUAAAAAAAUUCAAACAAUUGGUUCCAUUGGUUAGAGCAGUUCUAGCCAUGCCCCCAAGCCAGGCAGGAGGGGGGGUUCCAAGCCUAAAACGCGUUUCUAGCAGGCCUUUUUUGCCGGGGCAGCUUGUGGGUCCCACGGAACUAGGUUGGCCUGAAGGCAGAACAAGCUCGAGGGCGAGCUGACGCCAGCAUGUGGGUUUAAAUUUUUUUAUCGUUGGUGCGUGCAUUUAAUGCUCCAACGGUAAAAAAAAAAUUAAAUUCCGUGCAUUGUCGCCAGGUUAGCGUCAGUCCUUCCUUUCACCAACUGCUAGAAGCCACGUGGCGGACUCUGGGCGCUCCGAUUGGUUUUCUCCUUCAAUCCAAUGGUUGACUUUUUUUUUGCAAUAAAAUUAUGAAAAAAAUUCAAAAAAAUACCCAAAAAUUCAUGAAUUUUUUUUCUAUAAAUACCUACGAAUACUCUUCACUUUCAACACCAAAUCCUCAUACAUUUUCUUCUCCUUCUACUAUUAUUCACUUUCUACUCAACAUUUUAUUCACUUUCAAAAUUUAUUUUUAUUUAUCAUCUUAUGGCUUCUUCUAUCGAAACUGGAGGGGCGUGGAGCACCAUGGAAGAUGUUUUGUUGUGUGAGUGUUGGGUCCAAAUUAGUCAUUAUCUCGUCACGGGCAAUGAGAUUAAAUUCUCUCAUAUGUGGAGAAAAAUUCAUGCCGAAUUUUGUGAAAGAUCGGGUUCGACUCGUACGAAAAUGGCAUUGUUGAGUAGGUGGAAAAUUCUCAAUAAAGAGUUGGGAAAAUGGAGAGAUGCCUUGGCAAAAGCGAGGAACAACCAUAGAAGCGGGGGAAAAUCUUAGCAAUGAGGUAAAUUAUUUGUAAUUUUCGUUUUAUUAAUUUUAAUGUCCUAAUUUUUUUUUAAUGUUUCUUGCAUUUUCAAUUUUUUUUUAAAUAUUUCUUGCAUUUCUAUUUUUUUUAAUAAUGUUUCUUGCAUUUCCAAUAUUUUGUUAAUGUUUCUUGAAUUUCCACUAAUUUUUAAAUGUGUCUUGCAUUUUCAAUAUUUUGUUAAUGUUUCUUGCAUUUCCAAUAUUCUUUAAAUGUUCCUUGCAUUUCCAAUAUUUCAUUCCAAUGUUCUUUGCAUUUCCAAUAUUUUUUUAAUAGAUUAUGCAAGCACAAAUGUAGUUUGGUGCUAUUGGGCAAGGCCAAAAAACUUUCAACCAUGACCAAUGUUGGGAGGUGGUGAAGAAUUGUUUGGUGCUUUGAAAUAUUGCACGAAGAGAAUAAAAAGCAACCAAGUAAAAGGGGGUCGAGACUUUUACCGAAAUUUUAACAGAGUCUCCCCUAAAAAAAUGGUCUUUUCACAAAUUUUCCACCUAUGAAAAACAACAGAAAAAAAGUUCUCAACUGCCAGAACACACAAUGCUAAAGGCGCACAAAUUACAGAAUAGGCCUUCGGCCUUAAAUUCAACCCUACAUGGGCCAUAACAUAGCAAAUAUAAGAAAUCUUUAGUUUUACAACCAAAGCAUAAGUAUCAAAGGAAAUUAAACAAGUAAAAUUGCCUUACAACUGUUCAAGGCAUGAGAGUACGAAGUCUUGGCUUGGUUGCAAAACAAAAAUUGUGAGCGGACAAAAACAAAGUUUUAAUAUACUUUUAAACAAACAUACUAACCCCACCGUUUUGGAAAACGAUGCCCAAACAUGCCAAAAAACCAUUUAUAUAGCAUAAUCGACUCUAAAAACCAAGGUAUCCCAUAAUCCCGAUAUAGCAUAUAACACAAACUCAAACUAGACCUUUUUCCCUUCUCAGACCACUCUCUUCCGAGACACAUGCCUGUAAGCACAACAAUUGAGGAAGGUUCCUCACAAAUAAAUAAGAAUAAUAUAUAUAUAUAUAUACAUAUAUAGGUAUAACCACUACACCAAUACUAGUACGGGGGAAACAAUCCAACCUGGGGAUUGUUUGACUUAGGGCUAGGCAUUCAAACCGGCAACCCGGUCAAACCGCCCAAACCAAAUAGAUGGUUUAGGUUGGUUUGGUUUUUUUUCAAUCUUUUUUUGGUCAUCGGUUUGAACCCAAACCAAACUGAAAUAUAUGAUUCGGUGUACGGUUUGCAAUAUUCAAAACCACGAUUUAACCAAACCAAAUUGAAGAUAUUAAAAAAAAUAUUAUCAUAAGAUAUAUAUAAUACAUAGUUUCAAUCUUUCUUUUUCUUCUCUCUCAAUCUCUUCGUUUUCCUUGUCUUCAUCAGUCCACAUCUCUCUAUUUUUUUUUUCUCUUUCUUCUUACGUCUGUCUUCACUCCCUCUCCUCGUCUCCCUCUUCUUCUUCUUCUUCUUCUCUUUCUUUUCUUUUUCUCCUCUUCUUCUUCUUCUCCAUCUCUCCACCUUUUUUUUUCUUCUCUUCUCUUCUCUUCUCUCUCUCUCUCUCUCUCUCUCUCUCUCUCUCUCUCUCUCUAAGAAAGCCAAAAAAUCGAAACCGAACCAAAUCAAACCACCAAGUCUAGUUAACCGAAGUGGUCGGUUUUCAUCAAUUAUGGUUUGGUUUCGAUUUUAGCCAAACUGAGGCCUACGGUUCGGUGUUCGGGUUGAGCCCAAAAUCGAACCAACCCAAACCAAGCCCACCCAUAGUUUGACUAAACCACAUGCAGAAAUCCUCAAUACACUUGUGGCUAGGGAAGAGCAAUCCAAUAGGAACUAUUGCUCCCCACACAAGCACAACAGAAUCUUCAAUACUCGUGUGGCUGAAAUAAGUCUAACGCACGUUGACUGCCCGACAAGGGCCUAGGGUAACACCCAGUCAAGGGUGUCCGGGUUUCAACAUAUCCAAGUAUCCAUCAUUUCCAAGUAUCCAAGUGCCCGGAAGGUACAUAGGGUGGUGCUAACAGCACUUCAAUAUAACAUAUUGCACAUCCCAACAAAUAUACCAUAACCAUAUGCCAAAUUCCAAAUAUUCCAAAUUACCCAAUCCCAUAUACAUAGACAACCGAACAUUAAUAGAGUCCAUAACUCAAUACCCAAAUAUUUAAUCGUAGUAUAGAUAUCAAACUCUCAAAAGCAUAUAUACCAUAACCAAAAUAUUCACAAACUUCAAAUAUCAGUAUAACAUCCGAUAACCAUAAGAUAUUCUAACCCAUAAUUAAAACAACAAUAUAACUUCUUAAUCUCAAUAGUCAAAAUAAUCAAAUUUUAUAUAUAUGCAAUCCACUCUUUGAAAAUAAUGAUCAUUUGAAACAAAGUCCACUCACGAAAAGUACAAAGCUGCUUGACUUGCGGGGGUCCUUCGUGUUGAGUUCGUGGAGCUUGAGUACCUAUUUUACUGAACACGAGGACUUAAUCAAAACGACUAAACCAACCACGAACUUAAAUUCAACUCCCAAGCUCUAGCGAUUCAAAGUGUGUGUGCACGACUAUUGGGGAGUUUCUAAGGCUAAUAUAAUGCUUUUGAAAGGUGGAACGACCUUGGAAGACUCACGGUCAACCAAGUGGCCAAACUUCUCAAAUUGGUCAAUCGGGUCCGUGGGGUCACGACCUCUGAUUUUCGAUCCGAAAAUUCCAACUAGAUCCUAAAGGUAUAGAGAACAACAUAUUUGAAAUUAGGACCGAUUAUCGAACCCGAAUAUUGCAUAAUAUGCGUAAUAUUCGUCUGAUAGUCAAACGAUAACCAAUUCUAAAUCCAAGCAUACCGUCGUGCUAAGGACGAGUUGAGGAGUGUUUUAGAACAUAAUUUGCCGCCACAAAAUGGUCCACGCGCCGGCACCCACUGCCGAUAAUGCGUGGUGUCUUGAGAAAUUUUCAGCAAAAACACCCUACAAUACUUUUGCCAACAGAUUCAGAUUAACUAGGGGGUCAACUUUUGUUCUUGGACCACGGCCAAAAACUAGCCGGAACUAGCUGAAUCGAGCCGAAACCAUCAGCUAAAAUGGGAAUAUUGAACGAUAUGUAAAACCUCCAAAUGAAUCCCAAGAUACCUAUACUAACAGCUAGAGCAUGUUAAGGGGAUGAAGAAUCAUACAUUGGUCGACAUAAACAACCGCUAGAAUUGCAAGAAAUUGCACGAACAUCAUUGGCGAUUAAAUGAGGGUUUUGCAAGGUUUGAGUCCAAAAUCACGACCAAAUUUGGAGUUUUGAAGGUGGAAAUAGGUAUGCAAGUGUAGAGGAGGAAGAGACAAACGUUUUGUGGGUCGUGGUGUCUCCGGCUGUGGCCGGAUGGAGGAGAAAACACCAGCCAAACAGGCCGGUUUGUUUCGGGAAGAAGGAGAGGGUCGCUUAAGCAAGGAGAGAGAAAGUGAGAGAGAUCUGAUCGUUCGUUUUAAAACCCAACUUUGAAAAAAUUAUGGUUGUGCAACUACACUUCCGUAGACCACAACUUCUUUAUUUAAACUCGGAUUUGGACCUACUACGUGUCUACGAACUCGUGAGAGCGAGCUCUACGCAAUGGUGCCACUCAUUUUCUCAAAAUCCUUCUAGAUCGAAAAGGGACUAAAGUGACCCUACCCCCAAGGGCAAAAUUAUAAAUUCGGAAAUAAAAAUGAAUUGAAUAAAAUGAUUAAAUUAGAUCGAGAUGUUACAAUAUUGUUGUUGUUGUUUUUCUUUAAUUAAUGUAGCCCCCUGGUUCCUCCCUUUUUUUUUUUUUUUUUUUUUUUAGUGUAAGUUGUUUUUUUAUAUAAUUGUAACGACACUAAGAAAGAUACCAACUCACCACACAACUUAAAAAACAGAAGCUAAUUUAUAAGAAAAUAACUAAACAGAAAAGAAAACAAAGACGUCACAUAUUGUAAUUUUUAAAUAUAUAUUUUCUUACAAGCAAAAAAAUUCUAAAAAAAGAAACUUAAAUUUUUAUUUAAGUUAAACUUUAUAUAUAUAUAUAUAUUAUUGUUAAUUUUAAUUUUAAAGAAACAAAAACUUAAAAUUACUAAAAUAAUAAUAACAAAACAAGUAAAGAGAAAACAAAAUAAGAAUUAUUGUAUCACUCGUGUAUCACCAUGGUAUCACCACGUUAUCACUAUGGUGUCACCUGUUUAUCACGUUUUAGGUCAGAGAUGAAUUUAUGAACUUCCACUAUUUUUCAGUUUCAACCUUUGUCCCAUUUUGGACCUAUAACUUUCUAACCAUUAAUCCAGAUUUUAUGUUCUUUAUAUGGUUGGAUUCAGAAUGACAAAAUGGAGAACUCAGCGAGGACCGAAUGGUAAAAUUAGUUACAGAAGUGUACAUAAUUCAUUAAAACGAACAGUUAAAGUUUUGACACAAGAAAAACAAAGCAAAAAAACAUUCCCACCAAGAACUUAAAUGAAACAUUGUCCUUAAUGUUGAAAAGAGUAAAAUCAUAUCAUGCAAUGUAUCAUAAGGCCAAGGGACGAAACAAAGCAAAAUAAAAUUAAAACAAAAACUUAAAUUACUUAAAACUAAACAAGCAAAGAGGAAUGAUUGAAAAUUAAUACUCCCCUUUGAAGCAAUUAGACCAAGCAUGGAUGCAUUUGGAGGUCGCUUGGAGGUCGCGACUUCUCCCAAUACCCCACACUUCCCAUCCUUAUGAUUGGAGUUGCCUUCUCUCUUUCCCCUUUUUUAUUGGGCUAUCCUAGAUUGCUAAAACGAACACAGAAAACUUAAAACAGAAUUAAAAGAAUUAGGAAGGAAAAAUUAAUAUGAAAAGUAAAGCAAGUAGGGAAACAAAAUAAAACCAAACUAUGCUACCAAUCCCCGACAAAGGAGCCAAAAACUUCUUGUGUCGAUUCAGCUGCACCAAAGUUGAUUUAGCUACAUCCUCAACUUGUGAUAUUCGCAAGUGCAUGAACCGUUGGAUAGUAUAGUAUAUGUAAGUGCAAGGUCAAUCCCACAAGGAUUGAUGAUAGAUUGAUUCAAUUCGAUUCCCUGCAUAAAACAAAAAUGGAAACAAGGUUUAAAGAUUAUUGAGAAGAGUACAAGAAUUGAAAACUUAAAGUUUAAUCAAACAAAGAAGAAAGGCUCUAAAACUGGUUUUGGGUUUAAAAACAAUUCUAGGACACUAGGGAACAAUCCAAUUCUAAGUCUCAAGCAAUUAAGUGAAUAAGUUCAGUUCAGAUUCACAGAUUGAUUCUAGCUAAAGUAUGAGUAAGCCAUGGUAUCUAGUUCUAACCUUGAAUUCCUAAUUACCUAAUUAAGUCCUUGUUGUCGAACCUAAAUUAAGCAUUAGAAAUCCGUUAAGUAUAGAAGAAUGUUAUAAACAACCAAACAUAUGAAUGAUUUGUUUUGUUUUUCUUGUGUCAAUCUUGACAGGAUCAUAAUUACUUCAACUAAGAUAGCUAACAUACAAGUUUUAAUGGUGAUCAAUAAUUCAAACAAGCAUAUUAACUUAUAAGCAUAUGAAUGAUGUAGGACGAAAUAUGGGUCAAUUAUGGUGUGAAAAAUUAAUUAAAAUAAAGUGGCUCAAAGUUGGAAGGAAAUCGUGCAAGAGAGGAAAAUUCCAAUUAAAUGUCAAUUAUGGCACUAGGAAAAGAAGGAAGGCGUAUCGUUGGGAUUUUCUAAUUGAUUGAGCAAGUUUGAAGUAAUUAUGAUCCUGUCAAGAUUUAUAUUUAAUCUAUAUUUUGAAGAAUAAGUUAUCUAUUAGGAUAUUAUUUUCCUAAUAUGAUUUUUAUUAUUUUCUUAUUAGCUAAAUUUAGGAAUAUUCUAGAAGCUAGGGUUUCCUACAGUUUUAGGGUUUCUUUGUUUUCUAUUUAAGCCAACUCAUGGCAUUUAUUUGUGAGUUGAUUCAUCUUAUUUUCAAUCAAUAUUGAUUCAUCUUAUUUUCAAUCAAUAUAUUUGAGGUUUACUCAAUUUCUCUAGUUGAUUCCAGUUUGUUGGUGGAUUCCGACAUUGUUACUUAUAGGGUUAUCAUUCGAUCUUCCUAUCCUUUAUAUCUCGAUGCGUCAAUGAAUAAGAACAAGAACUAUAAUUGAAACUUGAAAACUAAUCAAACUUGAAAACUUAAAAUAAGAAAUUACGUAACAAUGAAAAAUAAAAUACAAUUAAGAAAAACAUAAAGAAAAAUCUAGCAAAAGAGUUUUAUUACAACAAUUGAGAAUUUAAAAUGAAAACUAAGAGAAGAAAAACUAAAAUAGUAGAUGCCCCUAGAUCCUUGCCUUCGGCUCCCCAUGGUCUCUAAUUCUAACUCUAUUUGGUGCCCAAAGUCUUGCACAACUUCUGCACACCUUUCAUACCUUAUUCUCUCUGCCGUAGCUCUCUAUUUAUAGAGAAUGAAAAUCUCUUGUAGCAGCACAUUUCCAUGUGGAUGUACGGUACAUUUCCAUGCCUAAGUCCUCAAAUAGUCUAUCUUGCUGCAUAUCAAACUUUCUUCAUGUGCUGGCUGCUGCACUUUUAAUUCAUCCACCUGUUACGGCAGCCUUUGCUUGCCUUUGGCAUUUGCAAACCUCCAAGAGGUUUUGCUGCCAACGUUCUUCUUUCAUUUCUUUGCAUUAUUCUUUCUCCUUUUGGUUGCUGCCCAUUCCUCUUUCUUUUCUUUAUCUUUCUCUGCUCAUCACGUGUUGGCAUAUUGGCAUUUUGUGUCAGCCAACAUCAUUCUUUAUACUUCUUCCUAUUCUUUUUCAUUUGCUGUCUGCACACAUGGUGGGCUGCUGCCCAAAGUUGCUCCCUUCAAUCUUUCCAACUCAUAUUUGCAUAGAAAAUUCCACCUUUUCUCCUCUAUUACAAUUGGUUUUAAUACAUUAAGAGGAAUUCUUUCAACUUUAAAAAUCUGAAAACCAAACUUCAUAAUGUAAAACAAUGUUACCAAGAGGUGUGGUAACAAGCAGAAAAAGAGGUAGCACACAAAUGACUCUACAAUAGGAUUAAAGCUCCCAAUGUAUGCUAGAGAGAGAGAGAGAGAGAGAGAGAGAGAGAGAGAGAGAGAGAGAGAGAGAGAGAGCAAAAGGCCCAAGAAGGGCAAAGAUGACUCCAAGUAAUUUUGCCUAAAACAAAAUUAUGCCUAUCUGUCGAUUCCAUGCAGAAAACGGGCUUGACAAAAACUAGAUUAUCUCUUUCCAAUUAAAGUCAUGUGGAGCCUUGAAAUUUCCAACUAAUAUUAAGAUUCUGUGCCUGUCGAUCUACUGCACAUGUGCCACAGUUAAGCUGCCAUUAGCAAAGUCCUUCGGAAAGCACCAUAUAAAAAAUGGCGGUGUUAUCAGCUUUAAAGCAUGUAUCUCUUGGGGCGUCUAUAGCCUCUAAGAUUUUACAUUUAUUACUAUCUUCCUUAGUUUCCAUUUCCACGUUCACUUUUGAUCGAUCCUGGUUGUAGUCGUGUAUUUGUGUUGUAAGUUGUGAUCACAAGAAGGAGGUCCUAAUUUUCUUAUAUUCUUUUCUCAUAAGGAAAAGAACAGUGUGCUCCUAUUAAAGACCAAAGAAAAAAAGAGCAUUAGAAAAAGAAAAGAUGACGGAGAAGGUGACUGUGAGCGUAAGGGAGUCAACGAUGGUGAGGCCUGCCGAGGAGUCGACGCCUCGGGGCUCACUGUGGCUCUCCAACUCGGACCUAGCAUUCACACCCUUUCACACGUCCUCUGUUUACUUUUAUAGAACAAGCGGUGAGCUCAACUUCUUUGAUCGGAGAGUGCUCAAGCAAGCGCUCAGCAAGGUCCUCGUGCCCUUCUGCCCCAUGGCCGGUCGAUUCAAGCUAAAUGACCAGAAUGGCCGUGGGGAGAUUGAUUGCAAUGCGGAGGGAGUGCUUUUUGUUGUGGCAGAGAGCAACUCUGUCGUUGAUGAUUUUGGCGAUUUUGCGCCCACUUCCGAUUUCCUUAAGCUCAUCCCCGCCGUGGAAUACUCGGUUGGAAUAUCCUCAUAUCCCCUUUUGGUGUUACAGGUAUUUAAUAAUGAUCAUCCAAGGUCUUUUAUAUUUUGUAAAAUUUGUAUAUGUAUAUACUUAUAUUCUCGUUGCACGCGCGUUACUCAUUGCAUCAUUUUGAUCUAGUUUUGGAACCGAAUAAGAUGUUUCAUUGAAUUUUGUCAUUUUAAAUUAUCAAGUCCUAGGUCACUCUCGUUCGCCUCUGCGGUCUCGUCAUGCUCCAAGUACCAUCGAAACACCACUUUUAACUCUUCUACUCUCCAUCAGAAAACUUUUGUUCUAUUUUGAAGCAUAUAUGUUGUCUGCAAAAUCCAAACCCACUCACAUGUCAUCAGAAACCCAAAUUCUGCAAUUUUGAGCAAUUGCAACUUCAAAUCCAAUCCAGUCUUUCCGAAUCAUCCCAACCCAUCUCUAUAUUAACGUAUUUCUCUUAAUUUUAAGUCAAGUUCAGUAAUAACAAACAUUUUCUAUUUGCAUCUCUGUACCAAAAGCUGUGGUUCUUUUCUGGUCACACAACCUGUGGUGCUUGAGAGAGAGAGAGAGAGAGAGAGAGAGAGAGAGAGAGAGAGAUUACCAGUAACCAUAUAUUUAUAUAUGGUUGUGUUUUAAUUUCUACGUAUAUAUGCAAACGCAGGUUACGUACUUCAAAUGUGGUGGUGUGUCGCUGUUGGAGUGGACCACCGCAUUGCAGAUGGAGCAUCUAGUCUACACUUCGUAAAUACAUGGUCUGAUAUUGCUCGUGAUGAUCUCUCAAAUAUUAAACCACCCUUCAUGAACAGGAUGUUACUUUGUGCUCGAGAUGCACCUCAGCCAGCAUUUCCUCACGUUGAAUAUCAACCUUUUCCACAAAUGAAAUUAGCUUCUGAUCAUCUGGAAAGCACAAGUAAUACUACUGCCUCGAUUUUUAGAUUUACGCGGGAGCAGCUCAACAUCUUGAAAGCCAACUCUGCGGAAGAUGACGGCGGGAAUAUUAAUACAAUCAAGUAUAGCACAUUUGAGGUGUUGGCAGGGCAUAUUUGGAGAUGUGCUUGCAAGGCACGUAAACUGCCAGAUGAUCAAGACACCAAAGUACUCAUUCCCAUUGAUGGACGGUCUAGAUUGCAACCCCCACUCCCACCCGGUUUCUUUGGCAAUGUCAUUUUUAGAGCCACACAUAUUGCUGCAGCAGGGGAUCUCCAGUCCAAACCAACAUGGUAUGCUGCAAGCUGUGUUCAUAAUGCUUUGGUCCAGAUUGAUGAUGAUUAUCUCAGAUCAGCCGUUGACUAUCUUGAGCUUCAUCGUCCUUGUGUUUCCCCACUUGUUAUGGGGGCCCUGUUGAUCAGGUGCCCGAAUCUUUGGAUAAACAGUUGGGUUAGGCUGCCGAUUCACGACGCUGAUUUUGGUUGGGGUCGACCCAUUUUCAUGGGGCCUGGCACACUAUUUGACGGGAUGGCUUUGUUGUUACCAAGCGCAACUAAUGAUGGGAGUUUAUCCCUGAUGAUUUCUCUGCAUUCUGAACACUUGAAAUCAUUUUCCAAGUUGUUGUAUGACAUAUGAGGAAAUGUCACGGUUGAAGAAAUUUGGUGCUGUCUGGUUUGAAUUGCUGUUAUUCCCCUCAUCUUUAUGGGUGUUCAAAUUUGAAGUUGUGUAUUGGUUCGUGCACGUUGCUUGAUUGAGUAUUGAAACUUUUUUUUUUUCGAAAGUAUGGUGGACUUCUUGUCCACAAUGCUGGUUGUGUUAUAUUGUGAUUCUUAAUAGAGGAUUCUCUUUCUCAUGAAAUUAAAAGAACAUUGGAACCAAAAGAGUAGGAGUCAUAAAGAGGUUCGAAAAUUUUGUAAAGAGAUUACCAAAAUAAUUAGAAAUCUGAACACCCCUCAAAGGUUACAAAACUCUUAUUUCUAGGCCUAUAGAUACAUCCGUUAAUGAUUGUACUUGCAGAACAUACAUUCCUAAUGUAAAAAUCGCUAUUAAUGAUUGUAUGUUCAAAAUGCAAAUUUAAACCAAGUAAUGAAUGUACAAUACGAAUAGACACUGUACAAUCAAGUAUGUUAUAUGAUUCAUAAUGCACUAUUACCUCUAUGAAUUUUGGCAUCUUUAUAUUAGAACAAUAUGAACUUUGGUUCGUAUCUAAAUGUAGUGUUAAAUUACAAAAUGGGCAUGGUCGGACCUCUUUAUUUUUGGACCUGCUUAGGCGUGGAUAAAGGUUAUCUGGGCUUUAUUUUUGGCCUUACUAGUUAUUUGCUUUUUUGUUGGGAGACCUUACUUUUAUUUGGUGUUAACAGAAGCCCCCUAAGUCCUAAAUUUGGUAUCAACAGAAGCCCCAUAAGUCUAAAAUUUGGUGUCAACUGAAGCCUCCUAAGUCUUAACUUUGGUGUCAACAGAAGCCCCCUAAGUCCUAAAUUUAGUGUCAACCACACCACUCUUUUCGAUCCAAUAUGAAGUCUUAAAUUGGUCAACCACGCCAAAACCCCAAGGAGUAAAAUACUCCUUCAAGUUCUGUUAGAGAUUCCUAUAUAAAGACUGCUCAAAGUCAAUACGAACACAUUUUUUAUUUUUUUUGGUCUGAAACUCAUCUUCAAAGAUUACACAUAACUCAUUUAAAAAAAUCUUGACAUAUUAUCUUUUAUUCAAAAACAUAUUUCUAAAUAGAUUCCAAAGAUUUCAGAGAUUUCCAAUGAGAUUACUCAGAGACUUCAAAUCAUAUAGGUCACAAUAGCCACUUAUUUCCAAUAUGAUUACGAAUUCGAGUCUAACUUCCCCAAUUGACGCAUAUUGUUAGAGGGCAAUGUGGUCCACCCGUCGUCCCUUUAGGCCUACCGCAUGAGUGCAAAAUGGGCAUGAUCGGGCCUCUUUGUUUAGGGCUUUCUUAGGUGUGGAUAAAGGUUUUAUGCGCUUUACUUUUGGCCUUUUGAUUCCAAUCAAUUACUUUAAGUGAUAGGCCCGCAAUUGACCUACCAUUUCCUCUCAGCUGGUUGCGUUGCUUGCCUCUUAGGGUACCUCCCAUCUUCCUGUUCAAAUUCUGGUUAUCGAAACAAUUCCAAUUUCAAAAACUUAUAUGGCGUUAAGUUUGGUGUCAACAAUGGAGUUUUGAUUUUAUGUUGCAUGUUUAAUAAUUCUUUAUUAUAUAUAUAUAUAAACAAAUGCUCAUGAGUCCUAGUUUUAAAUUUUCUAUCAAUAUAUAUGGUCUAAUUCUUUUUACAGUAUUUCAUUAAAGACUUAGGAGGCCCAUUAUUCAUUUUGUAUAUAAGCCUUAAAAUCUCAGAGCCGCCGGUGCAUAAAGUAAAGACAUUCAAAUCGGAAUUAUAACUAUUGGCUUAAUGUCAAUUUUCCUACCCUUUUCCCAGAGGGGCAUUGUGGAGACAAAAAUAUCACCAGUCAUGCCCUCACUCAAUCCGCACACAAAACAUGAAAGUAAUCUUAUGUGGAAAACUAGCAAUUGAACUUGUGAAAAAAUAGUGAAUGGACUUGGAUCAACAAUGCCAAAAAAAAAAAAAAAAAAAAUGUAUGCUGCUAAGCAACAAUGCUAUUAUUUAGGAGUGGUUGCGGUUCGGUAACCGCGAAUUUUUCUUUGAACCGCAAACCGAUAUACUAUUUCCGGUAAGGUGAUUUUUGAAAUUGCAAACCGACCGCAUUUUGCGGUUUACCGCAAACCGCAAAAAUCGGUUGAUUACCGUGAAUUAACGGUUUAAACCUAUUUGAAUAUUUUGGGCCUAAAUUAGACAAUUUUAGAUCUUUAAGUGUGGUCCUUUUGUGUCAAAAAAAUUCAAUCUUCCACACUUUUAAGCCUAGGUUUGAUGCUUCUUUUGAAGCUUUUUGAGUUCAAGCAUACGUUAACCAAAAAAUAUAAAUCACAACCUAAAGAAAUAAAUUCAUGACCUCAACUUCUCAAGCAUAUAUAAAUUUACAACCUAAAGAAAUAAAUUCACAACCUCAACAUCUCAAGCAUAUAUAAAUUCACAACCUCAACCUCAACUUCUCGAGCAUUCACAACCUAAAGAAAAAUCCAAUUCAAAGUUAAUUAAAGUUAGAAACCAAAAAGAAAAUGCAAUGCAAAAUGAAUUAAAGUUACAACCCAAAGGAAAAAUCCAAUUCAAAGUUAAUUAAAGUUAGAAACCAAAAGGAAAAUGCAAUGCAAAAUGAAUUAAAGUUACAAUCCAAAGGGAAAAUCCAAUUCAAAGUUAAUUAAAGUUACAAACCAAAAGGAGUGUAGGUGGUGGUGAGUGGAUUUUAUUAUAAGAAGAAACCAUUCUUUAUGAGUUGGAGUGGAGGCUGUGUUUUGGGUGUAUCGGUUUGUGUUUGGGGGGAUUAGAGGCAUUAUGUGUGUUAGAGUGGCUAGACUCCAACUAUAACACAACACAACACAAAAGCAACAACAUAAAAGCAUAUUAAUAACAUAUUAAACUCAACCAAAUUAAAACACAACAUCUAACUACUAAAAUGCAACUUUUUUUAAAAAAAUAUUUGCGGUUUGCGAUAACCACGAGUUGCUAAAAUCACAUACCGCAACUGCAACCGCAAUUUUCAGUUGGUUUUUAGCUAUUGCGGUAUAAUGUCGGUUGAUUUUUGCGGUUUUUCGGUAUAACAUGCCACCCCUACUAUUACUAGUAAAAGUGCCACCGAAAAUAUUAUCAGCACCUGUAUGUUGCUUUGCUCUUACUUGAAAAAAAAAAUACAUGAGAGUCAAACAAGGACUAAUAAGGGGCAAAGACCUAUCCCAAAUGACUAUUUUUUAUUACGAAAGAUUCAUCCCAAUAAUAAGUAAUUGCAUAUUAGGGGUGUUGUUAGAAGCACGUUAAAUUUUGUAUUGAAAAUUAAAGUGCAUUAUGGAAAAGCUCUUGAAAUUGUGAGAGUGAUUUAAGACUCAUAAUCAUUUUUAAAAUUUUCUUGCCGAGUAUGUCAAUAACGUCUUUCAUUGUGAGAAAAUGGUUUUAGUCGUUCCAUAACAAUGCCUAACAAAUGUGAAAUUGGUACUUAGGUGACGAGGGGUAAAGUUAAAUGCUAUUCAAGCGGACACAGCGAUCUUCACACACUUUAAACCUUGACCAAAUAUACUUAUGACUAGUCAAUUGCUAGUCUUGAAAAACCAUAACCAAAAACACACAUAGAGCAUAACAAUCUGUACUUGCAAGUUUAGAAGAUUAUUAGUGACAACCUAGGCACUUAGAAUGUAACACCCCGAGUCCAAAUUUAAUUCCUAUUUUAAAUUAUUUAAAUGAAUUUACGAAUUUACCCUUAGGGUAGGGGUAAAUUGGUCAAUUUCUUACCCAGAAAGUGUUUGGGGCAGUAACUGGUAUUUUUGGGUAGGUGGUACUAAGACGAAUUCAAAGACACGCGGUAGGCUUGAAUCGGAGUUGUAACGAAGAAGUUACGGGCAAAACACUAUCAGUGGCAAAAUCGUAAAUAUUUUGAAGUUUGGGUUUAAAAUAUCUGAUCUCUCUCCCUCUCUCUCUCUCUCUCUCUCUCUCUCUCUCUCUCUCUCGCGGCUGAACCCCCCUCCCCGUUUCGAUUUUUCGCCGGAAUUUCAGACGGCGAGAACUUCGCCGUCCGACCUCCAUUUCAGGCCCCGUUUCUUGCAAAAGCUUCCUCUCUUCCUCCUCUACCCAACCCACCCCUUUUCUCCGAUCGAAAACCCGACAAACGGCGGUGGCAACGACGUGAAAAAUAGCCAAAACUGCCGACGUCACCGGCAACGUUUCCGGCCAUCGCGAGCUGCGCCGUCACUUGGAACAGGUAGCUCUCCUUCCCUUCCAGCUGUUUCCUAGGUUGUGCGAUGACAAUGUCCACGGUGGUCGUCAGAUCGAAGCCGUGAAGUUCUGGGUUAAACCGUGAGUUUUCAACGCCGAUUCCGGCCCCUUGCCGUCCGAAUUGGACUUGGGUGUAGUUGAAUAAAGUGUUCCACUCGUCGAGUAGAACCUGUAGCCGGAAGGGUGGCUUGUAGUUUGGAGAUUUUCUAGCGAAGCUUUAUCGCUUUGGACACCCACACGCUGCCGGCACGUGGGCACUGUAGCAGAGGGGCAUUAUUGUCCCAAUGCGACCUCCUGGUUGGCACGAGCACGUAGGAUUUUGCGGAUCUCAAUUCGGACAUCGUUUGACUAUCGAACGAAUUUUUGCAUAUUGUGCGUUAUCCGGGUUCGAUAGGUUCCGACCGUUAGAUCCUUUCCGAAUUAAAAUAUGUUAUUCUAGGUAUUCCUAGGAUCGUAUAAGAAUUCUCGGAUCGUGAAUCGGAACCCCGGAUGUUCCGAUUCAAUAACUUAAAGUUUGCGUUUUAUAAUAACCGUCCGAUUGUGCGAUCGUAAGCCAUCUAACUGUCCGUUUCGGACCAAACUUGCGAGACGGGUAUCUUAGACCUUGUGAAACCUUUAGGAACUUUCGGGUUGUAAAACGGAGGUCGUGGGUCCCGUGGGCCCGGUUGACCCAAAUUGGGAAGUUUGACCACUGGUUGACCGAGUGUCUCCUGAAGUUAUUCCAUCGUCCAAAUCGGGUAGUUGGAUCUUAGAACGUCUCGUUCCUAGUACACUUACUAGAAACCUGGGAAAUUAGGAUAUUUAAUUUAAAGUACUCGUUCGAAACGUUUCGUAUUAAUCUCGUAUACGUAUUCUGAAUUAGGUACUCCGACUACGCAUACACAGCAGGCGGGACCCUCUCAGGGUCAAGCAGCGUGGGACUACUUGUGAGUGGACUUUGUUUUCAAAUCUUGUGCAUGGUUUUAUUGAUGAAAGAUUUAUGCAUAAUGUUUUUAAUGAUUUAUUGAAUAUAUUAUAUUCAUGAGUUGAAUUUGAUGUUUGUAUAGUGCUUUGGCAUAGUUGGGUAUUGAAAGUAUAUUUUAUAUGAAUUUUGGGAAAUAUUAUGUAUGAUGUUUUAAAUGGUAUUUUGGAUAUAUUAUUUAUGAAAUUGUUGAAAGUGAUAUUUUUAUGAGGCAUUGAAAAUAUAUUUUGGGUUUUGACGUAUUUGAGUAUCUUGAGUAUGAAUAUAUGGAUUUUGGGGAUUUCUAUAUAUAUUUGGCUAUGUGUGAGGUACUUGGGUUGUUGAGAUGAGAUUAUGGAAAGUGGUCAGUAUAGAAUGUCAGUUUGGUGUGCUGUAAGCACUACCCUAUGUACCUCCCCGGAUGUGGAACUUGGAUACGGAGACUUGAGAUACUUGGAAUUGUCGGGACUCGGGGCAUCCUUGACGGGAUGUUGCUGUAGACCCUUAAUUGGGUAGUCUGCGCUCGUAGGACUGAUCACAGACGUACGGAUUUUGAGGUUAUCGGCAGUACGCGCUGGCUGAGAGUUGGUCCCCCAGUUGGACAGCUCGUUCCCUAGUCACAUGGUGGAUUGAGGACUCAUCACGAGGACUCUGCCAGGGUGACUAGUCAAACAAUCCCCCGGUUGGAUUGUUUCCCCGGUACAACUAGGUGAUGGUUAUAUUUAUACUAUAUAUAUAUAUAUCUCUCUUAUAUUAUAUAUUUAUAUCUAUUCAUUCAUUCUUGUUUUUCGGUGUGGAUACUUCCUUGCCGGUCGUGCCAAUGGGUACGCUUUCGAGAGUUUGGUUGUGGGAUUUAUAAGUUUUUGGAUAGUAGGUUUUGUGAAGCGUUCGUUUUGGAUUUCGGACUUGGAAUCUGGUAUUGAUUUGUUUUGUUAUAUUAUAUAUAUAUAUAUACUUGAGUAUGACGGUUUUGAGAUGCAUGGGAUUUCUUGCAUGGUUUUCUAAACGGUGGGGUUAUAUUACGUUGGUUUACACUGAACUGAAUUUAUUUUUGUCUACUCACAAUUUUCUGUUUUGCGCCCCCCCAGCCAGUAGUUGACUGAGCUCCGCAGUAGAGCCGGAUCGUGCGCUUCCGAGCCUUGAGUCAUCGUAGGACUCUUUCUUCAUGUUAUUUCCUUUGUACUCUGUUUUGUUGUAAUUAAAGUCCUUAGACAUGCUCUGUUAUCGCCCCUGUUAGGGUUUGAAUUGUGAGGUCGGAGGCCAUUUUGUUGUAAACUGUUUAUUCGUUUCAAAGCAUGCUGCUGGUUAGGAUUAUUCUGUAUUUUUAUGCAGGUUGAAUUUUGUUGGUUUGUUCAAUUCACAGGGGAGACUCUGCCAAAAUUUUGGUGGAGAGUCUCGGUUUUUAGUAAGUGGGCCCGGCAUCGGGAAGAUGUCGGAAUAAAGAUGGGAUUCGCUCCGGUCUCCGGGGAAAUUCCGGGGCGGGUCCUGUCAUAGAAGGACCCGUUAAUCUAGGCAUCCCCUGUGCUAGCAACACUAUGGUAAAAGUGUGUGGAAACAUCAUAAUCAAGUAAACAGCAAAUAACAGAUAAUGAUGACUAGUCAACCGCAAGAACACAAACCCAUAAAUGCAUGAAUAUCAUGCGAUGACUAGUCAACUAUCAAGAACAUAAACCCAGAAAAUAACAAAGCUGCAAACCAAAAAUUGUUCACCCACAAACCUACAACUGGGAAAAACUGGGGGUCAUCAACAGACCAGGCAAUCCUCUAAGCGAAGAAAAUUCUUACAAAGGAACACAAGCAAGCUCAAAAAAUCCUAGAUCUAUUUAGGAAGAUAAGCUAUACCUCCUUUGUGCAAUCUUCUUAUCCAACUUAACAAAACCAGUAGCUUAUUCCUUCAUGGCAAUGGUAGCUCCUUCUUCGGCUCUUUCAUCACAGGGCACCAGCUAGCCAGCUCAAAUUCAGAUAGAAACCAAAAUUUGGAUUCAAGGAAAAAUGAUCAAUUUUUUCAAGAAACCAUGCUCUUGAAGAAAUCAAUCUUGAAUCUGACCAAGAUGUAUAUGAGGAUGUGUUUGUUGUGUAUCAUGCUUGUUGCAUAAUUCAGCUUGUCUAUGGGGAUAAUGGGUCAUUUAUGUAUCAUCAUGGAUAUGGUUAUGCACCAUAUGACACAUAUGCAACAUCUCUGUUAAAUUUACUUUUGAAUGUCAAUGUCCCUUCCAAUUAUGUUUAAAAUUCAGGACCUUGAGAAAACACCUCUUAUGUGAGAAACUUUUUUCUAUCCUGACAUCAUUGUGUAUCAUGUUUGUUGCAUAUUUCAGGCUGUUUAUGGGGAUAUUGGGUCAUUUAUGUGUCAUUUCAAGCGUAUAUGGGGUAACUUCACUUCAUCUUUUUUUUAAAAAAAAAAUGUUCCUCACCCCUCUGCCUCCCCCUUUAUUCAAAACAAGGGCAACCAUUAUCCCAUUUCAACCUCUCACAACUAGAGCUAAGCUAAAGCACAAGGGAAUUUUGCAAAGAGGUAUAUUUAAUAUGUGCAGCUUAUUUUAAUUUUGGCUAUUUAAUUUGGGAAUUUUAGGAGCUUAGUUUGAUUUGUAUUGUGUUUAUUUAAUUUGUGCAGCCUUGGUUUAAAGCUUUGGUUGCCUUUGCGAUUCGACAAGGAUUGAUUUCGUGAUUGCUGUGAAAGUAAUCAAAUAUAAAAAAAAAGAAAAAGAAAAAGAAAUUGCUUAAACACGUUUGGUACUUGGGCAUUUUUUGUUGAGUCUAAAUGUUAAAUUGCGACUUCUUUUUUUCUUUUUGGUUUAAUAUUGGAAUUUUAGCAGCUUGGUUUUAUUUUUAUUAUGUUCAUUUAAUUUGUGUAGGCCCUUGUGUAAAGCUUUGGUUCCCUUGACAAUUCAAAUAUGAAGAGUUGUUCCUAGGAACUUAUAGUAAUUUUACGUAUAUUUUUAUGACUUUUAAAAAUUAUAAAUUUUACAAAUAACAGAGAAAUGACAUGUCAUAAUUGCAAUGCUACAUCAGUACUUGUUUGCCACCAAAAUUUCGUAAACGCUUCAAAAGGAUUCGCUAGAGCUUCAACAUUGCUUCAUCUACUAUUCACUAAAGCUUCAUAAUAUUAUUUUUAUUUUUGGCUUAAGUGUCAAAAUGGUCCAUGUGUUUUAACACAAUGGCCAAUUUAAUCCCUGUGUUUUUAAUUUGGCCAAUUCGGUCCUUGUGUUUAUGAUCAUUAGCUAAUUUAGUCCAUCCAGUUAAAAUAGUCGUUAAAUAUGAACAUGAUUGGUUUUUUUUUUUUUUGAAAACGUAUAAAGCUUUUUUAAAUUAAAAAAAGUUGAAUUGAUUUAAAAAUAUUAAAACUUCAAUUAAACUAACAUAACAUUAGGGAAAAAAAAAACUUGAAAAAAUGAAGGAGGCGUAGUCCGGGGAGGGGAAGGGCUGCUUAAUGAGUGGAGUAGUGGGAAGAGGGGUUGACCAUUGCAGGGUGGGGGUGGGUGAUGAAUGAAGGCAUACAACAGAAGAGGGAGAGAUGGGGGUUGGAGAUGGUGUGAACGAUCUGGGAGCCAUGACUGAGGAUGGGGCAAAUGGCUAGGCAAGGGUUAGGUUCUGGAAGAUCUUGCUGGGAGCUGGUCAAAUAAGGGUAAAUGGCUAGACAAUGGUUGAACUCAAAUAAUUAUGUUUUUAAUUAAUGUUUAAAUAGUUUUAAAUUUUUUUAAACUUAGAUUUAAAAGAAUAGAUCACAUUGAUUAAUAGUUGUAAACACAAGGACUUAAUUAGCUAAAUUAGAAACACAUGGACUAAAUUGACCAACGUAAUAAAACACAGGGUCCAUUUUAGCAUUUAAGCCUUUAUUUUUUGACUAAGUCUUCAUUAGUGCUUUUAUGAAUGUUUUAAGAUGAACUCAAAAGACUUGGAAAGUGUAGCACUGAGUUUGUAGAAUUUUUUGUUCUGUAGUUUUUGGCUAUUUAAUGAAUUAUUAUGAUUUUUAGAAGAGUGCACCAUGAGUGCUUCUGACAAGCGACAUUUCGUGUAGCGCCACGUGUCAACAAGGUUUUAUUUUGUGUUUGUUUAUCUUUAAAAAUUCACAAACAAUUAAUUUUUAAAAAAAAUCCUUAAUAUCUACAAAUUUUAUGUGACAUUAUCUUCGACUAUGAUGUGCAAAAAUCAAAAUUUGACUUUAGAAAAUUUGAAUUAAUAAUUCCAGGAAGAGUUGUAGUGAGGGAGUUUGAGUUUGAUAAAGUAUUUGAAACUUUUUUUAUCUCAAAAUAUAUUUUAAUGCUUAAAAGAUGAAGAAAAAAUCAAAAGGAGUUCGUAGGAUUUUUCGGUACAUAUUUAUGAUUUUUGGAAAUUAAAGCAUCGAAAAAUAGUAAUAAAUGGAAGAGAAUGACAAGUGGAAGCACCUAAAUGUUGCAUCAUCAAUGCUUCAGACAGGUAUCAUUCUCACGUAACACCACAAGUCAUCAGCGAUAGCACUUCUCAUUCUCUUCCAUUUAUUACUAUUUUCCAAUGCUUUAACUUCAAAAAAGUCAUAAUAAAUCAGAAAAAUACACCAACAAAUCCUAUGAAAUCAUUGCAACAUUUUUUUUUUCAUCUUUUAUGUUUUAAAAUAUAACUUUGACUUAUAUAAAAUUCAAAUAAUUUCACAAAGUCAAGUUGCUUCCAUACUAACAAUAACACUAAGUUGAAGAUCACUAGUCUUCAUCACUACAACUCUUCCUCCAAUUAUUCUUUCCAAUUUCUCAAAGUCAAAUUUUGAUUUUCUAGUAUCCUAGUCGAAGAUAAUGUCACAAGGAAUUUGUAGGAAUUUUCAGUGUAUUUUUCUAAUUUUUAAAUAAUUUUCUGUGAAUUUUUUAAGAUAAACUCACAAAAAUGAAACAUGAAUUACACGUGGACCUAUGAGAUAUUGACACCCGUUGGAAAAUCUGACGACGAACCCAUCAGCUGCUGCCAUGUGUCAUUAUGUUUCAUUUAUUACUAUUUUCCUAUAUUUUGACUUCCAAAAAUCAUAAUAAAUUCAUAAUAAAUUUGAAAAAUUCACCAAAAAAUGCCUCGGACUCCUUGUGAUAUUUCCAACAUCUUUUGAGACUUAAAAUACAAUUUUAACUUAGAGAAGAAUUCAAAUAAUUUCAUAAAGUCGAGUUUGCUUCCACACUAACAAUAAUACUAAAUUGAAGGAUCACUAGUCUUCAUCAAUACAACUCUCCUUCCAAUUAUUCCUUCAAAUUUCUCAAAGUCAAAUUUUGAUUUUCGAGUAUCAUAGUUGAAGAUAAUGUCGCAAGGAAUUUGUAGAAAUUUUCGGUGUAUUUUUCUGAUUUUUUAAAUGAUUUUUUAUGAAUUGUUUAAGAUCAACUCACAAAAAUAAAACAUGAAUGACACGUGGACCUAUGAGAUACUAACACCCAUUGAAAAAGCUGACAAUGCACCCAUCAGCAGCUGCCAUGUGUCAUUAUCUUACAUUUAUUACUAUUUUCCUAUAUUUUGACUUCCAAAAAUCAUAACUAAUUCAUAAUAAAUCUGAAAAAUUCACCAAAAAAUACCCUAGACUCCUUGCGACAUUUCCAACAUCUUUUAGGACUUAAAAUAUAAUUUUGAAUUAGAUAAAAUUCAAAUAAUUUAACAAAGUCAAGUUGCUUCCAUACUAACAAUAACACUAAGUUGAAGAUCACUAGUCCUCAUCACUACAACUCUUCCUCCAAUUAUUACUUCAAAAUUUUCAAUGUCAAAUUUUGAUUUUCGAGUAUCAUGGUCGAAGAUAAUGUCGCAAGGAAUAUGUAGAAAUUUUCAGUGUAUUUUUCCUAUUUUUUAAUGAUUUUUCGUGAAUUUUUUACAAUAAACUUACAAAAAUGAAACAUUAAUGACACGUGACGCUAGGAGAUACUGAAACCUGUUGGAAAAGUUGAAGACACACCCAUCAGGCGCUGCCAUGUGUCAUUUUCUUCCAUUUAUUACUAUUUUCCAAUAUUUUGACUUCCAAAAAUAUAAUAAAUUCAUAAUAAAUCUGAAAAAUUCACCAAACAAAUACCACGGACUCCUUGCGACAUUUCCAACAUUUUUUUAGACUUAAAAUAAAAUUUUGACUAAGACAAAAAUUCAAAUAAUUUCACAAAGUCAAGUUUGCUUCCAUACUAACAAUAAUACUAAGUUGUAAAUCACUAGUCUUCAUCACUAUAACUCUUCCUCCAAUUAUUACUUCAAAUUUUUCAAUGUCAAAUUUUGAUGUUUGAGUAUCGUAGUCGAAGAUAAUGUCGCAAGGAAUAUAUAGAAAUUUUCGGUGUAUUUUUCUGAUUUUUUUUAAUGAUUUUUCAUGAAUUUUUUAAGAUAAACUCACAAAAAUUAAACAUUAAUGAUACAUGGCGCUAUAAGAUAUUGACACCCGUUGGAAAAGCUGAUGAAGCACCCAUCAAGAGCUGCCAUGUGUCAUUUUCUCCCAUUUAUUACUAUUUUCUAAUAUUUUGACUUCCAAAAAUCAUAAUAAAUUCAUAAUAAAUCUGAAAAAUUCACCAAAAAAAUACCCCAGACUCCUUGCCCAGACUCCUUGCGACAUUUUCAACAUCUUUUGAAACUUAAAAUAUAAUUUUGACUAAGAGAAAAAUUCAAAUAAUUUCACAAAGUGAACUUUGCUUCCAUACUAACAAUAACCCUAAGUUGAAGAUCACUAGUCUUUAUCACUACAACUCUUCCUCUAAUUAUUACUUGGAAUUUUUCAUACUCAAAUUUUGGUUUUCGAGUAUGAUAGUCGAAGAUAAUGUCGCAAGGAAUAUGUGGAAAUUUUCGGUGUAUUUUUUUGAUUUUUUAAUAAUUUUUCAUGAUUUUUUUAAGAUAAACUCACCAAAAUGAAACAUUAAUGACACGUGGCGAUAUGAGAUACUAACGCCCAAUGAAAAAGCUGACGAAGCACCCAUCAGGUGCUGGCAUGUGUCAUUCUCUUCCAUUUAUUACUAUUUUUCAAUAUUUUGACUUCCAAAAAUCAUAAUAAAUCUGAAAAUUUUAUCAAAAAAUACCACGGACUCCUUGUGACAUUUCUAACAUUUUUUGAGACUUAAAAUAUAAUUUUGACUAAGAGAAAAAUUCAAAUAAUUUCACAAAGUCAAGUUUGCUUCCAUACUAACAAUAACACUAAGUUGAAGAUCACUGGUCUUCAUCACUACAACUCUUUCUCCAAUUAUUACUUCAAAUUUUUCAAUGUCAAAUUUUGAUUUUCUAGUAUCAUAGUCAAAGAUAAUGUAGCAAGGAAUAUGUAGAAAUUUUUGGUGUAUUUUUUUGAUUUUUUAAAAUGAUUUUUCGUGAAUUUUUUAAGAUAAACUCACAAAAAUAAAACAUUAAUGACACGUGGCGCUAUGAGAUAUUGACACCCGUUGGAAAAGCUAAUGACGCACCCAUCAUGCACUGCCGUGUGUCAUUUUCUUCCAUUUAUUACUGUUUUCCAAUAUUUUGACUUUCAAAAAUCAUAAUAAAUCUGAAAAAUUCACCAAAAAAAUACCCCAGACUCCUUGCGAGAUUUCCAACAUCUUUUGUGACUUAAAAUAUAAUUUUGACUUAGAAAAAAAUUCAAAUAAUUUCUCAAACUCAAGUUUGUUCCUAUAGUACCUAUAACACUAAGUUGAAGAUCAUCACUCUUCCUCACUAUAACUCUUCCUUCAAUUAUUACUCCAAAUUUUCAAAAGUCAAAUUUCAAUUUUCACGCAUCAUAGUUGAAGAUAAUUUCUCAAGGAGUUUUUUAAAAAUUUCAGUGCAUUUUUCAGAUUUUUAUUAAUUUUGUGUAAUUUUUUUAAGUCAAGCACACAAAAAUGAAACUUUGAUGGCACAUGGCACUAUGAGAUACUAACACCUGUCGAAAACUCAUCAUGUGCUACCAUGUGUGAUGCUCUUCCAUUUAUUACUAUUUUUCAAUGCUUUAACUUCCAAAAAUCAUUAAAAAAAAUCUGAAAAAUUCAUAAUAAAAAUCCUAGGAACUCCUUACAAUAUUUUCUUCAUCUUUUAAGUUUUAAAAUAUAAAUUUGACAUAUAAAAAGUUCAAAUAAUUUCUCAAGACAUUAUCACUCGUCAUUUUCCCCCAUUCAUUGCAUUUAAUACGAAUUUUUGAAGUUAAAGCAUAGAAAAUAUAUAAAUAAACUGAACAUAAUGACACAUGGGAACAGAAAAAUGAUGCGACUUCAGUUCUUUAAACGGGUGUCCUCUUAUAGCGCCAUGUGUAAAAAAUGUUUCUUUUUAAUAUUGUUUAGCAAUAAAUGGGAGGAAAUGACAAGUGCGAGUGCCUUGAGGCUGCAUCCUCAAUGCUUCUCACGAGUGUCACUCUCAAUGGCACCAUGCGUCAUUAAAGUUUCAUUUUUGUAUGUUUAUCUUAAAAUUUUUACAAAAAAUUUAUAAAAAAUCAGAAAAAUAAAUGUGUCAGAGCAGUGUUUAUAACACGUGUCAUUGUUGAAUUACACCACGUAUUUCUAGAAUUACUCUAAGUGUAGAAUAAUAUUUCACCAAAUAUAUGGGUUAAAAUAAGUUCCAUUAACAUUUAUACAGUCAAUAGGUGUACAAGAAAGUUAAACUGAGGUUUCACACAUAUUUCACGUAAUAUGCACUAAUGUUUCACUUAGUGUUCAUCCGAACCUAACUUGUGCAAUUAUCGCCAAUUAGAAGAGUCAUAAAGCCUUUAAUUACUCUACACUUCUUCACUGAUCCUUCUGCAACCAAAGAUUUGAAAAAUAACAGAAAUUGUCAACAACAAAAAAAAUUUAUCUAGCGAGAGUCGAACUGCAAAAUCAAAUGGUAACCGUACAACUGAGUUCUUACCUAGCGAGAGUCUAAGUGCACAAUCAAAUAUCCACAGAGAAAAUUGUUGAAGGGGCACAAGACCCAGAUGGGAAAUAUCGAUAAAAUCAAUUAAGUAAAAAAAGAGUUGAGAAACUUGCAAAACUUACUGAGCGGAAGAACAUGGGAAUAUAUAGGAGCAACCAAGAACUUAAAUUGGGAGCCCGUGCUUCUCUUUCUAAUAGCAGCCUCCCUUUCAACAUAUUCAUGUACACAAUUUGAUAUCAAUUACUAAUACAGAGAAUAAAUUUCUAUGAAUUGAAAGGCAAAAUCUAUGUUGUGGGUUUCGCGGAACUUACUGAUUAGAGGGAUUAGACGAUGGGGGCCAGGAGGCCAUGGCGGAAAAAUUUCUGAAGAUGAGAGGAGUGAUGCUUUGUAUAGAAAUGGAAGCAAGGAAAUGGGUAAAUUAAGGGCAUGAUCUGACCUGGUUCCCUAAAGCACCUCACCACCCUGAUUCCCACAUGAAACUACCACGCACCAGACACAAAAAACCAUUGACUCUUAGAAGUUGAUUUACUCCUCCUAAUCAACUGCCCCUCAGCACUUUGGAGAUAGUAAAACCCAGUUUGUUUAGGAUUCCUCUUCAAGAGAAAGGAGCACAUCAUAUGGUGAAUGCUCGGUUCAAAUGAAUUCACUUCAUUCCAUAUCACGUACAUGCUCUGCAACGUCCGAUAAAUGUUCUGAUUCAUCUGGAUGAGGUGCAAUACCCAGCAAUGUCCAAUAAUUCACAUCGUAGUGGCAAGCUUCCAUUCCCACUCUUCAAAAUCUCUCUCUCUCUAUAAGAGCAUUUCCACCAGUUAGCCCCUUGUCAUGACAAGAGGAGCCCUAGGGCAGUUACUAUUCACGUGAAUAGUGGCUGCCCUAGCCCCCUCAGCAAAGUGUGUUUCCAGCAGUUUAGACUUGUCAUGGCAAAUACUAUUCUUUUUUUUUUUCACAACUUUUUUUUACUUAAACAAUUAAUUUGGAUAAUAUUUUCAGAUAAGAUUUUUGGGUUUCUACGUGUCAAUACUAUUCAUAUUAGAUAAUAUUUUCGGAUAAGAUUUUAUUUUAUUAGUUGUAUUGGUUGGUAUUUAUAGGAAAAAAAAAGUAUGAGGAUUUGGUGUUAAAAGUGAAGAGUAUUGGUUAGUAUUUAUAGGCACUGGCGAACCCAAAAUUUUUGUAGCAGAGGUGCAAUAUUGACUAAGUAUGAAAAAUAAUUUUUUGGAAUAAUCAUUUUCUCAAGAUAAUUUUUUGGCAGCUUUUAUUCCUUACACAUCAAUAAAUAAGAAAACUUGAUUUUAUGAAAUUUUAAUAUGAAGUAUACAUUGACUUAAUGAGCCAUCAUUUUUAGCCUAAAUCGUAUUUUGCACUAAAACCGAUUUUUCAUAUUUUGAUUUGAUGAGAAUUUGAUUUUCUAGUAUUUUUAUUUGAAUCCAAAUAGAGGGUACUUCCUUAUUUACAUUGUAAACUUAAGUAAAUGGAGUAAUAUAAAAAUAAAUGAAAAUAAAAGGACAAAGACAUUUACUUAAAUGUUGAAAAUGGAAAUAAGGUAUAGAGAAAAAAAAAAUCAGUAAUUUUUUUGGUAUUUUUUUAAAAAAAUAUCAUUGUAUAAACAUUGGCUAUUGUUGGAUUGCUGGAAAAAAUAUGAUCGGAGAGCCUAGCGCUCGCCACGUGGACGAUUUAAAAAAAUUUGGACGCAGGGCUGACGUCGACGUGAUGUCAGGACGCUGACAUCAGCCUUGCCCUCGGGCCAGCCCAGUCUGCUGGGUCCCACUAUUUGCCUGGGCUUGCUUUUGUUGCUGGAAACCACUUUUUUGUCCAAACCCCCUAGCUCGAGUCCAUCCUUAGCUGCUGGAAAUGCUCUAAGUAGAUCUCUCUUCUCUUACUCCCACUCUGUCUCUAUUCUUUAAUCAACCUGUCUCUCAUGAAACUUUUGUCGAACACAUAAUGGUGAAGUGGCAGCCUUCUCCGAAUUCCAGCAGCCAAAUUUGUGAUGAGGCUUCCAAAUUUAAUGCCUUUUGUAAUUUUUUAGAUAGUUAACACAUUUAUUCAUUUUUAACCAUAAAAAUCCAAUAUGUUUAGAAAGCUUCCUGAGAAACAAGGAAAAGAAGAAUAAAUUCUUGUUUUUCAUUUCUGGGUAAAGCCAAGAAGCAAGAAAAAGAAGAAUAAAUUCUUGUUUUUCAUUUCUGGGUAAAGCCAAGAAGUUCAAUAUUUGAUAAUUGUUAAUAUAUUUUGUGAGUUGUUGAGAGAUGAGAUUUUGGGGCAAAGUUAAGAAGAAGGAAAAGAAAGAAAAAGACAGGACGUGGAGGGCGUGAGAAAGAAAUAGAAACAAAAAAGGACGUUAACUUUGUCGUUAGUUGGAUUAGGGUUUUUUUUUUCUUUUUCUUUUUUAAGUAAGAGUAAAUUGGGUUUUUGUUUGAAGGAUGAUGUGUCAAUUUUUAAGUUCCUUAUAUUAAAUUUUAAUGAGGUGUCAUCUAUAUAUAUAAAGCAAAAGGCAGAGAAUGGUGAAACAUUCAAAAUACCAGAAAAUGCCCUUGGUUAAUGCACAUUAAGAAUUAAAAUUAUUAAUUAAAUGAGGAUAAUAUGGUAAAUUCAUAAUUUUUCAUAUUAAAAAAAUUAAAAUUAAAAGAAAAUUCAGAUAAUGGAUCCUAUUUUUAUGGAACACAACUAUCCAUUAUCUUUUUUAAUUCGAAAAUAAAUUUAAAUUUUUUUAAAAAAGCCUUUCGCAGGCGCAGAAGCGCGUGCAGAGAGGCUAGUAUGAAUAACAAAGUAAAGUAAAUCAUGACAGAGAAAAUCAGAGCAAAAGAUCCGGAUACUACAGAAAGCUAUAUGUCUGCCGACGCUAUUAAAAGCAUGCUCCUUUCACAGUGUUUUUGACAGGCUAUAAAGAUUCUUUAUAGCGGUGUAUUCUUUAUAGCAUGUUUUCAUUGCCAUUGCAUUUGUUUAAUAUAUGGGAGCUUUAGUAAUACACCCAAAAUAGGAGCUGAAAUUAUAAAAAAAUCCUACAUGAAAUUCAAUUUAGAAACACACCCAAAAACCCAUUUAUUAUAUAUGAAAUGAGUGUUGAAGUUACUAUAAAUUACAUUUUUGCCAUUGAUUAACUUAAAACAAGCCCAACACAAAAAAUACUUAAAAAAAUCCAAAACAAACCCUGCAAGCUCUAAGUACAUUGUUAAUACCAUGACAUAAAAGUACAGUGUUAAUACGAUGUCAUAGAAGUACAUUGUUAAUACCAUUUCAUAGAAGUACAUUGUUAAUACCAUGUCAUAGAAGUACAUGUCAUAAAAUUACAUUGUUAAUACCAUUCCAUAGAAGUACAUUGUUAAUACCAUUCCAUAGAAGUACAUUGUUUAUACUUUGUCAUAGAACUAUCUUGUUAUUACUAUGUCAUAGAACCAUGUUGAGUCCUUUCCAAAGGCAUAAACUUCCCAGCAUCACUGAUCAACAUUGUCCUGCCAGCUCCAACAAUGAAGAAUAUUAUUAAUAACAAGAUACCUCUACAAAAAAAAAAAAAGUACACUAUUAAUACUACGUCAUAGAAGUACAUUGUUAAUACUAUAUCGUAGAACCAUCUUCCUAAUAAAAAUCACAUUCUGCAUAUCAUAAACUUCAAGUGAAUGGUAUGGAGUUGUACACUUUUAUCUUACCUAUUAUGCAAAUGAAAUGAUGUAGUUGUUAACUUCUAAAUAAUCCUCAUGAUACUGAUGGCUUUCCAAUUCGAGCAUAGGGUGCUAACAUGCCAACCAAAGCAAUGUCAACAGCUAUUCCAACUAAAAGAUCAGCAGCGUACAACUCAAACUCAGCCUAGAAAUCCUUUCCCAUUUUCUGAAAAUGUUGCACAACAAGAAUCUAUGACUAUCUACAUUACAAAAGAGUCAAGGAAGAGAAAUUUCUUCAAUAUUCAACAAGAUCAACAACUAUCAAAUGUAACGGUCCAAUUUGAAGGCAAGGUAUAUUUAAUGGAAUUCAUAGGACUAUCACCAAUCCAAACAAUGACCCACAAACUCAAUUACUGAUAUUUACAGUGAAAAAUGCAGAGCUACAAUUCUUUCAAGAGAACUAUUAAUUUACAGUCCCUUGACUUGAAACACAAAUUACUCAAAAACAUUAUUUACCAAAAAGAAAGAUCACGAAAACAAACCUCUGUCCCAACUUUAAAAAGAAAGGAAGGAUAAGCCAGCAUACGAUUUCGUAGCAUAGAGCAAUACUUCAUCAAAAAGCCCAGUGGCCAAAUUGACCCCUGAAAUUCGAAAAUAUAUAUAUAUAUAUAAAUUAGAAACCCAAUAAGUAACUUAGCAAAAACCAUAUAUCUGAAGAUUUUUCAAUAGAAAUGGAGACCAACAUACAAACAAUAAUUGGACAAUACUAGAAAAAACCAUGAAUAUGGAACCAUAACAGGAAACCCAAAGUCGUAUCAAUACCUGAUAUGUCUUUCAGGAACUUGACUCAAUAAAGCAUUAAUAACUAGAGAGUUAUCGAGGUACAAAGGCAAAAGCUUGCAAACAAAUAAAUAGUACCAACAACAACAAAAAAGUAAACAUUUCCUUACUAGAACCAUUGCAUCAAAAGGCAACCCUGCACCAGCGGAAGGAGCAACAAAAGAUGUGCUAAUUCCAAUUUUAUCAUAUGGGGAAUGAAGAGAUACUCCCAAAAAACCAGCAGGAGGUCUAGUACCAGAAGCAUUUGUGGAAUUCUCAUUCACUUCCCCAUUAGUUGUAGGCCUGAGCUGAGUAUGGACUUUCACAUCAUUAUCUGUUGCCCAGAAGAUUAUGAAAACAAAUCAAUCAGGAUGAAGCAUUUGGUUAGGGGUGCAUGUCCCAAUUUAGGACCAUUACAGAAUUCCUUGUCCUUCAUUCAAGUAAGUCGGAAACUAUCCCCUUUUCUUUGCAAAAUUGAUAGAUGAGGGAUGGGCAACAAAAACAAGCCACAAAAUUGUUCCCUCCCACAACGAAACUCAGAAAUCCUGAUUAAAAAUUCUCACACUACAAACGCAAAGUAUCUAAUGAGAAAUAGGUACCAUACCAGCAAAUUGCAUGCUUCCAGACCCAUUGUUCCUUUGAGUGUGGUGGUUGUCUUCCUAAUAGAUGAAAUCCAAGAUUACUUUAACUUCAUGCAUAAAUAUCAUCUAACCAUCACAUACAACAAAGGGCCAAAAUCCAUCACAUAUGAGCAGACAUAAUGAAAGGAAAUUCUUACUUUAGUGUUGCCAUCACUGCCAUCUGUCAAACCAUCAAUAUUUUGUUCCAAACUGCACAUGGUCAUAGAAUCAAAAUUUAGAUUGGCUACAUCCAGAGACAACAUCAUAAAACUUACUGGAAGCCACUGCUUGACAAUUAGUAUGGUCUAGGGCAGAUGACAAAUAGUUUUUCUAUUUUUCUAUUUUGAAAAAGCCCAUCUUUCACAGCAAUGUAGCUGCAAAGUAAGUCUACCCUGCUACACAUGUUUAGAUGCACACAAAAGUAUAGAUAUAUGACCUAUGAGAAACAGGUACACACACAUGCUGUAAAACGCAGGCAACAUAUAUCAGGGAUAACUCCCUUAAUAUAGUUGUCAUAAUUUAAAGUGAAGUCAAACUUCCCGGGAAAGAGACCUAUCUAACUAAAAUUAGAUCUAAAUAACAUCAAUGAGACCUCACAAUCAAGCUAGAUAAAAAAAAUCUUCAAAAAUUAUUGAAUUAACAAUCCUUUAAAAGACGUGUACGAUAUCCAUCUAAUCCUUGCUAGUGACAAAGCUCUGAACCCAGAGUAGGCAAAGGGUUCACAAAAACAAGAGAUACCCAGUGAGUCAACUCGAAACACAGCUUCAAUUAUGAAUUACCAAGGUCCUGAGCAAAUCUAAACCAAUCCAAUCUUCCAUUAAAUUGGUGAGAUGAUGGAAUAAGACCAAACCGAUGAAUAAUUUAACACUCAAUUCAAUAACUGGGGAGCUAAAGAACAAAAUCACAAAACAGAGGCCAAAUUUCAGACCAUCAAUUAAACUUUCACUCAAUUUUCUCUUCAUCCAAACAGAUGGUGGUAUCUAAUUUGUUCAAAUCCGCACUUCACCAAAUAGAUCCGCACAAAAAAUCAACAUAGUUACAACAGUUCAUCACAAAUCCAUACGUACAAUCGUGUGAUCUAUAUAUCAGUUCCGACACAGAAACAUCAAAUUCUAACAGUAUUAACCACUUCCAUAAAAAUCAGAUCCAAAAACCCAUUAAUCUAGAAACAUAAAUCGAAACCAAAUAUCAACAAUUAAAUGCAAAUAUAGAUAUACGAAAUUAAAGAUUAUGAGUCGGAGAGAGAGAGAGAGAGAGAGAGAGAGAGAGAGAGAGAGAGAGAGAGAGAGAGAGAGAGAGAGAGAGAGAGAGAGAGAGAGAGAGAGAGAGAGAGAGAGAGAGAGAGAGAGAGAGAGAGAGCAAACCAGAUUAGAAUGAGAGCUAGAGGAAAGGGCCUCGAGCUUUGUAAGUCAUCCGUGGAAAGCAGAAACCGGAAGAAAUUGGAAGCAUUUGGAUCCAGAGAAACAGAGUUGUGUAAGAAACGAAAGUGAAAAUUUCAUAACGGAGAGAAAUAACCGAAAGGUCAAAACCGUAAUCUAACAUAGUAAAUAAAUCCAAAAAUUGACAGCUGUCGAUUUUUGGGUUUAUUUUGAGUGUGUUUCUAUGUAUUAAAUAGUGUAAGGUAUAUUUAUAGUUUCAUGUCUAGGAAUGGGUUUUUCACUAAUUUUUUAUUAAUAUAUCUCUUCCAUCUUUUAAUUUGGCUGAAAGAAACAACACUAUAUAUAAGCACCACAAGAAUGGAAACGCACAUCUUCUACUAAAUAAGUUGCUGCCAAUAUUUUUCCAUUAUGAGAUAAACUAAGUAGAUCAUAGUGCACAGGAGCACUAUCCAAAUCAAGUGUAAUUGGAAACACAUAACUGCUAACACAUAAUACGUAACUGUAUUUUCCUUUUCAUUUUAGGAUAACACUGAUUACCUUCUAAUGUGGAUAAAAUAAUCUUCUAUGCUCUUGCUCUUCAUCUUCUUCGAGUCUUGUAUUUCCUCAACUACAGCAUUAUGUAUUAGUUAAAAGGGUUAGUUACAUUUUUGGUAAUUGAGAUUUGGCUCAAAAUCAAAUUUGGUAACUGUAAUUUCAAUUUUUCUGAUUUGGUCAUUGUACUUGCAGCUGUUAACAAAUCAAGUCUAAUGUCUCAAUUAUGUCAAUUUCAUUAAUUAAAAAAUAUUUAAUAUUAAGUUAAAAAUAAUUAACUUCAAUAUAAAAUUUAAGUAUAAUAUAUUUGAAAAGAAAAUUAAUAAGAUUAAAACUUAAAUUUAAAAAAAUUACCAAUAUAUAUAUAUAUAAAAUAUUUAACGGUGAGUGAUCACAAUAUCUUGGACUCCUGUGGUCAAAGAAAUUGGGACUAUAUAUAUAUAUAUAUGCCCCCUCAUCACUAUUGAAAUGAAAUGAAUAAUUGGUGGACCAAAAUUAUACUGGAGCAAAAGUUAGGAAACCAUUUCUAUCAAAAAUUCUAUUUUAUUUGAGUAUGUAAAAAAAACAUGUAAGAAGAUACAACAAUUGAUCUAAAGCUAUUGAACUGUACUAUUGCAAGUUAAAAUGCAAUUCAAUUCAAUAGAUGUAAAAAUAGUUUAGCAACCUUUUUUAAAAUUUUUUUGGGUAAAAACCAUGAGGUGUUCCCACACCCGAAGGGUAGAAUUAAUCCCUACUCGAGGUUCGGCUUGCCCCUAACUGCAAAAUACUUCCAACAAAUUUCGAACCAUUACCAUUUAAGUACUAAGUAGCUCGCUAGCUAAAAAUAGCAGUUUACCAACCGCAUCACGCUUGUGAUUGUCCAACAACCAUUCUGAAUGCUCUGAAAGACAUGAAAUAAUACAAAAGGGCUAUCUUUAUUAGACAAUGAAAAGCACGUGGUAGAGCAGUUUCAAUAAAUGAGGGUGCGUUCCAUCAACAAUGAUGCGCUGAACCUCCAUACUUGAAGCUUAGUGAGAAAAUAUAUUAGAAACUACAAAGGUUUGGAGUGUUAGGCAGGGCCUUGCAAAUGUCAGUCAACGUGAGAGUGAGGGAGUCAGUGGUGGUGAAGCCAGAGGAGGAAACGCCAAAACGGGCGCUGUGGAUAUCGGACUUGGAUAUCGUGAUUUCGGCAACUCACCUUGGAAGUGUUUACUUCUACAGGAGGCCAAACGUUCAAAACAACUGUGUCUUGGAUUCGGAGGUGCUCAAGUGCUCCCUUGCCAAGGCCCUCGUGCCCUUCUACCCGGUGGCCGGCCGCCUGAAGCUGAACGAUGAGGGACGUAUCGAGAUGGAUUGCAAUGCAGAGGGAGUGCUGUUUGUUGUGGCGGAGACUGCCUCGGUCCUCGAUGAUUUCGGGGACUUUGCGCCGACUCUUGAGUUCCGGAAGCUCGUUCCUGCUGUUGAUUAUUCCGCUGGGAUGUCCUCUUAUCCCCUCUUGGUGGUACAGGUAUUCAGAGAAAGAGAGGAGACAUUUUUUUCACUCCUUUCUUUUAUUUCUCUUGCUCAUAAUAUCAUUCGGGACAAUUCUUGAACCUGAUAUGACUUAAACUUACAAAGUAUGGUUCUGGUUUUACUCUGUUUAUGCAUCAGGUCACAUACUUCAAAUGUGGUGGAGUGUCACUUGGUGUUGGCCUGGAACAUCGUGUAGCAGAUGGCUUUUCUGGUCUCCACUUUGUAAAUACAUGGUCUGAUAUCGCUCGAGGUCUUGACCUUACAAUUCCACCAUUCAUCGACAGGACAUUACUUCGUGCCCGAGACCCACCACAGCCUGCAUUCGAUCACACUGAAUACCAACCUGAUCCACCCAUUAAAACCGGUACAAAAGCUGUAGGUGAUGAGAGCGCAACGGUAUCCAUUUUUAGAUUGACACGGGAGCAGCUCAACAUCUUGAAAGCCAAGUCUAAGGAAGAUGGGAACACAAUCAACUAUACCACAUAUGAGAUGUUGGCAGGUCAUAUUUGGAAAUGCGCAUCCGUGGCACGUGAACUUCCUGAUGAUCAAGAGACCAAACUACAUAUUGCAGUUGAUGGAAGGUCCAGACUGCAACCCCCCCUCCCUCCUGGUUUCUUUGGCAACGUGGUUUUUUCAAGCGCACCAAUUGCUGCAACAGGGGAUCUCAAAUCAGAACCAACAUGGUAUGCUGCAAGCCGUAUUCAUGAUGCUGUUGUGCGUAUGGACAACGAUUAUCUUAGAUCAGCGCUGGACUAUCUUGAACUUCAGCCUGACCUGUUACCCCAUGUUCGCGGAGCUCAUACUUUUAGGUGCCCGAGACUUGCAAUAACUAAUUGGUCUAGGCUGCCGAUCUAUGAUGCUGAUUUCGGUUGGGGUCGACCUACUUUCAUGGGGCCUGGUGGAAUUGGAUAUGAGGGGUUGGCUUUUGUGUUACCAAGUGCAACAAAUGAUGGAAGUUUAUCAGUGGUCAUUUCUCUGCAAUCUCAACGUAUGAAAUCAUUCUCCAAGUUGUUGUAUGAGAUAUAAGGAAAUGAAAUGCGUCGAAUGGGAACAAUACGUUGAACAUACUUCGGGCUUCUAUCUCGUGUCCUCUGAGUUCUGGGACUUCGGAAAGCAGCUGUUUUAGAAAAGUUCAAGUGGUCUUUUGUGGCUAAUAUAUAUUAGAGUAUCUGUUUUAGGAACAUCCUAGUACUGAAUAAGAUUGUCAGAGUAUCUGUAAGCUUUGUUUAAUGCUGUGGAGGACUUCUUUUUCGGAGUAUCUGUAGUUUACUGUGAUUCUUAAUAAGAUUUUCUUUCUCCAUGAAACAAAAACAUACUGAAUCACUUUGGUUGCAUGAAGGUUAGUGCCUUUGGUAAACCUGCACUUCGGUUAUACUUUCAGAAAUUUUGGUUUAAUGCAAGAGCAUUUGUAGCUUUUUUAUUUCUCACUGCGAAAAAAGGAAGAGUUAAUAAUCACACUACAGUCCAAACCUUUUAAAAGAGGUUCCAUGUGGUUUUGUCAGGCUGUGUGGUCGUAUUCUUUUGUCAGCUGGUAUUAUCAUAAAUACUUGAUAUUAUCAUUUGUCCUAGGUGCACCCAUGCACCAUUUGUCCUAUAUGAUGUUCUUAGAUUUUUUAAAAAAUUGAUUAUCAAUUAUACAAGUUAUCAAGUUUUUACUUUUUGAAAAUGCAAUUGCAUAAGGGUUAUGCAAUUAUGCUAUUUUUGUUUGGCAAUUGGUAUAUGAUUGGAUAUGUUAUUUUUCAAUUGAGUUUAUUCUUUUUGACUCACGAUGACUUGCGUAUGAAUUUCACAAUGGUAUUUGUUUACUUUUAUAAAUCUAAAGUUAUCGUUUUAGAAUAUUCUUUUUUUUUUAUGAGAACUGUUUGACUUUUUUUUUCCUUUUGAUUUCGAUAUGUCACUUCAUUGUAGCUUUACUUAAGUUCAUUAUGAGUUGCUGGUUUUAUUUAUAUGAAUUAUGAUGGCUAGUUGUGGUUAAUUCCUCUGUAUUUUAUGCCUAGUUUUUAAAAAUCAAUUGAGGUUGAUAGUUUUAAUUUUUUGUUACUUUUGUUUCAUAGAAUUCGUGAAUGUGCAUCAAUAUUUAUUUGAGAGCUUGAAAGUCUUUAUCCAUCAAAAUUUUUCACCUCGAGUUCUAUCUAUGUAAUUGGUUGAAAUCAAUUUCUAAAAUAAGAACUAUGUUACUUGUUGAACUCUAUGUUACAUGGUUGUACUUUUGUAGACAUCCACGAAGUACUAUAAAUUUAUAUUCUUUUCCUAACAUGGCCGUGUAUUUUACAUUACAUUGUUAUGAUUAAAAUCAAGAAAAACAAGUAGAAAAGUAGAAAAUUUACAAGUUUUCUCGUAGAUUACAAGAUUUUCAGUUGUGUUUACAACGAUAAUGACAUAAUUUUACUCGUCCAAAGUCCAUUCUUACCUUGGUACUAUGUAUCAUUUUCUUUGUAAAUUAGGGUAUUACAAUGUUAUGGAUUAGGGUGGACUAUAAUGUUGUUACAAUUAUUUCAAUUAUUUCACAACAUUUGCAGAUUUUUUCAUGAUUCAUGAGUUAGGGGUUGCUUUGUAUAACUUGUAACCAAAAUCAAUAAAAUUGGGGUAACUUUAUAUAAAUCCAAUUGGCCAAACUGAAAAAAAAAAAAAAAAUAUUUACUUGUAACCAAAUACAAUUUUUUAACAUCUAAACUAUUCUUUUUAUUUUGUUAUUUCUUAAAUGUGAAUAAAUUACUAGAAGGAACUAAAAUACGACUACAUAGUAUAACUCAUUUAUGUAUUUAAUAUCAAUCAAUGAUAAGAUAUUCAACUUUUAAGACAUAAUAUCAAUAAAUAUCCACUUGUAUUAUAAUAAAUAUUAUAUGACAUACUCUGAAGCCACACUAUAAUUACUUCUCAAGAUGACAUAUUAUUAUAUUAAAAAAUAUAUGUAUUCUUGCUUAUUCUAAAAAUAACUUAAAGCAAAUGUCUUAUAACAAAAGAUGACUCAUAGCAUCUUCCAACAAAAAAUUUCCUUAUGAUCCGUCUCCCUUUUUUUGUUCAUAUCUUCGUAAUAUAAUUGGUUCAUGUUCCGAUUAAAAAAAAGUUAAAUAAGAAUAUAUAAUAAUAUAAUACUUAAAUAAUAUAUAUUGCACUUUAUAAUCAAUAUAGAAUACAUAAAUAUGAUAUUUACAUAUAAUAUGUACAAUUUCAACUAAAAUACUCGAAUUUUAUAUAAGUAUGUAACAUAACAAAAUACUAAAUGAGGCAAUGAAGGAGAAGAAAGUGAUUGAGUUACCAUUACCAAUUCCUUAAACUCGUAACUUACAAGUUUUUGUAACAAUUUACAAGGUUUUGCUCUUAGAUUACAACAUUAGGGUUCACCGAAUCCAUAAUGUUGUAAAUCAGCCUUUUGCAAGGAUAUGGAUCCAUAUUACAAGGAAUUGGUAAUGAUGAACCGUAGGGAAGCAAAAUGGGUCCUUAUUCUAGUAAACAAUGGUUUACAACAUUAAGGAUUUGUAUUACGAUGCUUUGGACGCAAGAGUUCCAUAAACUUGUAAAGUGGAUCCGUAAUCUCAUAGAUUACAAUAUUUGGGUUCCCAUUUAUCCGUUUUUGCAAUCUAAUUACAAGUUUAAGGUUCUUCAUAUUCCAUAAUCUUAUAAUACCCAUAGAAAGGAUCCCCAUUACAAGUUUAUGGAAUGUCGAGGUCCAAAACAUUGUAAAAGGGGUCCUUAUUAUUGUAAACCCUUGUGUUUACAAGAAUAAGGACCACAUUUACUUCUCCAAGGUCCACCCUUAUAAUACCUUAACAUUAUAAGAGAGAUCAUUUCUAAUGUAAAUUAUUAUAGUAUUACAAGAUUAUGGAUUAUAAAGAACUUUAAAGUUGUAAUCAUGGUGCAAAAACUUGUAAAUAAGAAUCAAAAUAUUGUAAUCUAUGAGAUUAAGGAUCCAUUUUACAAGUUUAUAGAACACUUAUGUCCAAACCAUUGUAAUACAAGUCCUUAGUGUUAUAAACCGUUGCAUUUACAAGAAUAUGAACCACGUUUACAUUUUCAAGGUCCACCAUUACCUUAACUUUGUAAUAGAGAUCCUUUUAUUGUAAUUUAUGAGAUUACAAAUUUAUGGAUACACGUUACAAGUUUAUGGUACAUGGAGGUCCAAAAUAUUGUAAAAGAGGUCCGUAAUACUAUAAACCCUUGUGUUUACAUGAAUAAGGACCACAUUUACAACGUUGAAGUCUACUCUUACCUUAUCAUUGUAAGAGGGAUCAUUUCAAUUGUAAAUCAGGAUAUUACAACGCUAUGGAUAAGGAAGAACCUCAAACUUGUAAUCAUAGUGCAAAAAAUCAUAAAUGAGAAUCCAAAUAUUGUAAUGUACGAGAUUAAGAAUCUGCGUUACGAGUUUAUGGAGAGCUUACGUCCAAAGCACUGUAAUACGGGUUCUUAAUGUUAUAAACCAUUGCAUUUACAAGAAUAAGUACCAAUUUUACAUCUUCAAGGUCCACCAUUAUCUUAACCAUGUAAUAGAGAUCAUUUCUAUCGUAAUUUAAGAUAUUACAAGUUUAUGGAUACACUUUACAAAUUUAUGGAACAUAGAGGUCCAAAACAUUGUAAAAGAGGUCCUUAAUAUUGUAAACCCUUGUGUUUAUAAGAGUAAGGACCACCUUUACUUCUCCAAAGUCUACUUUUACUUUAUCAUUGUAAGAGGGAUCCUUUCAAUUGUAAAUCAGGAUAUUACAACGCUAGGGAUAAGGAAGAACCUCAAAAUUGUAAUCAUGGUGCAAAAAAUCAUAAAUGAAAACCCAAAUCUUGUAAUGUACGAGAUUAAGGAUCUGCGUUACGAGUUUAUGGAGAGCUUACAUCCAAAGCAUUGUAAUACGAUUCCUUAAUGUUAUAAACCAUUGCAUUUACAAGAAUAAGUACAAAUUUUACAUCUCUAAGGUCCAUAAUUACCUUAACCAUGUAAUAGAGAUCCUUUAUAUUGUAAUUUAUGAUAUUACAAGUUUAUGGAUACGCUUUACAAAUUUAUGGAACAUGGAGGUCCAAAACAUUGUAAAAGAGGUCCUUAAUACUGUAAACCCUUGUGUUUAUAAGAAUAAGCACCAAAUUUAUUCCACCAAUGUCCACUCUUACUCUCUUCUUAUACAAGGGUUCCUUGUUGUUGCAAAUUAUGGUAUUACGAGAUUAAGGAUGGCUUUUACAAUGUAAUGGAACGACUAUGUCCAUUUUAGUAUAAUACGAAUCCUUAAUGUUGUAACCACCACCUUGUUUACAAGGAUAAUGACUCAACUUACUACUCCAAGGUUCAUUCUUACCUUAACAUUGUUUUGGGGGUCAUUACGAGUUUUGUAAAUUACGAUAUUACAAGAUUAAGGAUCUCUUUUAUAACUUUAUGGAACCUCUCUAUCCAUAACAAUAUAACGGAAGUCCUAUAUAUUGUAAACUCCUUUGUUUACAAUGACAAGGACCAAAUUUAUUCCACCAAGGUCCACUCUUACCCUAUUCUUAUACAAGUAUAAGGACCCAAUUUACUUUCCUAAUGCCCCAAGUUACCUUAAUAUUGUACUAUAUGUCUUUAUCUUUGUAAAUUACGAUAUUUCAAUAUUAAGGAUGGGUUUUAUACUUUUAUGGAACACACCUGUUUAAUAUAAAGUUGUAAAUGUUUGUGUUUAUAAGUAUAAGGACCCAAUUUACCUUCCGAAUGUUCCAUUUUACUGUUUGUCAAUUGCAAUUUUGAACUUACUAUUUGUCAAUUGCAUUAUUCAAUUUCAAUUUUCCACUAACUGUUUGUCAAUUGCAUAUGAGUCCUUACUAUUGUAAACCCUUUGGUUUACAAGGAUAAGGACCUAAUUUACUUCUCUAAUAUCUCUCAUUCCCUUUAUAAAUUUAUUUUAUUAAUUUUAGUAUCUUUUAAAUACAUGUUUACAACAUAUUUACAAAGGCCAAAAAUCGCAUUUUUUUUACCCAAAAAAAACUUAUUCACUUUGGGGUUACAAAAGCAUUAGGAAUGGGAAGUGAAAUCAUGUGGAAAACGAAGUCAAAAGUGAAGCAAAUAGGGUAAUUGAUGGUAACACACACACACACACACACACACAAAAAACAAACAAAUAGGGUAGGGUAAUUGAUGGUAACACACACACACACACACACACACACACACAUAUAUAUAUAUAUAUCAACAAACAAACAAAUAGGGUAAUUGAUGGUAACACACACACACACACACACAUAUAUAUAUAUAUAUAUAUAUCAACAAACAAACAAAUAGGGUAAUUGAUGGUAACACACACACACACACACACAUAUAUAUAUAUAUCAACAAACAAACAAAUAGGGUAAUUGAUGGUAACACACACACAUAUAUAUAUAUAUCAAUGGAAAUUGCCAAACAAGAGACAAAUUUCCCAUCGUCAUUUAAAAGUGAGAUCCGACUUAACAAAAAAGAGCUUAACAAUAAAAGUUAAUAGGGUUAUUCACAGCAAUGGUCCCUCAACUAUACCCGUAGUUACAUUUGGGUCAUUGAACUCAAUUAUUAGCUGUAGACGUCACUGAAUUAGGUGUUGUGUUGCACCAUUAGUCUUUCCGUCAAAUUUUGUUAAAUUUUUUGUCAAAAGUAAGGAUAAAUUUGGAAAUUCAUCAACAACCUUCUCCUUCCUCCACAACCCUCCAUUGCCGCAACCCAAUCCUUGCCGACACCAAAAAAUUCAAUUAAAAAGAUGCCGCACAGCACCAAGAAUAUUUUCAAAUAUUUAUAAUAAAUACCUUCAGAUCAGCAAACAAAUUCAAGAUCUCGCAUUUUAAGCCGCUUACGAGAACCCAAGUCACGUUCUUGUCCCAAUUCAGUACUCACAUGUUUUUCCCCAACAAUCUAAAACAACCCAAAAAAUAAGCAGGAAAAAGAACCAAACUUUGAAUCCGAUCUGGGUAUCGAAACCAACCUUUCUCCUAAAUCACAUCGGUCUUCCAUAAUCUUCGAACCCAAUUCAAAUACACCAAUUUAAAACCCAACCCUUUUGCAAGAGCCACUAAAUUUGACUCAUGGGUGCUAAAAUUUGUAGACUUUUGAAAUAAAAAUGAAAAAGGGUAAGUGUUGAAAUGAUGAAUCUUUGGACCUCCCCGAAGGAGCAAACAAGAAUGGAAGGGUGAACCAUAGGUUUGACACAAGAGGAAUCUUUCGUAGACUCGGUUCGCCAUCAAUUUGCAAACCAUCUAGAGGUUGAGAGGGAAGAAGGGUUGGUGGGUUAGUGUUUUGAAGUUUUGUGUAGUAGACCUGUGGGAAUUUUUAUGAUUUGAUAUUCAAUUUGAAUUUCCAAAUUUACAAAUUUACAAAUUUUGAAGUUGUGGAAGAUAGAGAGGGUUGUGGAUGAAUUUUCGAAUUUACCCUCACUUUUAACAGAAAAUUUAAAAAAACUUGACGAAAAGACUAUUGAUGUAACAAAACACAUAUUUGAGUGACCUCUGCAACUAAUAAUUAAGUUCAGUGACUCAAAUCUAACUACGAAUAUAGUUGAAAAACUAUUGCUGCGAAUAACCUAAGUUAAUAUGUGACAAUCUAAUGCUUUGUACCUUUAUUUAUGUGAAUCUGUAUGACCUAAUACUUUGUAUUAACUUGUAUUUAUUUUACCCUUAAUCAAUUCAAAUGUUUAUUUUGGAAAAUAAACUUGUCCAACUGCAUAGUUCAAUUUUCUUUUGUAUUUUCAUAAUAAACAUAUAAAGCAAAUAGGACUACUUUGAUUGUCAAUUGCACGACUGGAAUGCAAAUGGCACAACUUGUUUGUCAAUUUCAUUAACAAAUCACAUAUUGUAUUUAUAUUUUCAAUUAAUUGUGCAUAGAUAAUGGCAAUUGUGCGAUUGGAAUGCAAAUGAGACUGCUUUGUUUAUCAAUAACAUGGCUGGAAUGCACAUGACAUUACCUGUUUGUCAAUUGCAUUGACAAACCACAUAUUGUAUUUACAUUCUAACAAUAUGCAAAUUGAAAAGGCUACCAAUAACAUGACAAUAUGCAUACACUAAUUGUAAAAACGGACUAACCAGUUGCUAAUUGGAUUCAAAAAUGACAUACCGAAGUACCUAUUGCAUUUUCAUUACAAAAAUGCAAGGCAACAAAUAUAAUGUCGCUAAUUGCAAUAACAGACUAGUCAGUUGGUAAUAGCAUUCUGAAAAUGCAAAAAGGUUGCCAAUUGUAUGCUCAGUUAUGUACACCAACUGCCAAAAACCCCUUACAAUUUGGUAAUUACACGCCUGAAUACCAUAUCAAACUUCAAUAUAAUACAACAAUUCCGAUGAAGAUGAACUCAAUGUCAGAGCUCAUAAUAUCAUUACAAUUAAGAAAUUCUACCUAAUGCUUUUCAAAUGAGUCACAAAAAUUUCAACAUCAACAAUAUGCCUAACAUGAAAAUAUAUAUAUAUAUAUAUACUGAAAUUAAUCAUAUUGGGUGUUUUGUCUGCCAAAAAAAAAAAAAAAACUCAAAUCACAAUGGGUUUCUUUUCAGCAAAAAAAAACUCACAUCCACAUCUCGACCACAAUGCCAAGCUAAAUAAAAAAACAGAUAGUACAAAAAGAAUAGUAUGACUGAAAAAGAAAAUUAAAGCUUCGUAACCAAAAGGUGCAAAGAAAUAAUUAAAUUGCUAAAUAAUUAUAUAAAGCAACAAACUGAAAUCUCACAUCCAAUACAAAUAAAUAUUCGGCACUACAAAAAUGUUAAUAAGAUAGGGAAAUAAACCAAAUGAUCUAAUAUCCAGUAAGUCACUUGGAAGCUCGACUUUCCUUGAUGAGCCUAAGAUUGCCUUUUUGGUAUGAGCCACAGUAAUCACAUCAAGUUGCUAAAAUGUAAAUGUAUGAAUUAAAGAGUUAAUUAAUGCACAUGGAACUAAGACUAAGCAGAAUUCAGAUAAUAGAUGAUGCCUUAAAUAAUCUCUAAUGUUUAAUAACAUAUAUAAUGAUGAAAAUUUAAAACUCACAUACAUGAAGGGUAGACAAUCCUAGGAUAGUAAGCAUGAGAGAGGAGGUAAUAAACAGGGCUUCCUAUGUAGAUGCACACAUGAUGAAUGAAAAUCAAGCAAUUCAUAGAAAAUUACAGCACUCUUUCUGCAGGACAACACCAAGUGAACAUCCAAUUGUCAGUUAGUAAGAGAAAGCACAAGGGCAGCAAAAAAUUAGUGAGACUAAAAGGAAACUAAAGAAACUAACAGAGGCUUUUAUUGUUUGGUUGUUAGGUAGCUUUCAUUAAAACCCCAAAAAAGAGGCAACCUUCACACGCAUUUAGUAGAAUACUGACAAGAAGAAGAAAAAAAUCAAUCAUAACAAGCUUCCAAAGAUGAUAUUCAUAAAUCAAUGGGGAUGCAGAAGGAUGAGAAAUCCUCACACCCCCCAUCCCACACGACCAAGACUACAAACAAAAGCAAAAAAACCACAUAAAAAAGAAGAAUCCGGGCUAAACAAAGCAACAUUCCAGAGCCCAGGAAAAAAAAAAAAAGAGUCUUAAGAAUGACAUCAUAGCACAUUCAGGAAUCCGAAUAUGAAAAUAAGAUGCAACUUGUAAACACAAGAACCAACUCAGAAAAAUUAAAAAAAAAUCAAUUGGAAAAGAAAAAAAAAACCAAAAAAUGAUGAAUGCAGCAGUAAACUCAAAAUUAAACUAACAUUACCAAAUCUACAUCUAGUUCAACACUAAUAUGAAAUCCUCACCUUGUCUCCAAAUUAAUGGUUCAAAUACAAAUUAAAAAGUUGAAAACAUGCAGAGACCAUAGCCCAAUAUUAAAACCUAAAACUUACAAUAUAAAUUAGAAAACUCAAACCUUGAAUAAUUAAAAUUAUCUUGGGAGAUAGAGGGCAGGGAUCGAGCUAAAUGAGGGUUUCAAUUGGGGAUGAGAUUGUUGGUAUGGGUUUGGUUUUGAAACGAAGCCUGGGAAGGAGAUUGAGAGACCAUGAGAUGUAGAGAUGAGAGAGACAAUUAGGGAGAAGAAAGAGAGAGAUACCUGAGAGGAGAGGAGUUGUGUUCGUCGCGCUGUCUCGUCGUCACAGGAGGAGGAGAGGAGCGAUUUUGGAAGGAGUCGAACUGGAAGAGAGAGAAAAGAGAAACCCAAUGCUAAGAGGAGAGGAGUUGUGUUCGUCGCGCUGUCUCGUCGUCACAGGAGGAGGAGAGGAGCGAUUUUGGAAGGAGUCGAACUGGAAGAGAGAGAAAAAAACCCAAUGCUACUGAAGGAGAGUUUUUGUUUUUGUUUUCUUUUUUCCUACAACAACCGAUUUAUCCGGUAACUAACUCAACGGUGUGGAUAACUCCACAUCACCAACUACUCAUCCAAUGGUCUGUAACAAUGGGCGCAUCCAUACGCCAAGCCCACUGUAGAAUUUUCCCUGAAAUUAAUCCUCGGUGAAGACAUAGUGGAACAGUUUCAAACCACGAACUAUUUUGUUUUCUUCUUAUAAUUAUUGAAGGAAUAUGAUUUCCUCACUCUCUUGGUUUUCUCCCCUUACACUUUUUAAUCAAUUUUCUUCUUUCUCUUUUCUAUUUUAUCUUUACUCUACGUUAAUUUUUUUAUAUUUCAUUUUUAUAUUAGUUCUUUACAUUUCAUUUUUAUAUUAGUUCUUUUUCUUUAUAUUUAAUUUUCCAACUUACACUCAAUUUUCAGUAUUUUUUUUCCUUUAAUCGAGUAAGAAAUUAAGUUUUUUUCUUUCUUUAAUACUAAAAAUAGAGUGUAAGUUUGAAAAUUUAAAUAUAAAGAAAAAGAAAUAAUAUAGAAGUGAAGUAAAAAGGAAAAAAAGAAAUAAUAUAAAAGUGAAGUAAAAAUAAAUUAAUGUAAGGUAAGGAUAGAAUAGGAAAGAGAAAGAACAAAAUUGAUUAAAAAGUAUUAAAAAGCAAAAGAGAGUGUAAGUGGAGAAAAAGAGAGUAGGAAAAUCAACUCCCUUAUUAAAAAGAUACCCUCUAAUGCAUUGAGGGCAGGGACAAUUCGACAGUAGUCUUUAUUUGACAAUGCUAUGGAGCAUCUUCAACACGGAAAAGAAAAACAAACAUAAUUCUCUACUUCAACAAAAUUAUUGCAAGCACACAAUCCUCACAAGUAAUAUAAAAAUUAGUAAAGUGUUGUUCCCACGAAGACUGUAAUCUCCUAUUAACUAUCAAUUAUGAUUAAUUCAAAAGUUUAUUUGAAUAGUUGAUUAAGAAGAUUGAUUGAUUUAAGUAAACUAAAACAAUUGUGAAAAAUAGCAAUUUAAUUAAUGAUGAAAAAUCAAGUUGAUGUGACACUAGAUCAUCCGAUUUCACCAUAACCAAUUCAACUUAAUUCUUAUAGUCAAUUAACCCUAAUUACUAUCCAUGUUGACAAUUGGUUUAUCCUAAAUCAUUUGAUAUACCCUCUCGAGCUCAACCAAAAGUAUUCUUAAUUAACAACCUAUUCUCUCUUGAGCAACGAAUUUAGAAAAUCAAGAACCUAUUAAGUUCAAUGAGAACUUGCAAGAAAGCUGCAUGAGUCAUGUUAGUCCCUCUCGGGCACUCAUUCAAGACAUCACUACUACAAAAAAGCAAAAAGACGACGGUAAAUCACCGUCGUGUAUUCGAUUUUUCAAUGGUCGUGGAAUCCACCGUCAUCUUUUCCCUCAUAUACCACGACGCUAAAUCACCGUCGUUGUUAAAAUAUAUAACGUCAUCAACAAAUACAAAACGACGUCUUUGUACUGCAAAAAGAUCUAAAAAAGCAGUCGAGGAUGAGAAUAGACGACCAAUUCUCUAAAAAAACCGUCGUUAAAAAGGAAAAAUAUGACACAUAUUAAGAGAACAAGGCCGCAAGAUAGACAUACAACGACGGAAAUAAAAAAACGACGCCGUUAAAUAUCAUUUUCACGACAAUAAAAAAUUUGACGUCUUUAAAUACAUUAGAAGACGACGUUAUUGAUACCUACUACGUCGCAUAUAUAAAAACAGCCGUCGUAAAAUUAAUUUUCCACUUCGAUUUUUCGAUAAAAGAUGACGUGGAAAUAGUUGUCAGUGUCAUUAUUUACGACGUAUGUAUUUAUUGAGUAGACGUUGAAAAACGAAACAACGUCGGUUACAAAUAUAUGAGAGUCGUAUUACAAAAUUUAUACGUCAUAUUUUCAGAAACAAACAACGACGAUAAAUAUUAGACGUUGUUAAAUAAAACAACGUCGGAAAACAAUAAAAACAGACGUGUUUAGUCUGCUAAAGUUCUAGAAAAUAGUCGAGGAUGAGAAUAGACGACCAACUCAAACAACUCACCGUCGUUAAAAAGGAAAAAUAUGACACAUGUUAAAAGAACAAGGCCGCAAGAUAUACAUACAACGACGACAACUAAAAUACUACGCCGUUAAAUAUAAUUUACACGACAAGAAAAAAUAUGACGUCUUUAAAUACAUGAGAAGACGACGUUAUUGAAAUAUACUACGUCUCUUAUUUACAAACAACCGUCGUGAAAUAAAUUUUCCACUUCGAUUUUUCUAAAAAAGAUGACGUGGAAAUAGUUGUCAGUGUCAUUAUUUACGACGUAUGUAUUUAUACAGUUGACGUUGAAAUGCGAAACAACGUCGGUGGCAUUUAUAUAGUCGACGUUGUAUUUAUAUCUAUCAUCAUUACUCACGACGCACUUAAUAAUAUAGACGACGUUGAACUUCUAAACAACGUCGGUUCCAAAUAAAUGAGAGCCGUAUUACAGAACAUAUAGACGGCGUUGAUUAUGAUGAGAGCCGUAUUACAAAUAACGUCGUUUAAUUGUUAUUAGACGGCGGUUAUAAUGAAUUUCCGUCGGAAUUCAUUUCGUUCCUCUUCGUUUAUAAAAGAACUUGCGACGUGGAAAAUGUAUGAUGACGUCGUAUUUUUUAACGUUCAGAUUAUAUAUCUCGUUUUUUAGACGUCGGUAUUAUGGGAUUGGAGUCGUGUUAUUUUGAAUUACAUGGCGGUUCUUAAUCCUUCCCCGACGUGAUAUCCUGAAUAAUUGCUUCACAAUUGCGUCGUGGUUCUUCAUUGUUACGUUGCUUUAAGACGUCGGUAAAUAUGCUGAAUAACUGGUUCACAAUAACGUCGUGUUUUAUUUGAAGUAGAAAGUGAAGAAAUCACAUUACAAUAUAUUACAAAAUUAAUGUCAUACACUGCCAAUUACAUAAGCAUCAUUCAAUCCAUAUAUCUUCACACCCAUCUCGAAUAUUUUGACCGCCUAACUCACCCACCAGUUCAUCAAAUGUGUCAACAUUUGGCAUCCCUCUAGUAAAUGGCUCACACUCAAUUAUCACAUCACCUAAGACUUCAUCACCAAUAACAUCAUUAUAUUCUCUAUUAGGCAUUGAUAACACUACCGACCAACCACGAUGCAUCGGGUCGUCAACAAAAAAUAUUUGUUUGACUUGAGAAGCCAAAAGAAAUUGGUCAUUCCUAUGUCCAAUUUUACUCAAAUCUACAAGGGUAAAUCCAAGUUCGUCGACUACAAGACCAGAACUAUCUAUCCAAUCACACCUAAAGACUGGGAUUGUAAACUUUUGGUAGUCAAGGUCCCAAAUUUCUUGAAUGACACCAUAGAAACCCAUAUUUGAGAGAAUUGGGUUUUUAUCCUUGGCACUAGCAACUUGCAUGGUAUGUGCAAGUAAAUAAACUCCACUAUUUUGAGUUGUCCGCACAUCAUCUUGUGCCUUGAUAUUGAAUUUAAUACCUUUAAUAAGAUAGCUCCUAUAUAAUGGCACUGACAUGUUUGGACCAGCUGCUAGCCACCUUAAAUUUUCUGAUACGCCAUGAUUGUCUUCCUCAAGUUCACUUUGAACCUGCAAAUUAAUCAUAUCUUAAUUCAAUCUAACAUAUAAAUAAGAAGAAAAUUAAAAGAGAAAUAUGUUAUUCAACAAUAUAUACCUUGAAGCGUAGCCAUUGAAUGAAAGUGCUAUUGUGCUUAUCCUGCAGCCACUUUGUUCUCUUUCUAAAUUUUGGAUAAGCAGUCUUGAUGUGAAUCAUAUGUUGCCUACAUGACACGAAAAAUUCAAGCAUUACGGUCCUAAAUAUAGAAGAUAAACAUAAGAAAUAAUUUAAAAUGGAAACUUAAAGAAUAAAGCUCAUACGUACUCGAUAUAAGGUAGGACUUCCUCCGUAUUCUCCAAGACAUAUAGAUGUGCUUGAUUCAACAGGUCCUGAUCAACUACGCUCACUGUGCAACCUGAUAAUGGCUUUGAAAGUCCCAUCUUUUGGCUUGAAGGCACUCCAACUGUACUAACAUCAGAUAAAUGCUGAGUACAACACUCUACCGCUUCUUCAGCUAUAUACCGCUCAGCAAUGCAACCUUCGGGACGAGUACGAUUCUGAACAUACCCCGUCAGCACUUUCAUAUAUCUUUCAAACGGAUACAUCCACCUAAAAUAUACUGGCCCACAUAGACGAACUUCUCUGACAAGAUGUACUACUAGAUGAACCAUGAUAUCAAAGAAUGAAGGGGGAAAGUACUUCUCAAGCAAACACAGAGUAACUACUACAUCUUCUUCCAACUUAUCUAGCUUGGAAACAUCAACAGUCUUUGCACAUACAGCAUUGAAGAAGAAGCACAAACGAGUUAUUGCAUACCUUGCAGGCUUCUCCAAAACAGAACGAAUUGCCACAGGGAGCAAUUGUUGCAUUAAGGUAUGACAAUCAUGUGAUUUAAGGCCAAGAAGUCUUGAAUCUUGUAAAGAUACAAGAUUUUUAAUAUUUGAAGAAUAACCUUCAGGGACCUUCAUACCAUAGAAAGAAUUGCAAACCUCUCUCUUCUCUGCUCUUGACAAAUUCCAAGGCCCAUGAGGCAAACGAGUACGUCUUUCUCCAUACUCGGGUUGCAAAUCAGUUUUGACCCCCAUGUUCAAUAAAUCUAAUCGAGCAGCAAUCCCAUCUUUAUUUUUUCCAGGGAUCUCCAGCAAUGUACCAAUGAUACUAUCGCAAACAUUCUUCUCAAUGUGCAUAACAUCUAGGGCAUGCCUCACAGGAAGGUAUUUCCAAUACUCGAGAUCAAAGAAUAUUGAUUUCUUCUUCCAACAAACUCUGUCACCAUUUUCAACCAUAUGCAGCACUUCUUCUCCGGUUAAUGGCUCGGGAGGUAUGCCAUAUUCAGGUUUCCCAUUAAAAGCUGCACGUUGCCUCCUAUAUGGAUGAUUGAUUGGUAACCAUUUUCUAUGCCCAAUGUAACAAAUUUUGUGGCCAUUUUUCAACCUGUGACUAGGUGUAUCAUCGCCGCAUAUUGGACAAGCUUUAUAUCCUUUAACAACACAACCAGAUAAGUUUCCAUAGGCGGGGAAAUCAUUAAUUGUCCACAUUAAUGCAGCUCUGAGUGUAAAGUAUUCUCCAUUAUGUGCAUCAUACACUCCUCUAAUCCCAUCCCACAAAGAUUUUAAAUCAUCAAUCAAAGGCUCCAAGUAGACGUCUAUAUCAUUUCCGGGUUGUUUAGGACCGGAAAUCAAUAAGGUUAACAUCAUGAACUUUCGUUUCAUGCACAGCCAUGGAGGGAGAUUAUAUGUAACUAAGAUAACCGGCCAACAACUAUAUCUGCUACUUAGAGAACUGUGGGGAUUGAAUCCAUCAGAUGAAAGAGCCAAUCUCAAGUUUCUCGGCUCAUUACCAAACUCAGGCCAUUUAUCAUCAAGAAGUUUCCAAGACGGGGAAUCCGCCGGAUGAGACAUCUGACCGUCAAUUGAUUUUCUAGCAGCAUGCCAAGUCAAACUCUUAGCUGUCUCAUGUGAUUGAAACAUCCUUUUAAACCUUGGAAUUGGAGGAAAAUACCACAGCACCUUCGCUGGCACACCCUCUUUCAAGAUUGAAUCUUUGCCUUCCUUCCACCUUGAGAUACCACAAGUAGGACAAUUAGUUGAAUCCUCAUACUCCUUCCUAUACAAGAUGCAAUCAUUGGGGCAUGCGUGCAUUUUCUCAUAACUCAGCCCCAAUGCACACAAAGUCUUUUUAGCCUCAUACAUGGAGGUUGGUAUUGUAUUUCCUUCUGGAAGCAAAUCGCCUUGAAGUAUCAAUAAUUCUGUAAAACAGACAUCACUCAUCCCAUGUUUUGCCUUCAAAUUAUACAACUUCACUAAUGCCGAUAACUUCGUGUACUUUCUACAACCAGGGUACACUGGUUGAUCUCCAUCCCCAAUCACAUUGGCAAACUCAUACGGAUCCGAACCAAAAUCACCAAAAUCAUUAUCAUCCAUAUCAAUUUGUUCAGACACAAAACUGUACCUACUAUGGCCAUCAUCUUCUUCAACAUUUCUACUAGCAUUAGUAGUUGCUUCCCAAGGUUCUCCGUGAAAUGUCCAAUUCUUAUAGCUUUGGUCAAUUCCAUUAAAGUAUAAGUGAUCCCUUAUAAUUCCAACCCCAAACAACUUCAAAUUAACACAUUUAACACAUGGACAACGGAUAUGUGUUGUAGUUAGAAGAUUUUCUACAGCAAAGUUCAAAAAUGCUUCCACCCCAAAUUCAUAUGCCUUCGAUCUUCUAUCCGAGUGCAUCCAUGACUUAUCCAUCUCCGACACUAUAACCUAUUAUCUAUAAUAAAGUGAAAAUACAGGCAAUGACCAUCACUAUAGCAGAUUAUACAAUGAUCUAAUCGCAAGUAAUACACAACAGAGACGACGGGUUUUAAACAAAAACAGACGUAUUUGGCAUAUAUAGACGACAGAUUUUCAACAGACGUCGUCUAUUAUAAGUAAUACAAACGACGGUUUAUGAAAAAACCGUCGUGUAUAAGUAAUACAACGACGGUAGUUUAAAAAAACCGUCGUGUAAUCGUCGUCGUAAGCCUUAAAAUUCGUCGUGUCUCAGUUUAUUUUCAAGAACACAAAACCCAUUAAGAACACAACAUAUAUAUGAAACCAAGCAAGAAACCAACAUAUACAUGAAACCAAGGAUGAAAACAAUAAAUCCAUUCCCAAUUCAACAUAACAGAUAAUGUAAUCCAUGAACCCAUUAAACAGAAAAUCCAUGAACCCAUACCUAUAAGCACAUUAUUAACAGAUCGCAAAGCAUACACAUAAAACCCUUUAACAAAACAACCUAAACAACCUAAUAUCAUUCAAUGAAUUUACAAGGGGAAGAUAGGGUUUGUACUUACAGGUUGGACGAGCUCACAGAUUCGACGGAGCCUGGAGAGUGCAACUUUACAAGGGGAAGAUANNNNNNNNNNNNNNNNNNNNNNNNNNNNNNNNNNNNNNNNNNNNNNNNNNNNNNNNNNNNNNNNNNNNNNNNNNNNNNNNNNNNNNNNNNNNNNNNNNNNCCUGGAGAGUGCAACUUUUAAUAGAGCAGAAGUGAGAGAGCGAAAUGUUAUGUUGCGCGAAAUCUGAAAAUUUUAGGGUUCAGGGUUAGAAGUAUAAGAAUAAGAGCCAAAUAUAAAAAAAUUUAGGGCGCGCGAAAAUUUUUAGAGCGCGCGCUCUUUAAAACGUCGAAAGAAAAACCAUGGCGAAAGUUCUACAAGAACCGACGUAAAUGUAAUAUUCCACGACGGAAACACUGAACGUAACGCCGUUUAUUUUGACGCUUCAUUUUUCGGAUUAAUUUUAAAUUUAUUUUGAAUAUUUUGAUAUAAAGACGACUGAAAAACCACGUCGGGGUUAAGAAAUUGAAAACGUUGUAAAUUAUAAUAGACGACUUACAUAUUAAAAUGACGUCGUUUAAAGUAGAAACCAUGUCGGAUAUUUUACUGCACGACGUAACAUAUGUAUUCCACGACUCAACCACCGUCGUUAACAAUUAAUACCCCAAACCCUUAAAACUAAAUUAUAUAAUUUUAAAAAUUAAGUUUAUAAAAGGGUUUAUGGUUUUACAGCCUAAUAUAUACCCUAAACUACCCAAAAAUUAUACUUUAAAAAUAAACCCCAAUAAAUAACAACCCUAAUCUCUAAACCCUAGACUCUAAACCCUAAACCAUAAAACUAGAAGUGAUUUUAUGACUCAUCAAAACAAUUUUGUUUUGGAUGGUCAUUUUAAAUUUUUGUUAUUCAAAAUGAAUUUUUUCAAGGUUUAGGGGGAAGAAAAUAUAUCAAUGACUUCAUUGGAGUUGACUUUGCAUUUUUCUGAUUUAUUUUAAAUUUAUUUUGAAUAUUUUGAUAUAAAAAUAAUAAAAUAUUCUUAUCACAACAACAAACCACGUCGGUGUUAAUAAAUUGUAGACGUUGAAAAUUGUAAUAGACGACUAAGUUGUUAAAAUGACGUCGUUUAAAUGAGAAACCAUGGCUGAUAUUUAACUAUCCGACGUAAAAUAUAUAUUCCACGACCUAACCGCUGUCGUUACAAAGUACUACCCUGAACCCUUAAGAAAUUGAAGACGUUGUAAACCAUAAACGACUCAAUUGUUCAAAGAACGUCGUCUAAAUAUCCUUUUACGUCGAAUUUGUUUAAAACGAAACAACAAAAAAGGACGGCUUUUGACUUUAUUACGUCGUUGGAAAAGUAUUACACGUCGGUUACGCAAUUUGUAUGUUUGUUUUUUUUUUAAUUUAAGAAAACCUCAACAAAUUUUUACAUUAUAUAUUAUAGACAAAAUUUGUACAUUAUACAUAAAUAUCAAGUGUUCAAUAAUUGCCCUGUUUAAUAAUUUGGAAAACAAACUCUGCCCAUUCAUUCCGGACUUCAUCAAUGGCUUCUUGGGGGUAUGAAACUUCCUAGUUUCCCUUGGCAUACUGCAUAAACAAUGACUAUUAGGGUUUAUAAAUAAAAAGAAAUUCAAUCACAUAUUUUUCAUAACCGACGUAGUAUAUCCAUUCAACGACGUUAAUUUUACAUGACCGUCGUUGAUAAUACAAAAAACGACGUGAAAUGUAUGAAGGUAAUUUCUUCUUACCUUAUUCUCAAACCCCAAGGAAGGAUCCAUGAUGAUGUCCCUCAUGAAGCGCAUCACAUAAUACCCGCAUUCGACAUUGCUGGGUUGCUUUGGUGUGCCUGAGAGAGUUUUCCAAAUUACAUUUUUACGUCCUGCUCGGGCUAUGUGGGUAUUAUAUAUUUUUAAAGCACUGUUCACGAUGUUUUUCGCCUCUUCGUCGACCACACGAUGACCUGACAGAGGAUCCAGAAAAUAGACGGUCUCCUUCUUUGCUCUUACAAUCAGCAAGAUCCAAUGAAGGCUGCACAAAAUUAAUAUAAAAACGACGGUUAUUUACAAAAACGACGUAUUAUAGUAUUUCACACGACGAAAUAAAGUAGAUAACGACGACAUUAUAUAUUUAUCACGACGAUAAAUAAAUACCGACGUGGUUAGUAGUUUCAAACGACUAAAUAAAAUAAAACACCGACGUGGUUAGUUUAUAAGCUGUCAUUUAUUGAAAAUCAUAAAAACAAAAUCCUAAGGAGACUAACCCUGGAUUGUAAGGCAUCAUGAAAAUAUGUUCACCGUCUGUCUUCUGAAGUCGAGCUGCUACCAGUCGUGAUCUUUCAGUUAUUGUGCCAGAGUUGGCACUAACUGUAGCAGGGUCGAUAAAGCCAACCAUGCUGCACAUAUUGGCUUGUUUCAAAACAUCGUGUAAGUACCUAAAUACAUAAAAUAAUAUAAACAAGUCAGCACAAAAAAACACGACGGUUAUGUAUAAAAAAACGACGUAUUAUAAUAUUUCACACGACGUACUGAAAUAGAUGAGGACGUUAUAAUGUAUUUAUCACGACGGUAGUUAGUUAAGACGACGUGGUUAGUUAGUUAAGACGACUCAAUAUAUAAACCAACGAGGUAUUAUUUUAGAAGUACAAACCUCAUAUAUACAGCCAAUACAGUAGCUCCAAUUUCUUCCAUGCCUGCAAAUUGUGUAAUAUCUUCAGGCAGGAGGAAGGUAUCGCGCUCACCACCAAACACCUCCUUAUCAAUUGUAAAUUGGAGUGUCUUAUCCUCAGGCAGGAGUGUCGUUUCCACAAAACGACAAAGAGUUUUUAAAGAAGAUGGUGCCUCCAUAUUUGAAUAAGCACCAACUUCAAUAACCUGUUUAAAGAAAUAAAAAAAAUGAUGUGGUAAUUCAAUAAAGACGACGGUUUAAGGAAUAAAACGUCGUCUUAAAAAUAUUUAAACGACGGUAAAAAAACUGUCGUGGUAAUUCAAUAAAGACGACGGUUUUAUGAAUAAAGCGUCGUCUGAAACCAUUUAAACGACGGUGCAAAAACCGUCGUUUAAAUAUUUUAUUACGUCUUAAAAAAAGUCCGCCGUCUAAGUUUUAAACAAACGACGGAUUAAAUAAAAAUAUCGACGUCUGAAAUUUUGAAAAACAAAUAAAAAAGGCAAAGUUAUGUGAACAUACCUUGUCGUCAUGCUUUUCUUCAUCUUCUUUCUCCUUUUCUUCUUCCUUCUCUUCAUCUCUUUUUUCUUCUUCCUUCUCUUCAUCUGGCUGAUGUUUCCCCAUUUUGGCAGUAUCAUCCUCCAAAUGUAGGGAUCUCACAUCACCUCCAGAGCAGCUAGCUUUGUCAGACAUUGGAUUUUUGGGGCUUUAGCUAAUUCUUGGUUUAAGCAUGCUUGGAUCAAAAUUGGGAAUUAAUUGGGAAAGCUGACUCAGGAAAUGGUCCCUCUCAGCCUCUACCAAUUGUUUUGUCCUAGCCUCCAUCCUUAAGGCCUCUUCCCUUGCCUUAGCCUCCAUCUUUUUAGUCUCUUCUUGAAGGAGAACUCUUAAACUGUCCUUCAAACGGUCGUCAAAGCUCACCCUCUGUGGUUUGGGCAAAUUGAAAUAUUGCCUUGGGGAAACACCAGCACCAACUCCCCUCAGUCUGCCUGGAUGCUCGGGGCCCAAAGCCAUGGUCAGCACAUCAUUGCUGCCAUCUACUCUGACUUUGCCUUCCGAGACUUGUUUCUGCAAUUCAUCCUAAAAAAAGAUAAACAAAAAAACACACGACGGUUAUUUAUGUACAAACGACGUAUUAUAUAAUUUCACACGACGCAAUAACGUAUAAACCGACGUUAUUAUAACUUAUCACGACGGUAGUUAUACCGACGUGGUUAUUUAUUUAAAACGACGAAAUGAAUAAACAACCGACGUCUUAUGCUAUAAUUAAAGAUAACAGAGUAGUGAUUCCUAUUUAGACCGUUAACGACGUUUUUAAAAAAGUUUCGACGUGGUAAUAUCAUUCAAACGACGCGAAAAUGAACCACCGACGUCUUAUGCUAUAAUUACAGAAAAUUAGUAGUGAUUCCUAUUUAGACCUUUAACGACGUUUUUAAAAACUUCUCGACGUGGUAAUAUCAUUCACACGACGAAAAAUAUAACAUACGACGUAAUAAGAAUAAUUCACAGUUUAAUAAAAAUUUAAAACAGAGUGAUAGUAGGCUUACAAUUAAUUUUGCUUUCUCUGCCACCUUUGGAUCAGGGAUGUUACCAUGUUUGUCCUGUCUAGCUCUCUUCCAUAAGGUAGAUCGAUCAAUUUCUACCCCAGGCAUGGUUUCCUCCAAUUGAUCCUCCAAUCCAGCAUAUCCUUUUCGAGACAAUCGAUGAUUGUACUCGAGUUUCUCCCUAAUCUGUGCAUGUUGAGAAUGCACAGACUCAAAAUCUUUGGAUAGCCUUGAAGCUACAAAGGCAUCCCAUUGUGCUUUCUCUAUGAAUUUAUAUGUUUAAGGGGGUUGGCUUAAUUUCUCCCUGUCAUUGGUGUAUGGAAGGAUAUAAUGCCUCAUUAGUGUAGACUUGAAAUCCUUCCAUUUCUUGGAAGCAGAAGCUAAAACAGAGGUCUUGCCCCCUUGGCCUACAACAAAAGCCAUGUCAACUGCUUCCCAAAUCUGCUCCUUUAUAUCCUUGGGGAUUUGGGACCAUUUCUUGUCCACAAGUGGGAUCCUGGAGCGUGCCAACACACCAAUAUACGACUGCAUCUCAAUAUGUGCUUGGCCAACACCUUUCCCCCUUUUAUUGUACUCAACAAUUGGCCUCAGUUUCUGAAGCUUUCUCUUCACAACACGAGGCAUUGUGCUCAUACCUCGACCAGUCUUUGAAUCAUCAGAGAUUGUUGUCUGGCUGGUUUGUUCUGUCUCAGCAGAUGAUGAAGCAAACUUCAUCUUCUUCGAAGACUUCAUCUCCUUCGAAGACUUGUCUUGAGGAGCUACCAUUCCAAGCUUCUUGGAGCCAGAAUCCUUAGUUUGUUGUUGAGAAACCAUUUUAACAGACAAAACUGCAAGUGAAAAUAUUUCAGGAAAACAUUAAGAACACAAACGACGGUAUUAAAAAAAUACGACGUAUGAUAUGAUUUUAGACGACGCAAUGAAAUAAUCUCAGACGUAAUAAAUGUUUAAAACCAUUAUUUAUAUAACGUCGUGGUAUAUAUGUUCACACGACGUCAAUAGUAAUACACGUCGUGGUAAAACUAUUAUUUAUAUAACGUCGUGGUAUUUAUGUUCAUACGACGUCAAUAGUAAUACACCGUCGUGGUAUUAACAUUCACACGACGUAAAACAAUAAGAUAUUUUGUCGUCUAUAUUAGAUACCAACCCUAGUUUCUUUUUCUUUAUAUUUUAUCAAAUAAGGGAAAAACAAAAACCAUUGUUCAGAGAAAUCAAACCUGCAAUUAAACAAGCAUAUAAAAAAAGACUAUUAUUUUAAAAACAACUUUGUCAAUUUUCAGACGACGCUAGAACAACUGACGAACCGUCGUGGUCUACCGUCGUCUUAUUUAGUUGAUGUAGUUGUCUUCAAAGUUGGAAACUUUCUCUCUUUGUCUGUAUAUUUUAUCAAACUUGGAAAGAAGUAAAAUGAUUUUGGCCAGAAAAAAGGUAAAAAGAUUUUUCAAACAAAAAACGUAUGAGCAUGCAAAACAGUAACCAAAAUAGUGAAAAUGAAAGCUUACCUUUUGCGUGCAAUGAAAGCAAGAGGAAGAUGAUCGAUGUUUAAGUUCAGAGACGACGAAGAAGACGAGAGGAAGACGAUGAGAAACUCUGACAAUGCUCUGACAAGGAAAAAAGACGAAAAGGUUUCUCUGGGAGAUUGAAAUUUUUAAUCGGGUUUGGAAACAGUGCAUGUGUAAGUCGAAAAGUUGCUUACAUAUAAAACCAUUUCAAAAAAAUAAUACGGCGGUUACAUUUAACUACAUCGUUUUUAACUAACACGACGCAAUAUUUUUCGUUCGACGUGGAAUCAUUUCAUUUAACGUCGUUAGGUUUAAUAUAACCGACGUGGAUUUUAAUUUUUAAAUUAUGAAUAGAAUUUUUUUUCCCGUGACCUUUCAGUUUAUUUUUCAAUUACCGUGCGUUAUAAAUAGAGUUUUUUUUCCGGAGGAAAUUUAAAACGAAGGAAAUUAAUAUUCUGCAAUAUGUAAAGUUUCUUUUUUGGAUGACAGAUUUAAAUAAAAUAAGAAUAUAAAAACAACUAAUGUGUAAGUCAAGUAGACGAAAAGUUGCUUACAUAUAAAACCAUUUCAAAAAAAUAAUACGGCGGUUACAUAUAACUACGACGUAUAAAUUACAAAAUACGAUGGUACAUUUAACUUCGGACGUGGUAAAUAAAUACGACAGUAGUUUGUAGGUACCGUCGUAGUAAACUCAAAAAUUAAAGUACAUAAGUAAUAACUCGCGUCAUGGUAGAUUAUUUAACACGUCGUUUUUAUUAAUUUACCGACGUGGAUUUCUGUAAUAUACGUCGAUCAUACCGACGUUGAUUUUACAAUUUAAACGGCGGUGUUUUUGUAAGGACCGCCGUUGGUUUUAAAAAUUUAUUCUAUAAAUUUGUCGCUUUCAUUCAUUUUCGGUUUACAUUUAAGGUUCCAAGUUCUUCCUCUCUCAGUCUCUCAUGUCUCAAAGACAAUAAUUUGGAUGUUUUCUCAAAGAGAAAUUGAGCUUACUCGCAUCAAAUAUAUGUCCACAAGAAGAAGCUUGUCAACUAGCCUUCUCACUUCCUUGAUCAAGCCUGAUAGGACACUUAGUGCUUCUGAAUACUCCUUGCUUUCCAUCAAAAGAGAUGCAAGCCUGGCCUCCACUCGCUGUCGAAGGAAAGUUCGCUUCUCAGGGAAAUCUGAAGAUCAGAUGUGCCUGAUCCUCUGCUUGAUUUUCUUGCCUAAGAAGAUCCGUCGGAUUUGUGAUAGCCUCUUCCUUUAUCCGUAGAGCUUCAGAAGAAGAAGAUGGGUUUCAAGAAUGCGAUAAAGAAUAGAAAUGGCUUCAGAUGGCCUCUAAAGCAUGAGCAAUUGAAUCAGUAGUUUCUGGGAGAUAUGAUGAAGACAUUGUCAAUGCUUUGAACUAUACAAGUCCUGCAGAAAGAUAUGUUAAAGAAACUGAAACAACGGCGGUUUUCUGUUCUACCGUCGUCUUUUCUCGUCGUCUAUAUUAAGUUAAGAUGGCGGUAGAUUUAUAAUUACCGACGUAGAUUAUUUUGUUAAACGUCGUUAAGUGUACUACAACCGACGUGGAUUUUAUUUUUAAAUUAUAAAUAGAGUUUUUUUUCCCGUAUUCUUUCAGUUUUAGUUUUCAAUUCCAAAGCGUGAUAAAUAGAUUUUUCUUUCCCGAGGAAAUUUAAAAUGAGGGAAAUUAAUGUUCUAGAAUUUGUAAACUAACACGACGCAAUAUUUGCAAAUCUGUGUCAUCUGUUAAGAUUAUGAUGUGGAACAGAGUUCCAUCUGGUAAGAUUUCGUAACCCUUGGGAUCUCAGACAAAUCUGAUUAUGUCGGCGGUGUUCUAUAUAAACCGUCGUGGUUAUUUCAAUUCUUGUCAUUAAGUAGAUCUACCGACGUAGGAUAAGAAAAUCAAAGAAAAAAAUUGUUAACAAAAAUUCUUAUUAAGACGACCGUUAAAAUUAAAGGUACGACGUAUAAAAUGAAUAAAUACGACGAUAAAUUUUAUUGUACGAUUUAAAGAUAACGUCGUAGAACUAUACGAGAAUGACGUCGAUAUAUUUAUAUUUUCCGUCGUUGUAAAUUUAUUUAAUACGGCGAUAUUUUGUAUUUUAAAGCCGUGGAUUUGUUUGUAAUUAUACGGCGUCUUAUACGAAAACCUCGUCGUGUUAUUUUAUGAGUAAAAACGGCAGUUUUUAUUGAAAUCGUCGUCUUUACUUUCUACGUCGGUCGAUUCAUAACUUCUGCCGUUCUUUGUUGGCAUUGAUUUUACACUGCGGAAAUCUGUUUCAAAUAGACGUCGGUUGUUUAAUUAUGUACGUCGUUGUUUUUGAACAGCCAUUUGAAACUCCAUUUUUUAGUUGUCUAAGGUUGUAUUACACGACGGUGUUUUUAGAACCGUCGUCUUUUUAUAAACCACGACGGUUUUCACUUAGACCGUCGUUGUUUUCUGGUCGUCUUUUUCACUUUUUGUAGUAGUGCAUGAUAUUUGUUACAAGAAGCAAAUACCAAACAUCUCCUCUCAGUCUCCACUUAGAUGAUCAAUUCAAUUAAAUAUUGGCAAGAUAUUCAAAGCAUUAAGAACAGUAACAAAUACUCAACAUGGAAUAGUAAUAAAAAAUUAAUAUAAUUAUAAAAAUUAAGUAUUCAUAGUUAGGCUACAUCGUAGCCCUAGCAAGAGAAAUUAGUUCAUGAGAAAAGAAAAUAUAAACAAGAGCAUUAUUGUCAUAAAAUUGAUUUGGCCGAUGGGAUUGAUCUUCAGAGUCUCCAUAGGAACACCUUCGAAAGCUCCUCAAGUAGUGUAACAGUAAAUUCUUAGCUUUCUCUGUGAUAUAUUUGUGGGUGUAUGAAUUGUAUAUUGGAAGAUGAUGAUUCAUAGAGAGAGCUUAGGGUAACCUUAUAUAGAGUAAAACAACUAAACCCUACUCCAAAAAUGUCUGAAAAAACUCUCCUAAAGCAAAACAAAAUCCCAAACAAUUAAGGAAACAAGCUAGGAAAGAAUCCUUCUUUUACUUGGAAACAAGUCAGCCAACUUUCACGCACGUUUUAGGGUCGUUCCACUUCCUAGAAAAUUCUGGAAAAAUAUGAGUAACGUAGCUUGAUCUCUAAUCUCUAAGCUUUCUAAGCAUUUAUUAAUGCCACUAGGAAAAAUUGGAAAGGUCUUCAAAUCUUCAAUCUUCCACAGCAGUGCAGUUAUGACGAGAUUUCAACUUAGGUUGUCUUGAUUUGCAAGUCUGGAGCAUUUGACUUGGUAGAAAAUUAUGAAACUUUGAUACAAUGAUCUUCAAUGUCUUAGCUUUCUUCUCCGAUUGGUGUUGCACUAAAAUUCAUUUGAAAAGUUAAUUUUCAGUCAAAAUCCUUCCAAGAGCGCAGAAUUGCUGAAAAUAUAAGAAGCAAGGUAAUAAUACUCUUUUUAAUUAACUUUUCCUACAUAAACCAAAUAAAACAAAUAUAAAAAUAUAGGUACAAAAAACAAAACAAAGAAUAAUAUUAUGGCAAAGAAAGAAUGGAAACUCCAGUUCCGAACUUCACCAAUUCCAUCAAUCCCAUGACCUCCAUUACUCGACACCUGGUCUCCUUCGGUAAUUUUCUUCUGCCCUAUCUCUCUGUAUUAUAUAUGAUUAAAUAUGGUGGUCCUCCUCAUCUUCGAAUUAGAGGUAGUGAUUAUAAUAUCACUCUAAUUAAAAAUAAUUUUUAUUACAAAUCAUCCUUGAACUUUUUAACUGUCUUAAUUUUAGUCCUCAAACUUUCAAAUUAAUAAAUAUGACCUCCAAUAUUUUGGUUCAGACAUAAGUUUGGUCCAUAUCAUCGUUUGGAGAUGUGCAGGCAACGCAGGUGACCUCCCCACUACAAAAACAAGUGGCAACAGUCACCAUUAUUUGGUGACAUUUUAGUCACUACAGCAAAUGUCAUCAAAUGUCACCAUAUAAUGGUGACUGUUGCUACUUUUUUUUGUAGUGCUCCCUUGAUCACCAAACUAUAUGUUGCCACUAAUGGAAGGUCAAGACUGCGACCCCCACUCAUUCCUAGUUACUUUGGCAAUGCGAUUUUCACAACAAUGCCAAUUACUGUCGCGGGGGAUUUCCAAUCAAAAUGAACAUGGUAUGGAGCAAGCCACAUUCAUGAUGUUUUGGCUCAUAUGGAUGAUCAAGGUUUUAAAACGCAAGGCCCUGAGGCGAGACGCUUUUGAUCUCGUAAGGUGAAGUGUAACCCUUUCGAACUUCAAUUAUUUUAAUUAAAAAUAUAAAAUUAUAUAAAAUAAUUAUAAAUAAGUACUAAUUGUCUCCUAAGCUUAAUAAUCACUACUACAAAAAGUGAAAAAGAGGACCAGAAAACAACGACGGUCUAAGUGAAAACCGUCGUGGUUUUUAAAAAGAUGACGGUUCUAAAAACACCGUCGUGUAAUACCACCUUAGACAACUAAAAAAUGGAGAUUCAAAUGGCUGUUCUAAAACAACGACGUACCUAAUUAAACAAUCGACGUCUAUUUGAAACAGAUUUCCGCAGUGUAAAAUCAAAGUCAACAAAGAACGGCAGAAGUUAUGAAUCGACCGACGUAGAAAGUAAAGACGACGAUUUCAAUAAAAGCCGCAGUUUUUACUCAUAAAAUAACACGACGAGGUUUUCGUAUAAGACGCCGUAUAAUUACAAACAAAUCCACGGCUUUAAAAUACAAAAUAUCGCCAUAUUAAAUUAAUGUACAACGACGGAAAAUAUAAAUAUAUCGACGUCAUUCUCAUAUAGUUCUAUGACGUUAUCUUUAAAUCGUAUAAAAUUUAACGUCGUAUUUAUUCAUUUUAUACGUCGUACCUUUAAUUUAAACCGUCGUCUUAAUAAGAAUUUUUGUUAACAAUUUUUUUCUUUGAUUUUCUUAUCCUACGUCGGUAGAUCUACUUAAUGACAAGAAUUGAAAUAACCACGACGGUUUAUAUAGAAAACCGCCGACAUAAUCAGAUUUUUCUGAGAUCCCAAGGGUUACGAAAUCUUACCAGAUGGAACUCUGUUCCACAUCAUAAUCUUAACAGAUGACACAGAUUUGCAAUUAGAGAGACAAUUUUUUGGAAGUUGAUGAUGUGUGUGCGUUUGUGUAUCUACAAAUAUUAUACCUAACGUCGUUGCAAAUUUGCAAUCAGAGAGACAAUUUUCAACGACGGUUAUAUUAUACCUAACGACGUUUAAAAAACAAAUCAACGUCGCUCAACAAAUAUAUUAUGUCGUCUUAGUCUUACUUAAGACGACGAAAAACGACGACAGUAAUACAAAAACAGUCGUUGUUUUUAUAUUCUUAUUUUAUUUAAAUCUGUCAUCCAAAAAAGAAACUUUACAUAUUCCAGAACAUUAAUUUCCUUCAUUUUAAAUUUCCUCCGGAAAAAAAACUCUAUUUAUAACGCACUGUAAUUGAAAAAUAAACUGAAAGGUCACGGGAAAAAGAAUUCUAUUCAUAAUUUAAAAAUUCAAAUCCACGUCAGUUAUAUUAAACCUAACGACGUUAAAUGAAAAGAUUCCACGUCGCAAAACAAAUAUUGCGUCGUGUUAGUUAAAAACGACGGCAUAACAAAAAACCGUCGUUGUUUCAAACUGAAUUAAUUUAAAAUUUCUUCGGGAAAGCAAAAUCUAUUUAUAAUUUCCUCGGGUUAGUAAUAUUGCGUCGUGUUAGUUUACAAAUUCUAGAACAUUAAUUUUCCUCAUUUUAAAUUUCCUCGGGAAAGAAAAAUCUAUUUAUCACGCUUUGUAAUUGAAAACUAAAACUGAAAGAAUUCGGGAAAAAAAACUCUAUUUAUAAAUUAAAAAUAAAAUCCACGUCGGUUGUAUUACACUUAACGACGUUUAACAAAAUAAUCUACGUCGGUAAUUAUAAAUCUACCGCCAUCUUACCCUAAUAUAGACGACGAGAAAAGACGACGGUAGAACAGAAAACCGCCGUUGUUUCAGUUUCUUUAACAGUUUGGUCCUUUAUCUUUCUGCAGGACUUGUAUAGUUCAAAGCAUUGACAAUGUCUUCAUCAUAUCUCCCAGCAACUACUGAUUCGAUUGCUCAUGCUUUAGAGGCCAUCUGAAGCCAUUUCUAUUCUUUAUCGCAUUCUUGAAACCCAUCUUCUUCUUCUGAAGCUCUACGGAUAAAGGAAGAGGCUAUCACAAAUCUGACGGAUCUUCUUAGCCAAGAAAAUCAAGCAGAGGAUCAGGCACAUCUGAUCUUCAGAUUUCCCUGAGAAGCGAACUUUCCUUCGACAGCGAGUGGAGGCCAGGCUUGCAUCUCUUUUGAUGGAAAGCAAGGAGUAUUCAGAAGCACUAAGUGUCCUAUCAGGCUUGAUCAAGGAAGUGAGAAGGCUAGUUGACAAGCUUCUUCUUGUGGACAUAGAUUUGAUGCGAGUAAGCUCAAUUUCUCUUUGAGAAAGACAUCCAAAUUAUUGUCUUUGAGAUGUGAGAGACAGUGUCUCUGAGAGAGGAAGAACUUGGAACCCUAAAUGUAAACCGAAAAUGAAUGAAAGCGACAAAUUUAUAGAAUAAAUUUUUAAAACCAACGGCGGUCCUUACAAAAAAACCGCCGUUUAAAUUGUAAAAUCAACGUCGGUAUGACCGACGUAUAUUACAGAAAUCCACGUCGGUACAUUAAUAAAAACGACGUGUUAAAUAAUCUACCAUGACGCGAGUUAUUACUUAUGUACUUUAAUUUUUGAGUUUACUACGACGGUACUUACAACACUACUGUCGUAUUUAUUUACCACGUCCGAAGUUAAAUGUACCGUCGUAUUUUGUAAUUUAUACGUCGUAGUUAUAUGUAACCGCCGUAUUUUUUUUUUGAAAUGGUUUUAUAUGUAAGCAACUUUUCAUCUACCUGACUUACACAUGCACUGUUUCCAAACCCGAUUAAAAAUUUCAAUCUCCCAGAGAAAACUUUUAGACUUUUUUCCUUGUCAGAGCACUGUCAGAAUAUCUCAUCGUCUUCCUCUCAUCUUCUUCGUCGUCUCUGAACUUAAACAUCGAUCGUCUUCCUCUUGCUUUCAUUGCACGCAAAAGGUAAGCUUUCAUUUUCACUAUUUUGGUUGCUGUUUUGCAUGCUCAUACGUUUUUUGUUUGAAAAAUCUUUUUACCUUUUUUAUGGCCAAAAUCAUUUUAUUUCUUUCCAAGUUUGAUAAAAUAUACAGACAAAGAGGGAAAGUUUCCAACUUUGAAGACAACUACCUCAACUAAAUAAGGCGACGGUAGCUUCUUAUUUACGUGGUUAAAUAUGUAGACCACGAUGGUUCGUCAGUCGUUCUAGCGUCGUCUGAAAAUUGACAAAGUUGUUUUUAAAAUUAUGGUCUUUUUUUUAUUUGCUUGUUUAAUUGCAGGUUUGAUUUCUCUGAACAAUGGUUUUUGUUUUUCCCUAAUUUGAUAAAAUAUAAAGAAAAAGAAAGUAGGGUUGGUAUCUAAUAUAGACGACAGUAUCUUAUUGUUUUACGUCGUGUGAAUGUUAAUACCACGACGUCAUAUUAAAUCACGUCGGCCGGUAAAUAUCGACGUAAUAAGUUAUUAUUACGUCUUAUUUUAUAUUAUUUCGUCGUUGUUUAAUUACCUUGGUUUUAAACAUUUAUUACGUCUGAGAUUAUUUCAUUGCGUCGUUUAAAAUCAUAUCAUACGUCGUAUUUUAUUAAUAACCGUCGUUUGUGUUCUUAAUAUUUUCCUGAAAUAUUUUCACUUGCAGUUUUGUCUGUAAAAAUGGUUUCUCACCAAGACCAAAGUAAGGAUUCUGGCUCCAAGAGAAGUCUUCGAAGAAGAUGAAGUCUUCGAAGAAGAUGAAGUUUGCUUCAUCAUCUGUUGAGACAGAACCAACCAGCACGACAACAAUCUCUGAUGAUUCAAAGUCUGGUCGAGGUAUGAGCACAAUGCCUCGUGUUGUGAAGAGAAAACUUCAGAAACUGAGGCCAAUUGUUGAGUACAAUAAAAGGGGGAAAGGAAUUGGCCAAGCACAUAGUGAGAUGCAGUCCUACAUUGGUGUGUUGGCACGCUCCAGAGUUCCACUUGUGGACAUGAAAUGGGCUCAAAUCCCCAAGGAUAUAAAGGAGCAGAUUUGGGAAGCAGUUAACAUUGCUUUUGUGGUAGGUCAAGGGGGCAAGAACUCUGUGUUAGCUUCUGCUGCCAAGAAAUGGAAGGAUUUCAAGUCUACACUAACGAGGCAUUAUAUCCUUCCAUACACCAAUGACAGGGAGAGAUUAAGCCAACCCCCUGAAACAUAUAAAUUCAUAGAGAAAGCACAAUGGGAUGCCUUUGUAGCUUCAAGGUUAUCCAAAGAUUUUGAGUCUGUGCAUUCUCAACAUGCACAGAUUAGGGAGAAACUUGAGUACAAUCAUCGAUUGUCUCGAAAAGGAUAUGCUGGUUUGGAGGAUCAAUUGGAGGAAACCAUGCCUGGGGUAGAAAUUGAUCGAUCUACCUUAUGGAAGAGAGCUAGACAGGACAAACAUGGUAACAUCCCGGAUCCAAAGGUGGCAGAGAAAGCAAAAUUAAUUGUAAGCCUACUCACUCUGUUUUAAAUUUUUAUUAAACUGUGAAUAAUUCUUAUUACGUCUUAUGUUAUAUUUUGCGUCGUGUGAAUGAUAUUACCACGUCGAAAUUUUGUUAAAAACGUCGUUAAAGGUCUAAAUCAGGAAUCACUACUCUGUUUUCUGUAAUUAUAGCAUAAGAUGUCGGUGUUUCAUUUUCGCGUCGUUUGUAUUAAAUUACUACGUCGAAAUGUUUUAAAAAAGGUCGUUAAAGGUGUGAAUAUUGAAUCAUCCCUCUGUUAUCUGUAAAUAAAGCAUAAGACGUCGGUGGUUUAUUCAUUUCGUCGUUUUAAAAAACUAACCACGUCGGUAUAACUACCGUCGUGAUAAAUUAUAAUAACGUCGAUUUAUAUGUUAUUGCGUCGUGUGAAAUUAUAUAAUACGUCGUUUGUAUAUAAAUAACCGUCGUGUGUUUUUUGUUCUUACUUUUUUAUAUAUCUUUGUUUUAGGAUGAAUUGCAAAAACAAGUCUCGGAAGGCAAAGUCACUGUAUCUGGCAGCAAUGAUGUGCUGACCAUGGCUUUGGGCCCCGAGCAUCCAGGCAGAGUGAGAGGAGUAGGUGCUGGGAUUUCACCAAGGCAAUAUUUCAAUUUACCCAAACCACAGAUAGUGAGCUUUGACGACCGUUUAAAGGACAGUUUAAGAGUUCUCCUUCAAGAAGAGACUAAAAAGAUGGAAGCUAAGGCAAGGGAAGAGGCUUUAAGGAUGGAGGCUAGAACGAAACAAUUGGUAGAGGCUGAGAGGGAGCAUUUCCUGAGUCAGCUUUCUCAAUUAAUUCCCAAUUUUGAUCCAAGCAUGCUUAAACCCAGAAUUAGCCAAAGUCCCAAAAAUCCAAUGUCUGACAAAGCAAGCUGCUCUGGAGGUGAUGUGAGAUCCCUACAUUUUGAGGAUGAUACUGCCAAAAAUGGGAAACAUCAGGAAGAAAAGGUAACAUAUCUGAACUUUGAAUUCUCUGUUUUUUUAAAACCAUUAGACGUCGUAUUAUUAAUAAAACCGUCGUUUGAAAUACAUAUCACGACGAUUUUAAAAAUAAACCGUCGUUUGUAUUUCAAUACCACGUCGUAUUUAGUUUCCUUGUUUUACACGCCAUUAAACGUCGUUAUUUUUAAAACUUUGUGGUUUUUAGACGACGGAGUUAGUCAUUCCCGACGUAAUAGAUGAAGAGAAGAAAGAAGAAAAACAAGAUGAAAAGGAGAAAGAAGAUGACGACCAGGUAUGUUCACAUAACUUUGCCUUUUUUAUUUAUUUUUCAAAAUUCCAGACGUCGAUAUUUUUCUUUAAACCGUCGUUUGUUUACAACUUAGACGGCGGAAUUUUUUUCUAAGACGUAAUAAAUUAUUCACCACGACGGGUUUUUCACCGUCGUUUAAAUUCUUUUCAGACGACGUUUUAUUCCUUAAACCGUCGUUUUUAUUGAAUUACCACGUCAUUUUUUUUAAUUCUUUAAACAGAUUAUUAAAGUUGUUGAUUAUUCAAAUAUGGAGGCGCCAUCUUCUUUAAAAUCCCUUUGUCGUUAUGUGGAAACGACACUCGUGCCUCAGGAUAAGACCCUGCACUUUACAAUUGAUAAGGAGGUGUUUGGUCUAGAGCGCGAUACCUUCCUCCUGCCUGAAGAUAUUACACAAUUUGCAGGCAUGGAAGAAAUAGGAGCUACUGUCAUUGCUGUAUAUAUGAGGUUUGUCAUUCUAAAAUAAUACGUUGUUGGUUUAUUUAUUGCGUCGUCUUAACUAACUAACCACGUCGUUAGUAUGUACCGUCGUGAUAAAUAUAUUAUAACGUCGUUGUCUAUUUCAGUACGUCGUGUGAAAUUUUAUAAUACGUCGUUUUGUUAUACAUAACCGUCGUGUGUUUUUUUGUGCUAACUUGUUUAUAUUAUUUUAUAUAUUUAGGUACUUACACGAUGUUUUGAAACAAGCAAAUAUGUGCAGCAUGGUUGGCUUUAUCGACCCUGCUACAGUUAGUGCCAGCUCUGGCACAAUAGCUGACAGAUCACGACUAGUAGCAGCUCGACUUCAGAGGACUGACGGUGAACAGAUUUUCAUGAUGCCUUACAAUCCAGGGUUAGUCUCCUUAACAUGAUUUUGUUUUUAUGAUUUUCAAUAAAUGACAGCGUAUAAACUAACCACGUCGGUGUUUUAUUUUAUUGAGUCGUUUGAAACUACUAACCACGUCGGUAGUUAUUUAUCGUCGUGAUAAAUAUAUAAUGUCGUCGAUUGCUACUUUAUUUCGUCGUGUGAAAUAUUAUAAUACGUCGUUUUUGUAAAUAACCGUCGUUUUUAUAUUAAUUUUGUGCAGCCGUCAUUGGAUCUUGCUGAUUGUAAGAGCAAAGAGGGAAACCGUCUAUUUUCUGGAUCCUCUGCCAGGAAAUCGUGUGAUCGAUGAAGAGGCCAAAAACAUCGUGAACAGUGCUAUAAAACUUUAUAAUUCUCACAUAGCCAGAUCAGGCCGUAAGGCAGUAAUUUGGAAAACUCUGUCAGGCACACCAAAGUAACCCAGCAGUGUCGAAUGCGGGUAUUAUGUGAUGCGCUUCAUGAGGGACAUCAUCAUGGAUCCUUCCUUGGGGUUUAAGAAGAAGGUAAGAAGAAAUUACCUUCAUACAUUUUACGUCGUUUUUUGUAUUAUCAACGACGGUCAUGUAAAAUUACCGUCGUUGAAUAGAUAUAGUACGUCGGUUAUGAAAAAUAUCGUCGUCUGUGAUUGAAUUUCUUUUUAUUUAUAAACCCUAAUAGUCAUUGUUUAUGCAGUAUGCCAAGGGAAAACAGGAAGCGCCAUACCCCCAAGAAGCAAUUGAUGAAGUCUGGAAUGAAUGGGCAGAGUUUGUUUGCCUUCACCUGGAAUAGGGGAAUUAUUGAACACUUGAUAUUUAUGUAUAAUGUACAAAUUUUGUCUAUAAUAUAUAAUGUAAAAAUUUGUUGAGGUUUUCUUAAAUUUAAAAAAAAAAAAACAUACAAAUUGCGUAACCGACGUGUAAUACUUUUCCAACGACCUAAUAAAGUCAAAAACCGUCGUUUUUUGUUGUUUCGUUUUAAACAAAUUCGACGUAAAAGGAUAUUUAGACGACGUUCAUUGAACAAUUGAGUCGUUUAUGGUUUACAAAGUCUUCAAUUUCUUAAGGGUUCAGGGUAUUACUUUGUAACGACAGCGGUUAAGUCGUGGAAUAUAUAUUUUACGUCAGAUAGUUAAAUAUCUGCCAUGGUUUCUCAUUUAAACGACGUCAUUUUAACAACUUAGUCGUCUAUUAUAAUUUACAACGUCUACAAUUUAUUAACACCGACGUGGUUUGUUGUUGUGAUAAGAAUAUUUUAUUAUUUUUAUAUCAAAAUAUUCAAAAUAAAUUUAAAAUAAAUCAGAAAAAUACAAAGUCAACUCCUAUGAAGUCAUUGAUAUAUUUUCUUCCCCCUAAACCUUGAAAAAAUUCAUUUUGAAUAACAAAAAUUUAAAAUGACCAUCCAAAACAAAAUUAUUUUGAUGAGUCAUAAAAUCACUUCUAGUUUUAUGGUUUAGGGUUUAGAGUCUAGGGUUUAGAGAUUAGGGUUGUUAUUUAUUGGGGUUUAUUUUUAAAGUAUAAUUUUUGGGUAGUCUAGGGUAUAUAUUAGGCUGUAAAACCAUAAACCCUUUUAUAAACUUAAUUUUUAAAAUUAUAUAAUUUAGUUUUAAGGGUUUAGGGUAUUAAUUGUUAACGACGGUGGUUGAGUUGUGGAAUACAUAUGUUACGUCGUGCAGUAAAAUAUCCGACAUGGUUUCUACUUUAAACGACGUCAUUUUAAUAUGUAAGUCGUCUAUUAUAAUUUACAACGUUUUCAAUUUCUUAACUCCGACGUAGUUUUUCAGUCGUCUUUAUAUCAAAAUAUUCAAAAUUAAUUUAAAAUUAAUCCGAAAAAUGAAGCAUCAAAAUAAACGGUGUUACGUUCAGUGUUUCCGUCGUGGAAUAUUACAUUUACGUCGGUUCUUGUAGAACUUUCGCCAUGGUUUUUCUUUCGACGUUUUAAAGAGCGCGCGCUCUAAAAAUUUUCGCGCGCCCUAAAUUUUUUUAUAUUUGGCUCUUAUUCUUAUACUUCUAACCCUGAACCCUAAAAUUUUCAGAUUUCGCGCAACAUAACAUUUCGCUCUCUCACUUCUGCUCUAAUUAAAAGUUGCACUCUCCAGGCUCCGUCGAAUCUGUGAGCUCGUCCAACCUGUAAGUACAAACCCUAUCUUCCCCUUGUAAAUUCAUUGAAUGAUAUUAGGUUGUUUUGUUAAAGGGUUUUAGGUAUAUGCUUUGCGAUCUGUUAAUAAUGUGCUUAUAGGUAUGGGUUCAUGGAUUUUCUGUUUAAUGGGUUCAUGGAUUUUCUGUUUAAUGGGUUCAUGGAUUACAUUAUCUAUUAUGUUGAAUUGGGAAUGGAUUUAAUUUUGUCGGAUCUUUUAAUCACCCUAUGUUAUGUUGAAUUGGGUUCAUGUAUAUGUUGGUUUCUUGCUUGGUUUCAUAUAUAUGUUGUGUUCUUAAUGGGUUUUGGGUUCUUGAAAAUAAACUGAGUUUUGGGUUCUUGAAAAUAAACUGAGACACAACGCCUUUUUAGGCAUACGACGACGAUUACACGACGGUUUAUGAAAUUUUUCAUAAACCGUCGUUUGUAUUACUUAUAUUAGACGACGUCUGUUGAAAAUCCGGCGUCUAUAUAUGCCAAAUACGUCUGUUUUUGUUUAAAACCCGUCGUCUCUGUUGUGUAUUACUUGCUAUUAGAUCUUUGUAUAAUCUGCUAUAGUGAUGGUCAUUACCUGUAUUUUCACUUUAUUAUAGAUAAUAGGUUAUAGUGUCGGAGAUGGAUAAGUCAUGGAUGCACUCGGAUAGAAGAUCGAAGGCAUAUGAGUUUGGGGUGGAAGCAUUUUUGAACUUUGCUGUAGAAAAUCUUCUAACUACAACACAUAUCCGUUGUCCAUGUGUUAAAUGUGUUAAUUUAAAGUUAUUUGGGGUUGGAAUUAUAAGGGAUCACUUAUACUUUAAUGGAAUUGACCAAAGCUAUAAGAAUUGGACAUUUCACGGAGAACCUUGGGAAGCAACUACUAAUGCUAGUAGAAAUGUUGAAGAAGAUGAUGGCCAUACUAGGUACAGUUUUGUGUCUGAAGAAAUUGAUAUGGAUGAUAAUGAUUUUGGUGAUUUUGGUUCCGAUCCGUAUGAGUUUGCCAAUGUGAUUGGGGAUGGAGAUCAACCAGUGUACCCUGGUUGUAGAAAGUACAUGAAGUUAUCGGCAUUAGUAAAGUUGUAUAAUUUGAAGGCAAAACAUGGGAUGAGUGAUGUCUGUUUUACAGAAUUAUUGAUACUUCAAGGCGAUUUUCUUCCAGAAGGAAAUACAAUACCAACCUCUAUGUAUGAGGCUAAAAAGACUUUGUGUACAUUGGGGCUGAGUUAUGAGAAAAUGCACGCAUGCCCCAAUGAUUGCAUCUUGUAUAGGAAGGAGUAUGAGGAUUCAACUAAUUGUCCUACUUGUGGUAUCUCAAGGUGGAAGGAAGGCAAAGAUUCAAUCUUGAAAGAGGGUGUGCCAGCGAAGGUGGUGUGGUAUUUUCCUCCAAUUCCAAGGUUUAAAAGGAUAUUUCAAUCACAUGAGACAGCUAAGAGUUUGACAUGGCAUGCUGCUAGAAAAUCAAUUGACGGUCAGAUGUCUCAUCCGGCGGAUUCCCCGUCUUGGAAACUUCUUGAUGAUAAAUGGCCUGAGUUUGGUAAUGAGCCGAGAAACUUGAGAUUGGCUCUUUCAUCUGAUGGAUUCAAUCCCCACAGUUCUCUAAGUAGCAGAUAUAGUUGUUGGCCGGUUAUCUUAGUUACAUAUAAUCUCCCUCCAUGGCUGUGCAUGAAACGAAAGUUCAUGAUGUCAACCUUAUUGAUUUCCGGUCCUAAACAACCCGGAAAUGAUAUAGACGUCUACUUGGAGCCUUUGAUUGAUGAUUUAAAAUAUUUGUGAGAUGGGAUUAGAUGAGUGUAUGAUGCACAUAAUGGAGAAUACUUUACACUCAGAGCUGCAUUAAUGUGGACAAUUAAUGAUUUCCCCGCCUAUGGAAACUUAUCUGGUUGUGUUGUUAAAGGAUAUAAAGCUUGUCCAAUAUGCGGCGAUGAUACACCUAGUCACAGGUUGAAAAAUGGCCACAAAAUUUGUUACAUUGGGCAUAGAAAAUGGUAACCAAUCAAUCAUCCAUAUAGGAGGCAACAUGCAGCUUUUAAUGGGAAACCUGAAUAUGGCAUACCUCCCGAGCCAUUAACCAGAGAAGAAGUGCUGCAUAUGGUUGAAAAUGGUGACAGAGUUUGUUGGAAGAAGAAAUCAAUAUUCUUUGAUCUCGAGUAUUGGAAAUACCUUCCUGUGAGGCAUGCCCUAGAUGUUAUGCACAUUGAGAAGAAUGUUUGCGAUAGUAUUAUUGGUACAUUGCUGGAGAUCCCUGGAAAAAAUAAAGAUGGGAUUGCUGCUCGAUUAGAUUUAUUGAACAUGGGGGUCAAAACUGAUUUGCAACCCGAGUAUGGAGAAAGACGUACUCGUUUGCCUCCUGGGCCUUGGAAUUUGUCAAGAGCAGAGAAGAGAGAGGUUUGCAAUUCUUUCUAUGGUAUGAAGGUCCCUGAAGGUUAUUCUUCAAAUAUUAAAAAUCUUGUAUCUUUACAAGAUUCAAGACUUCUUGGCCUUAAAUCACAUGAUUGUCAUACCUUAAUGCAACAAUUGCUCCCUGUGGCAAUUCGUUUUGUUUUGGAGAAGCCUGCUAGGUAUGCAAUAACUCGUUUGUGCUUCUUCUUCAAUGCUAUAUGUGCAAAAACUGUUGAUGUUUUCAAGCUAGAUAAGUUGGAAGAAGAUGUAGUAAUUACUCUGUGUUUGCUUGAGAAGUACUUUCCCCCUUCAUUUUUUGAUAUCAUGGUUCAUCUAGUAGUACAUCUUGUCAGAGAAGUUCGUCUAUGUGGGCCAGUAUAUUUUAGGUGGAUGUAUCCGUUUGAAAGAUAUAUGAAAGUGCUGAUGGGGUAUGUUCAGAAUCGUACUCGUCCCGAAGGUUGCAUUGCUGAGCGGUAUAUAGCUGAAGAAGCGGUAGAGUUUUGUACUCAGCAUUUAUCUGAUGUUAGUACAGUUGGAGUGCCUUCAAGCCAAAAGAUGGGACUUUCAAAGCCAUUAUCAGGUUGCACAGUGAGCGUAGUUGAUCAGGACCUGUUGAAUCAAGCACAUCUAUAUGUCUUGGAGAAUACGGAGGAAGUCCUACCUUAUAUCGAGUACGUAUGAGUUUUAUUCUUUAAGUUUCCAUUUUAAAUUAUUUCUUAUGUUUAUCUUCUAUAUUUGGGACCGUAAUGCUUGAAUUUUUCGUGUCAUGUAGGCAACAUAUGAUCCACAUCAAGACUGCUUAUCCAAAAUUUAGAAAGAGAACAAAGUGGCUGCAGGAUAAGCACAAUAGCACUUUCAUUCAAUGGCUACGCUUCAAGGUAUAUGUUGUUGAAUAACAUAUUUCUCUUUUAAUUUUCUUCUUAUUUCUAUGUUAGAUUGAAUUAAGAUAUGAUUAAUUUGCAGGUUCAAAGUGAACUUGAGGAAGACAAUCAUGGCGUAUCAGAAAAUUUAAGGUGGCUAGCAGCUGGUCCAAACAUGGCAGUGCCAUUAUAUAGGAGCUAUCUUAUUAAAGGUAUUAAAUUCAAUAUCAAGGCACAAGAUGAUGUGCGGACAACUCAAAAUAGUGGAGUUUAUUUACUUGCACAUACCAUGCAAGUUGCUAGUGCCAAGGAUAAAAACCCAAUUCUCUCAAAUAUGGGUUUCUAUGGUGUCAUUCAAGAAAUUUGGGACCUUGACUACUAAAAGUUUACAAUCCCAGUCUUUAGGUGUGAUUGGAUAGAUAGUUCUGGUCUUGUAGUCGACGAACUUGGAUUUACCCUUGUAGAUUUGAGUAAAAUUGGACAUAGGAAUGACCAAUUUGUUUUGGCUUCUCAAGUCAAACAAAUAUUUUUUGUUGACGACCCGAUGCAUCGUGGUUGGUCGGUAGUGUUAUCAAUGCCUAAUAGAGAAUAUAAUGAUGUUAUUGGUGAUGAAGUCUUAGGUGAUGUGAUAAUUGAGUGUGAGCCAUUUACUAGAGGGAUGCCAAAUGUUGACACAUUUGAUGAACUGGUGGGUGAGUUAGGCGGUCAAAAUAUUCGAGAUGGGUGUGAAGAUAUAUGGAUUGAAUGAUGCUUAUGUAAUUGGCAGUGUAUGACAUUAAUUUUGUAAUAUAUUGUAAUGUGAUUUCUUCACUUUCUACGUUCAAAUAAAACACGACGUUAUUGUGAACCAGUUAUUCAGCAUAUUUACCGACGUCUUAAAGCAACGUAACAAUGAAGAACCACGACACUAUUGUGAAGCAAUUAUUCAGGAUAUCACGUCGGGGAAGGAUUAAGAACCGCAAUGUAAUUCAAAAUAACACGACUCCAAUCCCAUAAUACCGACGUCUAAAAAAUGAGAUAUAUAAUCUGAACGUUAAAAAAUACGACGUCAUCAUACAUUUUCCACGUCGCAAGUUCUUUUAUAAACGAAGAGGAACGAAAUGAAUUCCGACGGUAAUUCAUUAUAACCGCCGUCUAAUAUCAAUUAAACGACGUUAUUUGUAAUACGGCUCUCAUCAUAAUCAACGCUGUCUAUAUGUUCUGUAAUACGGCUCUCAUUUAUUUGGAACCGACGUUGUUUAGAAGUUCAACGUCGUCUAUAUUAAUAAGUGCGUCGUGAGUAAUGAAUACAUAUAAAUACAAUGUCGACUAUGUAAAUGCCACCGACGUUGUUUCGCAUUUCAACGUCAACUAUAUAAAUACAUACGUCGUACAUAAUGACACUGACAACUAUUUCCACGUCAUCUUUUUUAGAAAAAUCGAAGUGGAAAAUUUAUUUCACGACGGUUGUUUGUAAAUAAGAGACGUAGUAGAUUUCAAUAACGUCGUCUUCUCAUGUAUUUAAAGACGUCAUAUUUUUUCUUGUCGUGAAAAUUAUAUUUAACGGCGUAGUGUUUUAGUUGUCGUCGUUGUAUGUCUAUCUUGCGGCCUUGUUCUUUUAAUAUGUGUCAUAUUUUUCCUUUUUCACGACGGUGAUUUGUUUGAGUUGGUCGUCUAUUCUCAUCCUCGACUAUUUUUUAGAACUUUAGCAGACUAAACACGUCUGUUUUUAUUUUUUUUCGACGUUGUUUUAUUUAACAACGUCUAAUAUCUAUCGUCGUUGUUUGUUUCUGAAAAUAGGACGUAUAAAUUUUGUAAUACGACUCUCAUAUAUUUGUAACCGACGUUGUUUCGUUGUUCAACGUCUACUCUAUAAAUACAUACGUCGUAAAUAAUGACACUGACAACUAUUUCCACGUCAUCUUUUAUAGAAAAAUCGAAGUGGAAAAUUUAUUUUACGACGGCUGUUUUUAUAUAGGCGACGUAGUAGGUAUCAAUAACGUCGUCUUCUAAUGUAUUUAAAGACGUCAUAUUUUUUAUUGUCGUGAAAAUGAUAUUUAACGGCGUCUUAUUUUAAUUUUCGUCGUUGUAUGUCUAUCUUGCGGCCUUGUUCUGUUAAUAUGUGUCAUAUUUUUCCUUUUUAACGACGGUUUUUUUAGAGAGUUGGUCGUCUAUUCUCAUCCUCGACUGCUUUUUUAGAUCUUUUUGCAGUACAAAGACGUCGUUUUGUAUUUGUUGAUGACGUUGUAUAUUUUAACAACGACGGUGAUUUAGCGUCGUGGUUUAUGAGAGAAAAGAUGACGGUGGAUUCCACGACCAUUGAAAAAUCGAAUACACGACGGUGAUUUACCGUCUUCUUUUUGCUUUUUUGUAGUAGUGAAUUAAGUAUUCUAGGAGGAAAAUUUAGGGUGCUGCAGAUAUGAUUUCUGGUUCAACAGUUCUAUUGGGUGGGAGGGGCAUAAACAGUUGCAGGGUAUUUACCCUAAAUCUCACAGAGCCUUAAAAAUAGGCCGACGAUUGUGUUAAAUUACGAGCGUGCCACUAUUAGUAGUGUAAAACCCUAAUAGAUCUUAAUGAAUUAAAAUAACUUAUGCACCAAGAAACUUGACUUCCGAUCAAACAAUUGUGCUUGGAAUGGGGAACUAGUUCAAUAUGGAUUCUUUUCUAUGCUUCAAGACAAAUGAGGAUUUUACUAUUUCUCUUAUACAAAGCUAAGAGAUAAAAAAUAGAAACAAGUAAACAAUGUGUCAGAUCGAUCAUAUCUGGUAAUAACUAAGACUUCUACCACCUUUAAGUUGCCUCAGAGCCACUGGAAUGAGAGUAUUUUUGCUCACCACUUUAACCCAAGGUGUACUAUAACUACCCUUCUCAAUACUUGACACGUGUCUACGGGCAUAACCAUGGUUCCACAAAUACAAAACAAAGAGUUAACUAUGGUUAUGCACAUGGACACAUGUCAAGUGUUGAGAAGUAUGGUGAGGGUACACCUUGUGUUCAAGAGGUGAGAAAAAAUAUUUCCCAUUGGAAUAGCCUCAAAAUGUUAGGAAGAUCUUGUAACAAUCGAGCAGAAGCGCCACUAACAGGCAAUUCAAGAUUGUUUCCCCUUUUUUGAGACUUAUAUUUGAUCAUGCGUGAUUAUCAAUUAGGAGCAUCCGCAAUGGUUGUUCAAUAGUUCAAUAAAUUAAUUUUUUUUGGAAUAUAUUGAAUUGAAUUGAAAUGCAAUUUUACUUACAAUGGCACAGUUCAAUUGCAGUUCAAUUGCUUCAGAUCAAUAGUUUUAUCUACUUACACCUUUUUUUACAUACUUAAAUAAAAUAAAGGGAUAAAUUUAAGGCUUAAGUGCUACAAUGCCCCCUAGAACAUUGAUCAAUUCUCACUAAACCCCCUUAAAUUUAAAGUGACCCACUUUGCCCCAUUGACUGAUGUUUUGUGUCUCACUUUGCUCCUCACCGUCAAGUUUGUUAAAAAUGCUAACGUGGCACCAAUGGAACCCACUAUUUUGCUAAACUAAAUACCAUGUGUGAAAAAAAAUAUUAAAAAUUCCAAGUGUGAGCUCCAAAUCAUCCAAUCCGACGUCAUGAAUCUUCUCUCUAAUCCACGGCUUUACCUCUGGGAUCUCACUGUCAGGCAAGUUUUGGUGAGUAACAACAGGCUUCGUAAGAUUGAAAGUGGGAGAGGCUGGCAUUGUUGACAGAGAAGGAGCAAAUCUCUAGAAGCAAAUCCAUUGCCCAUAAUCAACAGUGGAAGUAUCAGACUCAUCACAUUCGGGAAUGGUAGCAGCUGGAAAAUGGAGUUGGCGACGGGUAGUGGCGGAUCCAGGAUUCAAAAGUCAUGUAGGUGAAACUUACGUUAAAAACUCGAAUGUAUGAGUGAAUUUUAUUCAUAAAAAUAAAAAGAUACACCUAGUCAGGGGGAUGUAAUGAACCUUAUCCUCAAAUAUGCAUAUCUAUACAUAAAUAAAAGCUUAACCAAAAAAAAAAAAAAAAGAAAUAAAUGCAAUGCAACACAAAAACUAAACGAUUUUAAUCUAAAACUGUACCUUACGAGGCUCAGAAAUCUUAAAUUCCUCAAUUAUCUCUUCAUUAUCGAUAUUAUUAACAAACUCUCUUUCAAUGUGGAGAAUCAUGCAAUCAGCAAGGAAUUCAUCAACUAUGGUGCUCCGAAGUCUAUUCUUAAUAAUUCUCAUACAUGAAAAAGAUCGUUCCGUUGUUGCUGUAGAAACAGGAAGAGUCAACACCAACUGAAUCAACCUAUAAAGCAAAUGGUAGUUUUCUGCCAAAGUUGUUUCCACCAAUUGUUGACAUAACUGAGGAAGAGUGGUAAGAUCCUUAAAGCAGGGAAGGCGAUGCAUAUCAUUUUGAAAAUACCUAAACUCAAUUUCCAAAGCUUUUAAGUCACUUGGACUGAAAUCAGCAUGAUAGAAUUUCUCAGCAAGUUUACAUAGAUGCCCAAUAUUGAAUGAUUUGAAGGAAUUACGAGGAUCCAAUGCUGAGCUAAGAAUAAGAAGUUCAACUGUUUGCUCUGGAAAUCUGUCAUUUAACUCCCUCAACAUGCAAUCUAUCACAUCAUUAAAUACAUCAUUGCGAUAGUAAUGUUCAACUGUAAUAAAAUCUUUUUGUUGACAAGAACGACGUGUGCCCAUCAUAUAACGAGAACUCAUAUCAGGAACAUCAAUACCAUGUUGUUCACAAAAUGAUACCACAUUCAUGAAUAAAUCAUCCCAGCCAUGUGCCCUCAUAUCUUGGAACUGUGGUUUUGUGUUUUCAACAAAGUUUAAAGCACUUACAAUAUCUUGAGUUUUUUCUGAAACACUUGACAGAGAAAGUUGGUCAAUCCCAUAAUUUUAUCCAUCAAAAGCAAUGCAAACACAAACUCAAAAGACAUCAUAGCAAUAUAGUUACUCUCUGCAUCACCAUGAAAUUGUUGGUUAGGUCCAUGUUCACUGAUUUCUUGAAGAAGUAUUUUAGUCUCUUUAAAUAAACUCAUUAAACUUGUAAUAGAGGCAAAGUGAGAUCCCCAAUGAGUGGCUCCAGCUCGUUUCAAACUAGGACCUUGAUUUAGUCCUCUACCUGUCUCAAGUUCCCCAGAAUCCAACAACUCUUUGAGUUCCGCUUUUCAAAUUAAAUUUAACUCAUUACGGCGCUUAGCAGAAGCACUAACAAAAUUCACAAUGUUAGUCAACAUUGAAAAAAAUCUCCAUACAACCUUCACAUCUUUAGCUGCACCAUUUAAUGCUAAUUGCAAGCGAUGAGCAAAACGAUGUACAUAAUAUGCAUAUGGACAAUCUUGAAGAAACAAUGCUUGUAAUCCAUUCCAUGAACCACGCAUAUUAUUAGCACAAUCAUACCCUUGGCCACACAUGUUUUUCACUAGAAUGCCGUUAUGAUCAAGCACUUUGCAUAUAUCUUGUUUAAGAGUCAAGGCAUUAGUGUCUACGACACUCACAAUAUCGAAAAAGCCUUCACGAAUAAAUCCAUCACAAUCAACAAAUCUUAGAAUAAUAGCCAUUUCUUCCUUACCUGAUUCAUCAAGUGAUUCAUCAACAAGAAUACAAUAUUUGUUCUUCCCAAGUUUGGUACAAAUUUUCUUCUUCACCUUGGUAGCAAAAAUAUGCAAGAUCUGUUUUUGUAUAUCAUGGGCAAUAUACUGAGCAUUAUGAGGAGCCUUAUCUAGAAUAACUUUCUCAACUUCUAUAUUCAUUCUUGCAAAUGACUUUAAGAUUUCAAUGAAAUUGCCUCGGUUAGAUGAGUCAACUGAUUCAUCGUGACCUCAAAAAGCCAAUGCUUAAUUUGCUAGAUACCGAAUGCCCUCUAUUGUGGUUGUAAGUCGCAACCGAUUGUCCAUCACUUGUUGCUUUGAUUGCUUAUCUACCACAUUUUCAAUAUGAAGAGAUGGAUUUUCUAAGCUAACCCACUUUUGCAUAGCAAGAUGAUGUGGAGAAUUUAGCUUGCCUACAUGACUUUGAAAUACACAUUGAUUACCACCAAUUCUCUUCCAAUUUUGAAAUCCAUGAAUAGUAAAGGUUGAAUGUGAAUGAUUCAUGUCAAAUAGGAAGCAAGGAAAACAAAAUGCCAAAUCUUUAGCAAUUGAAUACUCAAGCCAAGGGAAUUUACCAAACCACAAUUUAUUAAAUCAAUGUAAGUCUCACCCUUCUAAAUGGCUUGGAUAGUCUUCUAACUCCGGUUGACAAGGUCCUAAAAUAAUAUAGGCUUUUCGCACAUUAUCUUGUUUAUUCACCGAAUAUUGGCAUAUUUGACGACAUAAUCCCGGAUCAUGCUUAAGAUAAUUGAUAUUAAAAUCUUGACCACUAUCAACUUUUUGGGUCUCAACUCUUUCAACUUGAGGCUCGACAAUGGGAGAAGAGAGAAGAUUUGGCUCAUCACAAAUGGGAGGCAUUCUAGAAGAUGAUGACCCAUAAUUCUUUUUCUUAAAAAAAGAGAACAAAUUCUUUGUUUUCUUGGGGUUUCGAUUGUGAUCCGACAUAAUAAAAGAUAACCUAUUUAAUCAAACAUCCCAACAAAAAAUCAAACAAUUUCUCAUAAUAGCAUCAAUGAAUUUAAUCAAACAUUAACAUACCAACAACAAAUCAAACAUCUCAACAAUGCCAACAUCAAAUCAAACAUCUCAACAAAAUUCUUAAAAUCAAAGACCUAAUUAAUUUCAACAAAAUUCCCAAAUUAUAUUUAAUUCCUAAUUAAACCCUAGAAAACUCAAGGGAGCUUCACUAAUAUACCCAAAAUAGGGGCUGAAAUUAUAAAAAAAACCCCACAUGGAUUGCACUUUAGAAACACACCCAAAACUCAUUUACUACAUAAAAAAUUAGUGUUUAAGUUCUUAUAAAUUACAUGACUGCCAUUGAUCAAUUUAAAAAAGAAGACCAACACAAAAAACUUAAAUAGCACCCAAAACAAGCCCAACCCAAUUUUAUAAAAAAACCCAAACAAUUCAUUACAAACAAAAGGUCUUGAAAACCGUAGUUUCAUUAACGUGUCAUGUUAAUUAAUCAUUGUAAUGUUCUACACCUUUAUUGUCAUGUUGAUUAAUUGUUGUAAUGUUCCAGUUUAGGGUAAUAACACUGCUAUGUCAUGUUGAUUAAUGGUUAUAAUGUUCCAGUGUAGAGUAAUAACACUGCUAAUUUCCUAUAACAUCCUAUUUCUAAUGCAUGUUUACCCCUGUACUGUUCCAGUGUAGGGUAAUAACACUGCUAGUUUCCUAUGAUAUCCUAUUUCUAAUGCAUGUCUACCCAUGUAAUGUUUCAGUCUAAGGUAAUAACAUUGCUAGUUUAUUGUCAUGUUGAUUAAUGGCUGAUGUUCCAAUCUAGGGUAAUAAUAUUGCUAGUUUAUUGUCAUGCUGAUUAAUGGUUGUAAUGUUCUAGUUUAGGGUAAUAACAAUACUAGUUUCAUAUGACAUCCUAUCUCUAAUGCAUGUUUACUCUUGUAAUGUUCCAGUCUAGGGUAAUAACACUGCUCGUUUCCUAUGAUAUUCUAUUUCUAAUGCAUAUCUACCCCUAUAAUGUUCUAGUCUAGGGUAAUAGCACUGCUAUUUCCUAUGACAUCCUAUUUCUAAUGCAUGUUUACCCCUGUAAUGUUCUAGUCUAGGGUAAUAACACUGCUAGUUUACUGUCAUGUUGAUUAAUGUUUAUCAUGUUGCUAUUUCUAAUACAUGUCCACCAAAGAAAAGAUGAAGAAAGAACAAACCAGACCAACUCAAAACAAGCUGAGCCCAGAUUGUUAAUACUAUUAUGUCAUAGAAGUAUAUUGUUAAUACUCUGUCAUAGAAGUACAUUGUUAAUACCCUAUCACAGAAGUACAUUGUUAAACAAAAAUGAGAUUCAUAACUGAAAUAGUAACAAAAGUUGAAUCGAUCAUCAAAGCUUCAAAUACAUUUCGAAAAUCAACUAAAAUCCGAAGAGAAACACAUAAUUGAAGCAAAAGAUCAAAAAUCUCAAGUACAAACCAAACGACGACGACGGCGGCGACGACAAUAACAACGACAAUGAUGUGGCGAAAGAGGAGUAGAGCUCGAAGAUGAGGAGUAGAGCUAAAAGCAUCUGAUCGAGGUUUUUUCAAGGUCUUGAACAAUCCGAAAAAAAGAAAAAAUCAAUAGAAGCACGAUUUUAGAACAAGAAAUUGAAGGUGAAAUAUUGAAAAUUGUAGAUUAAAGAUGAAUAAUAUAGUUGGACCUGAGACUGAGCUUCAAUGGAAGCUCCUCUUGCUCCAACACCAGAGAAAACACCAGCGAGAAAGGAGAAAAUAAAUAUGAUUUGAUUUUUUGGCAGAUUUGGUUUUUUUGGCAGAUUUGGUUUUUUGGCAGACAUGGAAAUAUUUGGUUUUAUGGCAGAUCUGGGCAGAUCUGAUUUUCCUCUCUUAAAUCCAUAGUACAAGGACAAUAUAGGUAUUUAACACACACAAAUAAACUAAAAAACAACUAUUAAAUUAAAAAAAAUUGAUAGCUGUCAAUUUUUGGAUUUUUUUUGGGUGUGUUUAUAGUUUUUAAACGGUGUAGGGUUUCUUUAUAAAACCAUGUCUAACAUUGGGUAUAUAACUAAAUUUCUAAAAACUCAAUUUCAAAUUAAAAUUAAAACUAAGAUGCAUACAUUUAUUUUAGGAAUAACCCAAUAGAAGAAGAUAAUUAAAGAGAAGAGAUUAAGAAGAAUACUUGUUUCCUUGUAUAUGAGAAGAGAAGGGGCUGUCCACGAUUGCACAACUUGACUAUUGCACAACCAAGACUAUUGAGUUGAGAAGAAGCUACCGACUCUGUGUGGAAUUGCACAGCCACUAUUUGGUUGCUUAUAAGUUAUAUUCCCCCUUUUAUUAAAGUAUGAUUGGGCCAUUCCAUAACAUGGGCUGGUUAUAAUUUUUUUUUUUUUUUAAAAGUUUGAGUGGGCUUUAACACAUGUGGUGUGGGUUUUACAUGGGCUGGUUAGGCAAGGGUUUAUACCAUCACAUGUAGGGCUCGUUUGGUACACCGUAUUAGACUCUGGAUAGGAGUAAAUAGUCUAUGUCAUGUGUUUAGUGUCAACUUGUAUUAUUUAAUUAGCCGACUAUUUUAUACAGGUUAGGCUUUUAAUACUCUCCUUACCUGACUAACUAAUACAACCCACACACUCCGGUUUAGAUAAUACACGCUUAAUUAUACUGCUAGGGAAAAAGAACACGCCUUCUACGAAAAAAAUCAGACGCUCUUUUCAUCUUCUUCUCCCUAGGGUUGUUCUCUGCUAUCUUCUCCACAGGUUAUUUUCUUCACUCUUCUCCAGGUAUCCAUCUCUCACUCUCUCUCUUUUUCAUACUCUCUCCAAUAUGCUUUAUAUAUUUCAAAUUUUUAGUGGAAAUUAGGUUAUGAAUUUUUCUUUUUUGGCUUUUUUUUUAAUCGAAUGUUUUCUUUGUAUGUGAUAUAGUAAUUCGACAUUGUGGGAAUAUUUAGAUUGUUGGUAUUAAACAGAGUAUUGCCAGUUUUCGUCCAAAAACAAACAACUGUGCUAGUGUUGGUAGUUUAGUUGAAUACAUACAUACCUGACGACUAGGAGAGCAAAAUUACAAAAUUAAAAUUGUAUGAACCUGAAUUCUAAGAACCAUUUUUUUUCUUUGUCAAUUGCUAUUAGAAAAGCAAAGAUGGACUUGUCUAUUAAUGACCAAAUUAAGGCACUACAGCUAAUUUUGGAGAAAGCAAGUGAUGAAAAAAUAUUCCUGACAUUGGAUGGUGCUAUGAGAAAAGCAUUUGUUCUUCUCUUACUUGGGGCGAGGGAGUUGUGAUUCACUCUUUGAUGUAGUUUGGUUUAUGAACAAUUUUCUCUUUUGCUCUUAUCACCUUAAUAUGUGAUCACUUUGAAUUAUACAUUAUUUGGUACUGUUUUUAUUAACGUAUGCGAGUAUGUUGGUAUUUUUAUGAGAUACUACAAUUAUGAUAAUGGGUUAUAUGAAAAAAAAUCUUGGCAAAAACAAUUGAAAAACAAAUCUUGUCAUAUGAAUCUUACCCAAAAAAAAUUUGUGUCAUUUGAAUCUCAAUUUCCAUUAAAAUUAUCAAAGAUUUUUUAUUUAUUAUUAUUUAUAAAUAGUCUGAUAUGAGGUUAUCCGAAACAUCACCAAACAUAGUACAACUUAGUCAGAUUAUUUAUCCGGAACAACACCAAACGCCUUAUAAUAUUAUCGAUAAAUAGUCAGUACUCUCCGGAACAGAUUAAUACUAUCCGACAGAAAUUAGUCAGUACAGUCCGACGUACCAAACGAACCCAUAAUGGGUAGCAAUUACUUUGCUUAUAUAUAUAUAUAUAUAUAUAUAUAUUGAUGAAAUUUUUUUAGUUAGGCAGCUGCCUACCUCCUGGCUGUAGGACCACCACUGGUUGUCGCAGUGCUUGGGCAAAUUGAAGUUGCCCUGAGCUCGGAGCCCUGUGAAUAUCUUAGCAGCUAUGGCUCUCCUCCUCUUCUCUCUCCUCCGGUUGUUCUCUCUCUCCCUUCAGGACAACUUACUUCGCUUCACUGUCGCCGCAGACGUGGCUCCAUCCGACGUCAUUCCCUGAUCAAUUAUCUUCCCUCUCUUUUCUCUCUCAGUAUCAGGUGCUGUGCAAUUAAGUUUUUUAAAGUAUUAUUAAUUUUUUAAUAAUUAAAUUAAGUUGUUUAAAAGGCAAUUUUUAAUUUUUAAUUAUUUUUUUUUCACACAUGGCAUUUAGUUUAACAAAAUAGUGGGUCCCAUUGGUGCCACAUCAGCAUUUUUAUAGGAAUUUUUAACGGACUUGACAGUGAGGGGGCAAAGUGAGACAUAAAAUAUCGGUUAAGGGGGCAAAGUGAGUCACUUUAACUUUAAGGGGGUUUUAGUGAAAAUUGACCAAUGUUUCAAGGGGCACUGUAGCAAUUAAGCCUAAAUUUAAUAACACUAAAAUUUGUACCAUUGCAAUAUUCUCAAAGAGAUAUUUAAAAAGAGACCAAUAUUGAAAAAAAAAAUUUCUAUUGCAUUGAACUAUUGAACAACCAUUGCAGAUGCUCUUAACAACAUAAUGCAUUAAUUAUUGUAUUUUUUUCCUUUUUUUAUUGACAUGUGGGUCCAAUGGUUAGCCUAUUGCAAUCGCAAUAGAUGGUUCAUCACAUUACCCUUUCUUGCAAUUGCAUCUAUUACAAUGAACUAAAUCACACCAUUGCAAAUGAAAUUUUAGUGUUUUAGUUCAAUUUCAUACAAUAAAAUUGCAUUGAUUCUAACCAUUGCAGAUGCUCUAACAGGCAAUUCCUCUUUUAACGCCACUAACCUAGCCAAAUUCUCAUUACUUUAUAUCAAAAUAGUGAGCCCAAGCCAUCAAUUAGCCCAAUUCUUUUAUUAAUUUGCAUGGAUUGAAAAUAGGCCCAAAACACAGGGAUGUAACUGAAGCAAUUAAGAUUCUUGUACAAAAACUCAAAAUCAUAAGAGCAUGCUCUCAUGUUCGCAUGGUGUCCGAGUUUCUCCUCUUCUACUGCUGCACGUAAGAUACAGUGCAUACUUUAAAUUUCUUUUCAAAGGUCUAAUGGCUUACCCUCGCCUGUUACAGGUGAGGGUACAAUUCACCUCACUCCUUCCUUAUCAUCAUCCCGUGAGCUCUUGGUUCUCAAUAUUCACUGUAACUUGUUAUAUUUUGGUCAUUUAUUUGAUACACUUAAUGUGUUUGCUAUUUUCUAUUCUACUCAUUGUAUUUUCCAAGAUCUUAAGACUCACAAGACAAUUGGACAUGGUAAACGGAGAGGGGGGUUAUACUACUUGACUUUACCGAUUACAAUAGUUCGUGAUUGUGUUGCUAAUAAAGUUCAGAGUGGCAGUGUCAAAGACAAACAACAAAUUUGGCUGUGGCGUAGUCGCUUAGGAGACUCGUUAUUUGGUUAUCUUAAGCAUUUGUUUCCGUCAUUAUUUUGUUCUUGUAAUGAGUCUACCUUUCAAUGUGAGACUUGUGUAUUGGCCAAGAGCCAUUGUAUUGUUUUUCCUUUAAGUAAUAAUAAAGUUGCCAAGCCUUUUGAUUUAGAACAUUUUGAUGUAUGGGGUCCGGCUCAUGUUACUUUGAACGGAUUUCGUUGGUUCGUCACAUUUAUUGAUGAUUUUAUCUGAUUCACUUGGGUUUUCAUGCUCAAAAAUAAAAAUGAUGUUGCUUUCAUCCUUCCUGAAUUUUGUAAUAUGUUAUCUAUUCAGUUUCAGGCUCGGGUCCAAGUAUUCUGGACUGAUUAACGAGGGGUAAAUAUGUGAAUAAUACUUUGGCAUAUUUCUUUCGUGCUCACAGUAUCAUUCAUCAAACAACCACCCCUUUUACUAGGCCUCAUCAUUUGGCCCGCGGGCUCAUGGGCCGAUGGGGGCCCGCCCGGCCCACGGAAAAAAAGCCCGGCCUGGCCCGUUAUGGGCCGACACGGCCCACCCACAAAAGCCUUACCCGUUAGGCCCGCAUACGUAUAUAAUUAUAUAUAAAUAAGAGUUUAGGAUUAGGAUUAUGUCACUUAAAUCACAUAUAUAAUUUGUUUCAUUUCAUUUACUUUUCUUUACUCAUUCCUAGUUUAUAAUUGGAUGAUUAGCACGUUAAUUUGUGUCAAUUAUUAAUACAACAAUUAUAUAUAAAAAUAAGAUGAACAACAUAUCAUAUCACCAAAUAUAAUCAUAUCACGAAACAUAAUCGUACCACCAAAUAUAAUCAUGCUUUUCUUGAACACAUCACCAAACAUUUGCAUAUUUAUUCAUGCCAUCCUUUAAAAAUUAUCUUUAUGAUACUUAUUAUUUUUUAAAAUUAUUUCUUAAAACGUAUUACAGUCUAAUUAUGUAAUAACCUCAAAAAUAAUACUUGGUUUUAUUAUUUUUAUAGAAAAUCUUAUUAAGUUGUGUGACUUUAUUAGGUGUUUUAUGAAUUUGGUUUGAUGUGAAAAUAUUGGAAUUAAGUGAGUUUAAUCUCAAAUUUGGACUAAAAUGCCCUUAUGAUUAAGUUUAUGAUUUUUUUCGAAUGAAGUAGGCCCGUUUCGGCCUGGCCCUUUGGGCUUAGCCCGGCUCGACCCGAUGGGUUUUCUCAAGCCUGGCUCAUGGGUCAUGCUUGGGCUUUGAAUUUUUUUAAAAACCCGGCCCAGCUCGGCUCGAUAUUUUCUCUCUCCUCUUUAAAGCCUGGCCCGGCCCGGCCUAAGCCCAUUAAAUUUGGGUCAGACUAGCCCGACCCGGCCCAUUGACGAGCUUUACCUUAGACCCCUCAACAAAAUGGUGUGUCCGAAAGGAAGAACUGACAAUUGCUUGAAGUUGCUCGCUCACUUAUUUUGGAUAUGUCUAUUCCCCAUUAUGUUUGGGGACAUACUGUUAUGUCUGCUGCUUAUUUGAUCAACCGUACUACUAGUCGUGUUCAUGACUUUGACACUCUUGUUCAUGUGCUUGGUGACCAUGUGCUUCUUUCUUGUUUUCUGUUUUGUGUAGGGAAUUAAAUUGAAUCAAUCUAUCAUCAAUCUCCGUGGGAUCGACUUCGCACUUACAUAUGUUAUACUACCCAACGGUUCAUGCACUUGUGAGUAUCACAAGUUGAGAAUGCAGCUGAAUCAAUUUUGGCACAGCUGAAUCGACACAAGAAGUUUUUGGUGACGGGGAUCAAACCCGGGUCACCCACAUGACAUGCGGGAAUAUUUACCACUAUACUACAACGACUGGUUCUGUUGCCGGGACUUGAACCCGAGUCUUUCGGUUGACAGCCGAAUAUCCUGAAAGCCAAACUUUACAAUGUAAAACAAUGUUACCAAGAGGUGUGGUAACAAGUAGAAAAAGAGGCACACACAAAUGAUGCUACAAAUAGCCCAAAACGAAUUCUUUGAACCAGGCUUGGAGUGGGAAGGCCUGAGAUCUCAAUAUUGAUCUAAUAGGGCCCAAAUUUGGAUAUGUUGUAAUAGACACCUAUUGGAACAACUUUCAUGAAGAAUGUAUUCCUAUCCGAGCACAGCAACAUGCUGAUCCAAAGCCAAGAAUUUGACCUACGAAAUGAGAAAAAACAAUUUAUAUUCAAUAAUGAACUUUUAGCUCACAUUUAUUCCAACCAAGGUAAAAUUCUAUAAUAAAAAAAACACAAAAAGAAAGUAAAAGACUAUAAACUGUCAAUAACUAACAAAAAAUAUCGGUGAAUCACAUGAUAAAUCAUGUACAAAAAUGAACCCAACAAACUUCCCAAACUUAUCUUUUUUCUAGUCCUUGAGCAAAACAAAAGGAAAAUAAAGAGAAAAACAAGAAGUUAACUAGACCACUUUCGCAGGUAACUCGAUUGCAUUGAGCGUAUACAACAAGCAUUUAAACCUCUAGGCAUCCCUAAUAGGAGGAGUUGUGUCGCUUAAGGAUUUAACAGAUACAAUACCCACAAACGUUUUACUGACUCUUCAAAACAAAGUGGUUAGAAAACUAAUUAAAUUAUGUUAGUCCUUGAGCCAAAAAAAAAAAAAAAAAAAAACUCAAAAUAAUCUUUCUGAACAUUUUCAGAAGAGAAACGACUCAUGCACAUGACUCAAAAGUUUUAACAAUAAAAGUGUAGUAGUGUGAUAGCCAAAUGCAACUUAUUCCCGAAUUUCAAUUUUCACAUGAUUUCAAAAAUCAUACAAAGCACAAAUGCAACUUCAAAUCUCACCAAAAUUAUCUUCUCACCAAUGAAUCACUCAGAAAAGGGAAUGCAUCACUCAGUUAUAAACAUGAGAUUAGAGUUAAACCAUAAGGGACUUAACUCGCAAGAAAGAUGAAGAACUUGCAUUAAUAUGAUCUCAAGAAGGAUGUCAAACACUUAAAAGUAGGUGCAAUUCAACCAUUUGACCUUUAGGAUCAAUUUAGGACUUUAACAUAGGUUGAAAUGGGGCCAAGGUGUAAGGUGAGUGAGAAAUGAAAGGUAUGGAUAAUACAAAGCCCAAGGAACUCACAAUGUAAGAGCAUAAAACAAUGGUUUCCAAGACUUCGAAUCAUAAUGAUUAGAAUUUUUUUUUUAUAUGAUCAAUUAGAUCAUAAUUCCUUAUACCUCCAUUUAUAUUGAUUCACACUCAUUUCUUUUAAAUCAACUGAUUUUUAAAAGCACAACUUUUCUCUUUUCCUUCACCAAUUGGGUGAAUUUCUUUGUUUCUUUAUUUUUUUUUUAUUUUUUUUUUUAUAAAUGUAACACCCCUUCCCAAACUUAGCAUGAAAAACACAUCACAAUUAAAGCUCAUGAGUUCCCUGGAAAGGUAAAUACUUGUUUUUCAUACUAAGGCGAGAAAAAAUAACUGAUUAAAUGAAAGAAAAGGUUUACGUGUAAGCUCAAAAUGGUUAACAAUGGAAAAUCAUACUUAAGCAUGCAUAAGGUUAGCUUGGAAGGCACAAACGAUUCAAAGAGCGCCUUAAUAUCAUGUAAUCAAAUUGCAUAAGAAUGAAUGAUUUUUAAGUGCUCAACCAAAUCAACGAAUAAUGAGAUCAAACAAUUUUGAUGACAAGAAAAUAAGAAUAUGUGUAAAAACACUCAUGAAUUGCAGCACAAGCAGUGGCGGUUGUACACAGGGGGCAGGCUGGGCUGCUGCCCGGCCCAAAAUUUUCCAUAAAAACAAAUAGGUAAAUGUGUUAUCCAAGCCAAAAAAAAAAAAGAACAACUCUGUCUCUAACUAGUUGCCCAACCAGCCAUGGCCUACACUUACCAAUUGGUGGCUGGGCAAGAAUACCCACCACUUGCUCGAUGAAAUACCUCAGUGAAGAAGGCAUAGCAACACCUUCCUUGCGAUGAGUUUUCUGAUUUGCAGAGGCAGCACUAUGUGCCUGGCAAAGAAGACCAUGUCUCGGUGCCCUUAUAAACGAAACACACCGUUUUGUGAUUAGCCUCCUUUAGUGAAACGGUGGUUUAGUGUUCAACACUUGGCUGCCUCUUUUCAUUGUCGAUGGGUUUAGUGGGCUAGUUUUCGUUUUAUCGGUUUUAUGAGGUUUGGCUUCAUAAUAAUGGGUGAAUUAUUUAAAAACUUUAUCCUAUGGGCCAAUAUAAUAUAAUAGAAGAUUAUUUAACAAACAAAAAAACUAUUUUAACAGUAAAUAUAAUAAAUAUAUAGAAAUAUAUAUAUAUAUAUAUAUUUAACUAAUGUGUUAAUUCGAUAAUGCAAUGAUAAUUGAGAAAUUUAAGACUUCUUGUAUGGUAAAAUUUCAAAUUUAAAUAGUGUUAAUAUGUAUUGUAUUGCAUUGUAUUUACUUGUGAUUUUUAUUUUUAUUUUUAAAGCUUUUAUUUAUGUAUACAGAUGCAUUUGAAGUAAGGCUCAUUACAUUCCCAUGAGUAGAUGUAUCUUUUAGGGUUUAUUACUGAAUUCACUCGUAAUCUCAAGUUUAAUAUGUAAGUUUUGCCUAGCCAGUUUUCAAAUCUUGAAUCCGUCACUGAGCACAAGGCUCAAAAGCUCACAUUAUAUGGUUAUACAAGUUUAAUUUAUGCUUGAUAUACAAUUCCUUGGAUCAUGCAAGUCCUUUAAUUGGAAAAUUAUGAAGCAAAUGGCAAGUGCAUAGAAGGUUUCAAACAUAUUAUGCUAGAAUGAUGCCAUUAAGUGACAGUUUUUUAUUUUUAAAUUUUUUUUUAAAAAUCAAAAAUCAAAUUUUCAUUCAAGUCAUGCAAACAUUUAUCACAAUCUCAUCAUAUGUGUUCGGAAAGUGACUUAAAAAUGGGAAAAAAAGACUCAAAUAAAACAGAAAAAAAAAAAGAAGAAGCAAAAUACAAAAUACAAAAAAAUAAGAAAAACCAAAUUUACUUACUAAACUACCUUCCAAAGUUUAGAAAUGAACAUUGUCCUUAAUGUUUAAAAGUUAGGCACAAACAAUGUCAUAGCAACAAAUGAAAGGUACUAAAACAAAUAAAUAUCACAAAAUACAAUAAAUAAAAUACAAUAAAGUUUCAAAAAUAAAAUUAAAAAUUACCAAAAAAAAAAAAAAAAGAUCAAACGGUUAUGCAAAUUGAAACCCAAACCAUUUUGAAACCCAAUCCACUUUGAAGCCCAAACCACAGUGAAAUCCGAAGCCCACACAUUUUUUUUGAAAUUUUUUUUCUUUUAUUGUAAAUUACCAAAUUUAAAUUUUUUUUUUUAAGACGAAGCGUGAUUGGGAACGUGGGUCCCAACAUCUCAUCUCUUGGUAAGUCAUGCGCAAACAAAGCACGAGAGGCGUGUCAACACACAGAGGUGCCGCAGAUCCCUACCGAAAAUUACAAAUUUGCUGAACGCCUUCUUUCAGAAAGGUCACGUCGCGACAAAUUAUUGGGGGAUGGGUAGAAAGCCAAAAGGCUGUGGAGCUCGAGGAACAGGGGAAAAGUCAGAAAUAUGUAGAAUGGUGUUGUGGCUAGGGUUCGUCAAAAUGGACAUCUAGAAAAGGAAACGAGGGAAAAAUAAAAAAAUUCAUAACCACGCAGAAGAGAGAAAGAAAAGAAUAAAAGAGAGAUGGGAGAAAGAAAGAAAUAGAAAGCCGAAAUAAAAUGUCGUCUUCCUUCCCAUGUUCUCUAAAUCUCAACCUACCUCCGCCAACACAUACAUGGGGGUAAGGAGAAGCACCUGUGUGGAUGCCCUACUUUUCUCUCUAGAUCUCAACCUACCUCUGCCAACACAGACAUGGGGGCAAGAAGCGGCACCUGUGUGGGUGCCCUACUUUGCUUCCUCACGAGGACCAGUUACUGUAAACGACUCUUUAAUUACAUAUUGACAACGAUGUUUCGAUUGGAGUUACGAGGAGUUUGGUGAGUCCCAAGGAUUUGUGCGUGCUAGGAACAAGGGAUGACAACUGGGUAGGAGCGAUGCCUUGACAUUGAGCGUGCAAAGUGUGGCAUCUGUUGCAAGUGUGGGGCAUCGCCUCAUUGUGAAAUCCUAUGAGGUGCUGGUGCUAAAAGCUCAGUUGGUGGUAAAGCAGAAUUUGGUUGAAGAUUAUCAGAGUGUUAUAAGGAGAUUGAAAAGGUAUAGGGCAAAGUCGUUGGAAGAGACACGACACCAACUUGAAAUAUUGCAUGACGAGAAUAAAAAGCAAUCAAAGAUGGUAGAUUCUUACUCUAAAGACAUGCAAAGUAGCAGGAGGCCCUAGAGUGAACGGGUAAAUGCAAGCACGGAGAUCACGAAACAAGUUUUGCUCAAACUAAGAGAGUGAUCUUUAGGAGCUUAAGUGAUGAGCCCCAAGAAGCAGUGUGUGAAACCUGAGAGAUGAGAUCCAAAGGGCCAAACAAAUGUCUCCUAUUGUGGAAUCGGGAAGCACUCCAUGAUAUUUGAUAAGACCCGACUCGAAUUCUAUCUUGGAAUCCGUGAUGAACCCUGUGGUUUUUUCGACAUCUAACCAAUGCCGGGCCCACUUACUAAAAUAGUCCCCUUCUUUGCUACCAAGGAAAAAAGGGCUGAGACUUCUAUCGAAAUUUCGAUAAAGUCACACUUGAAAAAAAGAAGAAAAAAAGAAGAAGGUAUUUUUGCAAAUUUUCCACUUGCGAAAAACAACAGAAAAAAGUUCUCAACUACCAGCACACACAAUGCUAAAGGCGCACAGAUUAUAGAAUAGGCCUUCGGCCUUAAAUUCAACCCUACAUGGUCAAUAAUACAACAAAUCUAAGAAAUCUUUAGUUUUACAACCAAAGCAUAAGUUCCAAAGGAAAUUAAACAAGUAAAAGUUCCCUACAACAGUUUGAGGCAUGAGAGUAAGAAGUCUUGGCUCGGUUGCACGGAUCAAGUCAAGCUACUGCCUUAGGGCGCAAAACAGAAAUUGUGAGUGGACAAAAAUAAAGUUUUAACAUACUUUUAAACAAACAUACUAACCCCACCGUUUUGGAAAACGAUGCCAAAACAUGCAGAAAAACCAUUUAUAUAACAUAAUUGACUUUUAAAACCAAGGUAUCCCAUAAUCCCGAUGUAGCAUAUAACACAAACUCAAACUAGACUUUUUUCCCUUCCUAGACCACUCUCUUCUAAGACACAUGCCUUUAAGCACAACAAAGCGAGGAAGGAUCCUCACAAAUAAAUAAGAGAAUAUAUAUAUGUAGGUAUAACCACUACACCAAUACUAGUACAUGGGAAACAAUCCAACACGAGGAUUGUUUGACUAGACCACAUGUAGAAAUCCUCAAUACACAUUUGGCUAGGGAAGAGCAGUCCAACAGGGACUAUUGCUCACCACACAUGCACAGCAGAAUCCUCAAUACUCUGUCUAACACACGUUGACUGCCCCACAAGGGCCUACGAUAACACCCUGUCAAGGGUGCCCGGGUUCCAACAUAUCCAAGUAUCCAUCGUUUCCAAGUAUCCAAGUACCAGGGAGGUACAUAGGGUGGUGCUAAUAGCACUCCAAUAUAACAUAUUCCACAUCCCAACAUAUAUAUCAUAACCAUAUCCCAAAUUCCAAAUAUUCCAAAGUACCCAAUCCCAUAUACAUAGACAGACAUUAAUAGAGUCCAUAACUCAAUACCCAAAUAUUUAAUCGUAGUAUAGAUAUCAGACUCUCAAAAGCAUAUAUUCCAUAACCGAAAAUAUUCACAAACUUCAAAUAUCAAUAUAACAUCUGAUAACCAUUAGAUAUUAGGGAAAUAGCCCUAAAUGACACCCAUUUCAUAAUUUUAAUUAAAAAUACCAUCCCUUCCCAAUUUUUGUACAACUAUCACCUAUAAAUAUAAAAUUAUUGUCCACUUUCUCUUUGGUUCACAAGUUCAGAAAUUUUGGAGAGAAGAAGCUCACACAGCUCUCUCUCUCUCUCUCUCUCUCUCUCUGUGGCACAGCUCUCUUUCUCUUUGGUAUCUGUCUAUCACAGCUCUCUGUGUCUCUCUUGGGCUCUCUCUAUCUUGGUCUCUCUAUCUUGGCUCUCUCGCUCUUGGCUCUCUCGCUCUUGGCUCUCUCUCUCUUGGCUCUCUCUCUCUCUCUCUCUAGGCUCUCUCUCUCUCUCUCUAGCACAACUCUCUGUCUCUCUCUUUGCUCUGUUUCUCAUAGCGCAGCUGUCUCUCUCUAUCUUCGUUAUGUCCCUUUCUCCCCUAUUCGAUCUCUUGCUCUCUGUUUGGAAUCGCGAACCCCUCCCUUUAGCUAUGUCUUCUGAAUAGCUGCUUGCAACCUUGAAGCUCUAGUGGAUUGCCGACCUCGAAAAGGUAGUGUUGAUGGUUAUUUUCUUAAUAUCAGUAUUAUGUGAAAUGGGUUAUAGUUUGAUUGUUUGGGUUUGUGUUAAAUUCGUUUUGGCUUUAAUUUAUUUGGGUUAGGUUUUGUUGAAUAUUCAUGCUCAUUCAUCUGGGUUUGUACCAAUUGCAUUUAGAUUGGUCUGGAUAUGUGAAUCUUGAAACUUGGGAUUUUCUAUUUGAUGUAGUAGAUCUGUAUAGUGUGAUUCUGUUGUGUUCCUCUUAUUUUACAGUCGUAUUGCUGUUAUAUUGCCAUUAUAUUGCCUAUAUAUUGCUGUUAUAUUGUGGUUAUAUUGCUAUUGUAUUGUAUGAUUAUUGUGGUUAUAUUGUGUGAAUGAAAUGUUGUUUUGUCAUGGUCAGAAAUGGAGACAAUUGUUAUUCUCGUGUGCUAUAAUGGAAAAUGGGUCACCUCGAAGAAGAUGUGCAAAUACGAAGGGGGUGACUCAAAAGGCUUAAUAGUUCCACGUACCAUCAAAUUUGCUGAACUGUUGGACCGUGUGCAUCAGAUUGGUAAUAAAAACAGCAGGGAAGACAAGGUUUGCUUAAAAUUCUCAGUUUUGGUGGCCUCGAAUGAGUGGAAGCACAUAAAGAUUGAGGAAGAUGAUGAUGUCAAUUUUUUUAUGAAGUACAAUUCCGAGGUAACACCUUCAAAACUAGCUCCCUUACUCGUGAGUAUAGAAGAUAAAGGACUGACAAAUGAUGUAGUUCAUAGUAUGCAUAUCACGAAAGAUAGUAGUCGGAUGGGUCAUUCUUCAGUUGCCAUUGUUGAAAGCAAUGAAGUAACUUGGAAUAAUACAAAUGUCACUGAUUUGGGAGGUGAAGUAGGGACAGAUUUUAUGGAUAUGAUUGAUUUUAGCGAGGUGGAGGAGAUGCAUGGUGGUGAUAAUGGUACUGAAAGAAAUGAAGUGUCAGUGUACUCUGCCCCUCCUAAUUUGGGGUGCUUGAACACAGCUGCCCAGUUGCCAAAAAUGCGUUUAGGAGGAGAAUCUGAACCCACUUGUCAACAUUAUUGGAGUCAAAUGGGUGAACAAAAUCGAUAUAAUACAGUCGGUGUAAAUGAUGAAGAAGCAUAUUUGGACAGCGGGUUUUCACGAAGCGAUUGGAAUCCGAAAAUUACAGUUGGGCAAAUUUUCUCUAGUAAGAAAGCAUUGUUGACGGAGUUACGGUUGACGGCAUUAAGAGGCCACUUUGAAUUUAAGGUGCAAUUCUCUUGCACUAAGAGGUUGCUUGUGGUUUGUUGUCAACGUCCAUGCCCAUGGCGGGUCCGAGCAUCGAGAAUUGGAGAAUACAGCUUCAUGAUUGUGAGGUGUACAACUGUCCAUGAAUGUGAUUUGAGGUUCGUAAGUGACAAGCAUCGUCAAGCAACCGCAGCACUUGUAGCCACUUCACUUAAAAGUAAGUUGAAGGAUUGUCGGACAAUAUACACACCAAGUGACAUUAUGAAAGAUGUGAAACACAACUUUGGUUGCACCAUCCAUUAUUCGAAAGCUUGGAAAGCAAGGGAGUUAGCUCUAUUGUCCAUUAGAGGAUCAGCGGAGGAGGCAUAUUAUAUCCUUCCAGCUUAUUGCUAUGAAUUGGAGCGUAUGAAUCCCGGCACAAAAACACACAUCCGAACUGAUGAGAACAAUCACUUUGUGUAUUUAUUUAUGGCGGUUGGCGCAUGUAUUAGAGGGUUCCGUUCUUCCAUGCGCCCAGUGAUAGCCGUGGAUGCCACUCAUUUAAAAUCCAAGUACAAGGGUGUUAUGUUUGUAGCAAAUGCAUUCGAUGGUAAUCGAAAUAUAUAUCCUCUUGCUUUUGGGAUCGGGGAUUUGGAGACGGAUGCAUCAUGGCAUUGGUUUUUCACUAAACUUCAUGAAGCCAUUGGUGAGUGUCCCAAUCUUGUUAUUAUUUCUGAUCGCAAUGUUAGCAUAGAGAAUGUGUGGAACAAAAUUUUUCCAACUGCACAACAUGGCAUAUGCUUUUAUCAUAUGAAGGGGAACAUGAAACGCACUUGCAAGUUGAAAAAGCGUGAUCACAUACUUAUGCACUUUGAGAAGGCUGCGAAAUCUUAUUCCAUUGCUGAAUUUGAUUGUCAUUUUCGCAAGAUAAAGCGAAAGGAACAUGUUGCUCAAUAUCUUGAAGACGCAGGGUUACAUAAGUGGUCUAGAGCUCACAUGGAUGGACGCCGCUACAAUGUAAUGACAACAAAUAUUGCGGAGUCAAUCAACUCAGUCCUUAGGUUUACAAGAAUGCUGCCAGUGGUUCAUUUGAUAGGGGAAAUUGUUAAUCUCCUUGUGAAAUGGUUCACCGAACGUCGUGAGUUGGCUUUGAAUUGCACAACAACAUUGUGCCCCAAUUUUGGAGAGAAGAAGUUGAGGAACAGGUUGGAGGAUGUGGCAAGGAUGAAUGUGGUUAAAGUUAAUAAUGCACAGUAUAAUGUUUUGGACGGUGAUAUGGACGACCUCGUAGAUUUGAUGAACAACAGUUGUAGUUGUAGAAAGUUUCAGCUUGAGCAGCUACCUUGCAAGCAUGUAGUUGCAGUUUGCCCGCUUCUUGAAAGUAAGUGUAUACGCAAAGGCUUCUCGGUAUUACACUCGGAAAACCUGGAUGGAUGCUUAUUCGGAUAGCAUCUACCCGGUACACCCUCACGAAUGUGGGAUACUCCUGAAGAUGUUCAAAUCCAAGUGUGCUGCCUCCCAUGGCAAGGGUCAUGUCAGGCAGACGAAAGAAGUUAAGAUUUCCCUCGCAAGGAGAGGGCCACCAUUUGCUCCGUUUACCAGACGUCAAAGGCUUCUCGGUAUUACACUCGGAAAACCUGGAUGGAUGCUUAUUCGGAUAGCAUCUACCCGGUACAACCUCACGGAAUGUGGGAUACUCCUGAAGAUGUUCGAAGUCGAGUUGUGCUGCCUCCCAUGGCAAGGGUCAUGUCAGGCAGACGAAAGAAGUUAAGAAUUCCCUCGCAAGGAGAGGGCACCAUUAGAAGAAAAUGCUCAAGGUGCGGUUCCGCAGGGCACAAUAAAAGCACCUGUAAAAACAAUAUUCCAUUGCGCAAUGUAUCUUAGACAAUAUGAUUUGUGUUGCUUUAGUAGGUCAUGUAAACUCUACUUUUAUUUGUGGUGGGUUUCGUGUUAUGUUGAAUGGGAAUUCUUUUAAAUUUGCAUUAUUUGGGUUGCAUUGCUACAGCAUGCUGUAUUGCUGACAGAUUGCUAUUAUAUUGACCUUUUAUUGUACUGGUAUUGCUUCCAGAUUGCUAUUAUAAUUUGAGUGCGAAAUUAAAGGGACUGGAAUGUAAUUCCAAAUGGAUCCAAAACAUUAAAGUGCUUAGAAUUUCUAUAUUACACAGUUACUGUGAUACUCCGACUAUACCUUCUUUUUUUAUUACAAAUUCGGCCGAUGCAUAGGCCAGAUGUAGGGCAAAUACAAGGUGAAAUGUCCUGUGUGUUUGACUACAUAUACUUGUUGAAGGAGCAUUACGAAUGUCAACCUCAAUAGAUUGCUCAUGUCUUGCCAAGAACACUCUUGAAUUUAUGCAAUGUGCCCAAGCCAGUCCCAAAGCUGGACUCACCCGUCUCCCAUCUGCCUGAUGUGUCCAGGGACUCCAAGUUUCCCAACCUCACCCUAUUCACUCCAUCAUGUGGCCCAAUAAAAUCCACCACUUGGUUGGUGACAACCACCGCCAACCCAAACUUAUUUGCUAAACCCUUCAAUGUCCCAGAUAUGUUGAAGAACAUUUCAGACCGCCGUUUCAAAUCUGCCGGUGUUGUCUGAUACUGUGAUCGGAACAAUGCAGCAAUGGAAUCAAUGACAAUGAGUUUCACAGGUAGGCGGGUGUGAUCAAUGGCAAUAAAUGCUUCUAUGUCUCCAAGGACAUGGAUGAGUUCUUGAGCAUCAUGAACACCAUGAACAUAUAUGUCUUCCAAUGGCUCCAACCUUAUUAAGUUGGGGUAUGAUGCAUGAUAAAGGUUGCCUAGUUGUUGCAAUCGACGAAAUGGGAAGCUGAAUUCUGUGAAUAUGUAGACGGAGGAGCCCCCUAGUCCGCCAUGUGAGGGUGGGAGCUGAGCUCGUACUGUAAGUUGGAGACAAAGCUGCGUCUUCCCAGAACCACUCUCCCCUACUAUUUCUGUUAUGGAGUUGCAGGGUAUCCCACCCCCCAAGCAGUGAUCUAGUAUUAGGCAUCCAAUGGAUAAUUUAGGGGUUGAAAGAGGAAGGAGCAUGAGGUUUUGGGGUGUCAUGUUUGUGUAAUUUAGGGGGGGAUGUGAUCGUGCUACAAGGCAUGCAUUAUAUAUAUAUAUAUAUAGAGUUCAUUUUGAAGGUCUGUACUGUAGGCCAUCUGUCUUUUAAGGGAUGUAUAAUUCAUCCUUUUUCCAGGUUGUAAUUACUUUUUUGUUUAUUUAUUAGUAUUUUUUUGGACCAUAUAAUUUAAAACAUAUUCUGAUGCAGUACGUCCUGUAAUAGGAUCAUAUUGUAACUCUAUCACCACUCUAUUGUAUUGAUAUUGACAUAAUAUUGCCACUAUCCGCAUGUUUAUUGCAUAUUUAUUGAUGCUAUAUCGCCACAGAACUGGAGACCGAUAAACUGUAUACGCACAAAUACAAAAUGAGGCUUCAUCAUUCCAUAAAAUCCUAUUGCCAAACUUACAUAAUACAACAACAGGCCACCCCAUCGUUACAUAAUACAAAAAUACGCCACCUCAUAGUUCCAUUUCCCUACAAAAUGAGGCUUCAUCAUUCCAUAAAAUCCUAUUUCCAAACUUACAUAAUACAACAACAGGCCACCCCAUCGUUACAUAAUACAAAAAUACGCCACCUCAUAGUUCCAUUUCCCUGCUGUUGACAAAUUCGAAGUUGCAUACUCUUCAAGUGCGGUGACCGCGACCCAUGAAAUUCAUGACCCCGGCCACAGUGAUGUUGGCCCAGUUUCCUGCCGGAUCCAUAAUUUUUGCAAAUUUACGAAAUAGUUCGAAUCCCCUUUCCACUUGUUCUUGCUUCAACUUGGCCAUUGCUUCUGAUUCCUUGAAUACCAUAAUUGCAGUGGCAGGGGCAAUUUCAAUUUUUUCUUUCAUUCUCUUUAUAUGUAGGAGAUGCAUGCGCGCAUGAUAACGAGAGCGAAUUGUGCGGUUUUUUUAUGACACCCCAUCUAGCUUGGCCCUCCACAAUUUUUGAAACUAUGUCUGCAUGAAGAUUUUUCCAAAACAUGGUAUUGCCUCGACAUUGCUGUAUGCCAUGGACCAAGUCUGCAGGGAGUGAAUUCGGUGACUUGGCUUCUGUUUCAGUCCCUCCUUCAGUAAUUGAAAGCGUUGGGUUUGGUGUGAGGUUAUGGUCCAUGGUCUUUGAUAUUUAUUGUUGGCUGGUCUACAACUUAAUUGGAACAACAGGGGACUAAAUGCGAUUUGAGUGAAAUCAGUGGGGAAGGUAAUGGCUGUAAGCAGCAGUUAAUGUGAUGGAAGUUUUCUGAGGCAAACAGCUGGGUUGAUUAAUAUAGGCAGGUUUUAAUGACCAAACCAGUAAGUCAGAGAGUUAUUGGCGGGAGGGAUUAGGGGGAGUAAUUAGCGGGAGGGAUUGGCGGGAGUGUUAGGCGGGAUAGUACUGGGCGGGAUAGUAUGGGCGGGAGUUAUUACCCAGGUUGACUUUAUGCCUUUUUGUAAUAUAUUUGUAUGUUGGACGUUCCCAACUUGGUCAUUUUCCCAUUAUGUAUUUGAAAUAAGGGAGUUGCCUAUUUGCCUAAUUCACCAACUCAUUCGAAUUGACCAAUAAUGGUUAUUGUCUUAUUUCUCAUUUCAGCAAUCUCAAUUCGUUUCCAUUUUGCCAUUUUUCAUAUUUUCCUAUUUUCCAUGUGUCAUCCAAUUUUUCAAUUUUUCAUUAUUUUUUCCUAUUCCCUAUUUUCCUAUUGUGCAAUUUCCUAAGUUUCCUUUUGUUCUAUUUCCAGUUUUCCAAUUUUUCAAUGUUCCCAUUUCCCCCCAUUAUGUACUUAAAAAAAGUUGCCUACUUUGCCUAAUUCAGACAGUAAUUAAAAUUGUCCAAUAUGGUAAUUGUCUUAUUUCCCAUUUCCACAAUUUCAAUUCGUUUCCAGUUUUCUGAUUUUCCAUGUAUCCCUGUUUCCUAUUUCCAUUUUUCAAAAUUUAAGUUUUUGUCAAAUUAUCCAAUGUUUUUAUUUCCAAUUCGACUAUUUUCUAAGUUUCCUUUUUUUCCAUUUUCAAAUUUUUCAUUUUGGUAACUGUCCUUUUGUUCAAUUUCCAAUUUUGCUAUUUUCCAAGUUGCCUUAUUUCCUAUUUUUCAUUUAUCCAGUUAUCCAAUAUUCCAUUUUUUCAAUUUUCCAAUUUUCAAUGUCCCAAUUAGCUUAUUUGCCUAUUUUCCAAGUGUCCUUUUUUCUUAUUUACUAUUUCGAAUUUUCGACUUUUCAUGUUUUCAGAGUUUCCUUUAUUUCCUAUUUCCUAUUUUCCUAUUUUCCUAUUUUCCUAUUUUCCUAUUUUCCUAUUUUCCAAGUUUCCUUUUGUCCAAUUUCAAAUUUUCCAAUUUUCCAAGUUGCUUUCUUUUCCAAUUUACAAUUUCCAAAUUUCCUAUUUUCCAAGUGUCCUUUUUUCCUUUUUCCAAUUUUCCUAUUUUCCAACUGUCAUUUGAUCAUAUUGCCUACUUUCCUGUUUCCAAUUUUUCCUUAUUUCCUUUUUCCAAUUUUCCAAUUUUCCAACUUUCCAUUUUUUCAUAUUUCCGAUUUUCCAAUUUUCCAUUUCUUCAAUUUCCAAUUUUCCAAGUUUCCUUAUUUCCCAUAUCCAAGUUUUAAGUUUUCACUUUUCCAAAUUUCCAAUUUUCGUGUUUUGCUAUUUUGUGUUCUGAAAUUCGCAAUAAAUGCUUACUUACAUAGUCCUAUUUUGGGUUCCAAUCCACAAUUUCCUAUUUCCCAUUCAGGUUUGGUUUUUUGUCGUUUGGAAGCCAAUUUUAUUGUUGUUAAUGUCAUGUUGUACUGCUGUAACUUACAGCCAAGGAGUUAAUGGUGUAGUUUGCAAUCCCAUCAAUUGAAUGCACCAACACAAUACCCAAUUUACUUCAUAUCAGUUCGUACAUAUAACUGAACCUUCCUAUAUAGAACUGCAACAGAGGCACCUUCUUAACGGGAAAGGUAAUUAGUCUUACUGAAAGGCAAAUAUUCUCCACUCAAGCUAACCAUAUAGUCGUUUACAACUGGAGACUGAAUGUACCUAUAUUUGUUUUGUUGCAGGCAACAGCUGUGAAUUGUCCCCAGUAAUACUUGAACAUGUCGGAUGUACGCCCUCCUAACGAGCAUGUGAGUUACCCGGGGGACCAGCCGUGGCAUGUGCCAUUCCCAUCUCCACCUCGGACUCCCAAUCAUGAUCCCACUUCAUCUGGAAGUGAAGCUGAGAGUCAUGAUCCGCUUGACAAAAUCUCUGCCGUCAAGCACCACCUCCAAUAUAUGUCAAAGGCAACGGAUUGGUGGGAGAGUAAGUGCGAUAUUCAUGGCCAAGUUAUGGGAAACUUGGCCAACAAGUUGAACAAUGCAUACGCUGGAGAGGUGAAGCAAGCUCUUAAAGCAAAAAGUCGGAGCAAAGAGUUAGAGUCCUUGAAGUUGAAAUUGGAAGACAGAAAGAAAAAUGCCCUCGAAACAUUCACACAAUCUGAAGAAUAUAACCAUGAAAUGGUUGAAUGUUUCAACAACGGCUUGAAAUGUUGCUAGAUUAUGCUUCGGUCAUCUCACCAGACCACAAUUGGAGUGAAAUUGAUGUAGCUGGUGUCUGGCAGGUACUUAAUAUGGGUUCUGAUGGAAUGGCUCAUCAUAGCCUCGUGCAUGCAGCGAGAAGAAAGGACAAAGACAUGGAUCUUUUGAUGGACCUGUAGUAACGGCGAAUGCUACUUCAAUUCAUCUCACCCGAGUACAUGGAUCUUUUGUUGCCUUCAUUUUCCCUUCGCGGGAUAGAUAGUAUUGUUAAGGUUCGAUGGCGAUUUCUUUGGCAUGUGUGAAAUGUUGUCUGUAAUGUGUAUGUAUUGUAUGUAUAUUGCCUUAAUAUUGCCUUCCUAUUGUGCUUAUAUUGCCCUAAUAUUGCCUUCGUAUUGUAUAUUUAUUGUGGCCAUAUUGCGACAUUCUAUGUAAUGAUAAAAUUCCUAUCGUAUUGCCCUUAUAUUACUAUUCCCUUCUAUUAAGUUCAUCUUGUUUCAUCUGGGACUGGUUGUGAUUAGAAUCUUCAUCAUGAAGAUGAUGAUGAGCCUGAGCUUGAGCCUUUGGAAUAUUAUGAGCACUGGAAAAUAAAUCCACAGGCUCAGAAUCAGCAAUUUUGCCUCCUUCAAGAGGCGUCCCAUGCUUGUAUGCAACCCUAGCCUUCUCCCACGGGCUCAAAAUAAAUUGACUGUUAACAAUCAUUCAGAAGAAUGGUAGAAAUAAGCUCCAUUGUGCCAAUCCACGAAGUUCAACAAAUAAAUUGUGUUCGAUACACAGAUGACAUGUAAAACUAACAUUAGCAUUCUCCAAUAAGAAGACUUCUCUUCUUUCCCACCCCUCGUGGAUUGAGAAAGAAAGAAGAGGGACAAAACACACACUACCAAGUUAAGGUGACAUUACAAACCUACAAAAUAUCCUCAUCAAACUUAUAAUGCUCCUUUUUUUCUUCUUUAAAGCAAAACUUCAUUCAAACUGAGAAAACCACGUGCUUUCGAUAAUCACUCCGGAAUUAUUUGCUCAUUAUCUGCAUCGCCUUCUGUCUCAACUUGAGGCUUCGAAGCAGCUUUGGCACCAGGAGGCUGCUUCUUCUUGAUCCCACUCACAAUGUCAUCGAUUCUGAGAAGUAGGCAAGCAGCUUCUAUGGCCGUUUUAAAAGUCUGGGCCUUCACGUUGUAGGCAUCCCAUAUCUGACAUCAUAAUUGCUAUAAAUUAACAGCCUUACCAACAAAAGAAAUUUCAGAUUCAAGACUCCAUGGAUGCUCAAAUAUGAGCAAUGGCGUUCACUUUAGUAAUAACCACGACAACAGCACUUCCCCUCACAUGAGUGCUGUCGAAAUAUAUUGGGAGAAGCUGUAAACUAUAACUACUACUGAAGCAAAUCGACAAUAUCAACCAGAAUAUUGACGCUUAUGCCAUAUCAAUAAAGGGACAUAUAAUGGAUACAUUUGAGAACAAUAAUACAUUAAAAGUCCUAUUUCAGAGCUUUCAGAAAAUAUCAAUCACCCAACAAAUUUGAAUAUUGAGAUAGUGAAGGAAAUAAAAGAGAGCAACAAUAGUAAGCCAAAAAGAUAUCCACCUACCUUUUUCUCUUUCACAUCAGUUAUCACACCAGUGUUACCAUCAAUGCCAAUCCAUGCAUUUUCACCAUUUGCAUGCUAUGGAAAAAAAAUUGUGGUUAGGAUAUCAAUGAUGCAUCAUAUUGUGACCACAAAAAAUAAUCAUGCAUCAGAACGUAUAUAGAAAUGACAAAUCAUAAAAUAAAACAGAACAAAGCCAUACAAAACAGAUUCAAACCUUUGCCUGCAGCGCCGUCAUUGUUCUAAUCACAUUCACCCCGCAAUUCUGAGCCAAGGUACGUGGUAUAGCCUCAAAAGCUAUAGCAGCAGCUUCAUAUGCCCACUGUUUUACCAUCAAAAUACGUGUAGCCAUAAAACUCCAUUAAAAUGCAUGUAAAGUGAAACCACAACUAAUUGUUAAUCUUAAGUAUGUCAAGGAGCAUGUGAAGUGAAGUGACAGCCAGUUUAUUCAUAGAAUUUAGAUUUCUACUUCCACAAGGAGUUAUUCUUCGACGAGUUUUACACAAGAAAUACCGAACUUUUGGAUGAGGAAAGGAGCUUUUACCUUUUCUAUACCUUAUACAGAUGAACUCUUUUGCUUCAAUGUAGCAGAUAGAGUUCACUCUGUAGCACCACCAGCAGGAACAAGUUUCGGAUUCUUGAGGAUGUUUCUUGCUACAGACAUGGCAUCCUAUGACCAGAUAUAAGGGAGUAAAUAACAAAUUUCAGCAGACUAUAUUUAUUCUACGUAAUGGGGACAAAGAAUUAAAACCAUUAUACCUGCAAAUUCCUUUCCACUUCAUUUAAAAUAUCUUUACUACUGUCAUCUGAAGAGUACAGUACAUGCUUUAGGCUCUUUGCAAUGAACAAUGAAUGCAAAAAACUCAUCACCAAUUUUCUUAACCUCAAAUAUCCCAGCGCCUGUACCAACAUCAGACUCUUGCAAUUCAUCUGGUCUGUUAACAAUUACAGCCCCACAAGCCUUGGCAAUUCGGUUAUUAUCUGUUUUCCGCAACCUCCUGAUUGCACUGACGCCGGCCUUGCUAAAAUAAUGGCAUGCCAAGUCACUAAGCCCCUUUUAUGUGAUAACCACAUCUGGUUUAAACUUCAAUAUUUGCACACAUAGCCUCUCGAUGUAUUCUUCUUCCAAUUUUAGCAGGACUCCCCAAUCUUCUUCUUUAAGCAACUCAGCAUUUGUUUGGUUCUCGCCUUUCUUAUAUUCCAGAGGACAAUCAAGAAGAAUGAUGCGUAGGUUGAAAAUCUUUCUUCUCAUUUUUCCAGGUGCAAUAACAUCUUUGUUAAUCAUUACUCGUUUGAGAACCACUGAAUCUUCCAACUGGCCACCAGGAAUCUUCCAACUGGCCACCAGGAACCUUCUCAACCUUUAUGUACUUUUUAAUAUCCAUUCCCGCAGACCCUGGCCAAGGUCCACCCCUACUAUUGUGGUAGUGUCAAGUGCAAUUCAAGGGGGCAGUCAAUUUGGUAUGGUGGCAUAAACAUGUUUACUCCAGGAUUCACCUGUAUGGGACAGAGCUUCCUUCUUCCCUUGUCGUCUGUAGGUUUCAACUUCACACUUUUGAUAUACAUGUAUGACAACUUGUGGCUAUUUAUGUAUGGCCUCCUAACACUUGUUCUGCCAUUCCACAGUAUUAGGCGAAAAUUUUUGAGUUGAAUAACUGGAAAGACUUCAGAUGACAGAAGACAUUUACCUCAUAAAUAUGCCUCCCCCCUUAAACCCUCAAUUGCAAGCUUCAGUCGGUAAUAUUUGAUCUUCAAAGGGUCAACUUUAUCUACUUCAAUCCCAGCACUGAGAUGCUCGAUGAAUUUGACGGUCAAGAUUCCGCAAGACGCACUGUGAGGCCAAUAAGUUGGGAAAUUAGAGGGGGCAGUCAUGUAAAAUUUGGAUAAACUGCACAAAAUUCACAAAGCUUACCCAUCUCGUUGUUAUGGCACAUCUGCAAUGCUGCACACUGAGAAUGGCGUAUACAUCGACAUCGUCAGCCCCUUUUGCUUCACCUCUUCAACCUCAGAAUCAUCAUAAAAGUGCAUAUCAUACAGCACUCGUGCCAGCGUAUCGCUAAUAGGGUGCAGAAGUGUAACCAGCUUUGAACGUUUGGUAAAAUCAACAUAGGAGUCAUACACAGUUGCAGUAUGUCUGACGAAAUCAAUUUCGAUUGCAACCCAGUGAGACCCUUUCAGAUUAUAUGGCAAAUAGACCUUCCGGACUUUUGUCCAAGCUUGGGCAUACCCGUGUUGCCACGUACCACGCACAAAGUGAUGUAUAUUCUUCAGCUUGCUAGGUGGAAGGUCAAUGGUGUUUGAAGCAGCUGCCUUCUUCGAUCCACGUGUCCUGGAAGUCGGUUUGAACGGCUCUAGAAAUUGCUGUAGAAAUUUAAAUGAAGGCAUAUUAGAAAAUCACAACCGACAGCAAAUGAAGCAGUGAAUGUAACAUGGUUACGUGUUUACCUGCAAGCAACAAUCUGCCGUUGUCCAGUCAGUUCCAAAAACCAACGGUUGAGAGAGUUGCCUUUUCCGGAUAAGAAAGGUUGCCAUGUCCAGGUGCUGAAAGUUGACACAUAAUAUUAGCACAAUUUCAUACAACUGUACACUUAAAAAAGGUGAGAAAACAAUUGAAUUAUCGUAAUAAAGUAGAGCUUUGUGUAUCGUUACCCUUGAGCUCAUCCAUUCCGUUUCAUCGACAAGUCUGUAGAAAAAAUCAGCGCCCACUGAAAAUGAUUCCAGCUGCACCUCCGCACUACAAAAGGCAAACUUGCAACGGUUACUUUUGUAGUCAUCUCAUAAAUCUGACUUUGUUGAUGACAAAAAUACACAUGUAUAUUAAACCAAACUCUACAUUCUCUCAUUAGUCUAUGAUUACAUAGUAGAAUAGGAUGAAGAUUGGAAUUCAAAGGUCAAGAAUCGUAACCUGAUAUCGCUUUUCCAGGCACUGCAAAACUGUAUUACUGCCUUCACAUCUUCAAUGGGCAAGGGUUUUGAUGGAUCAAAACAUGGCGGGGUUGCAGUCGCAGCCGACACAGUCAUCGUCCUCUUCUUCCUCAAAGGAUCAGUAAAUGGGCUCAACAAUGUCUGCGCCGGGCACUUAUGUCUGCACCCUUUACCUUCCACUUCUUUUUUUUCAACACUCAAACUACCUUCUUCAACACCAGCCAUAGUAACUGUGGGUAGACUUGGAGGAUUGAUCGAACCUCCCGAUUGCAUACUCUUAGUGAUUUUCCAAUCUUCUAACAGCUUCAUGACUCUUUGGCAGAUUUCGUCAUACCCGGCCACAUCUUCCGGGGUAGGCAGCUUCUCGGAUUCUGCCUGCUUAGCUACUUCAUGCACUUCUAAGUGAGGAACUGAAGCGGCCAUUUUUGCCUCUUCAACUACCAUGGCUGCGAAAGGUUCGGCUCCAUCACCGGGGACUUGUGUUUCCAUUACUGCCGGUUCUGUAGGCGGACUAGCAUUGGCAUGUAAUGGCGACAAGUCAUUGUUGCCUCCUUCAUUCAUAUGAGGACUAUCGAGGUCCUCAUGUCCUUCCCCAGCUUCAUUCACCCCACCAUUUUGUUUUUUCAGCUGCUCUAUCUCCAACUUAAAAUAAUGCUCCAUUGAAGCCACGGUGUUGCACAAAUCCUCCACACACUUUUUAUUUUUUUCGAACUCUUUUUCAGCUUUCAUUGACUCCUUCCGUACCUUGUCUUCCAACUGAUGCACUCUAUCGCGAAGCGCUCGAUUUGAUAGGGCAACUUUGGCCAAUUCAUCCUUUGUCCUUUCAAAGUCACGCUUCAAAGUGCGUAACUCUCUGGACGCGACUGUACCCUGCAUUAAGUUAUAAUGCAUGUGUUACUAUGCAGGCCAAAAAAUAUUGCAACAAUACAGCAGUUAUUUUCCUAUUGUAUUAUGACGUAUAUCUUCGAAAAUAUGUAAUGCUUGCCUUAGAAGACGACGGAAGGCUUGCAGUUUCGUCAAUGUCCUUAUCUUCUUCUUCUACAGAGGCAGAAGUGCCGGUUUUUUUUUUAGCGUCAUCGCCCAACAAGUCAACAAGUUCUUCAGUGUCGUCAGCACUGUCACCCCAAGUCCAAUACGGCUGCUGCUUGUCCAUUACAGAUGGCCGGAGAAGCUGCACAUCAACCUGUAAUUUACACAUACAAUAUACAUAUCAGUAAAGUAAUUAUAUUAUAUUUUCAUAUCCCUAACAUUAUCAUUACAAACUGAACUAACCUCACGGUUCUCGAAUACUUGGCUCAUUAGCUCAUAAAAACGCGGCGAACUAUUGCUCCUCCAAUGUAGUAAAUGAGGGAUGUACGCAUUAUCUUCGUGCACCACCAAAUGUAGUGCAGCCAACGCUGGAAAGACCUCAUACGCCCAAAUCUGGUUUGAGGAAUAAAAGGUCAGUCAUUGUAAACAAAUGCAAUUUAACUUCAACAUCAAUGGACAUUUGCUCACCUGAAGUGCAUAGGCAAAACCUUUGAGGUGGUACUCUCUUGGUCUACCAGUUGCCGUUGUUGUUGGUUUCUUUCCAGAAUUUUUUUUUUUUUUUGCAGUUUUUGUGGGCAGUUUCACUCGCUGGUAAUCUGCAGAAAGUGCCCUCAGCAGUGACGCAUUUGUCUUCGCAUAACACACAGCACCCCAUGGAUACUUCCCAAACUCUUCAAGGUCUUCCGCCAACUUCAAAUAUCGCAUGUCAAUGUGGACAUGUUUUUCACUGCCCAACAGCACAAACACAGCAAAGUAUACGAAUCCGAGCUUCAAUACAUCGUCCUCAUCAUCGCAUUUGAGGAAGGCCUUUUCUAAUUCCAACAGGUUCACAGUUUUAUCGUUGGCAAAGUACUUCCGUUUCAAUGAGCAGUUCUCAUUAGUGGGAAUCGGAAUUAAGGGAAGGUUUCCAAACCUUAGCCCUGUCACGAUGCAAAAUUGCUGCACCGUGAAUUGGAUGACCUUAUUGCCAACAAUGAAUUUGAUCCCGUUCAGUUGGGAAACUGUCUUGGGAUCAGCUUUCCUGAGCAGCAAGCAGUGGACAAUUGGAGAAGUCCAUUUGAGGUCCUCAAUCCGUAGGAGAUGACCAAAACAACUCUGUUCAAACAUUUGCAGCUGCUGUUCAGUGAAUUUCUCCUUGAUCGUAGUGAUUGCGGUCUUCGUAUGGGAUAGCGACAAUGCUUUCCCUUGGAACUUUUGUUCCUCUGCAAUCAUCAACUUCACUUGACCAACCAUAUUUCCCUGCAUGCCAAUAUUAUAAACAAACUUUCAGUCGGUUGCAAUCUAGACAAUAACAAGCAAUAAACAAUCACCACUUAUCAACAGCCUAUUAUAGGAUAUGAAGUGAAAAAAAAAACAACAAAUACAUAUCAUAAACAAAACCCCAGCUAUUUACAACUGACCUCCUCAUUUAAUGGCUCAAAGCCAAGUUUCAAGACACCCAGUACUCUACCACUCCUGCAUAACCCUAAUAUCUAAACACACAUCUCAACACACCAUAUAAUCACACCAUCUAAUCAUGAGACAGCUUCAGCUAGAAUGGGAUUGUGCGGUAGCACAAGCCUAAUUGAGAACAAUUCAACACUAACGAUACAAAUCUAUCUGACUAGAAAGAGUUUUAAAAAACAACAAGACAUCGGGAAACAAUUGAUUCACUUCAAGGUAUAAUGUAGUGGAACAUCCUAUGAAUUAGUGGCAACCGCAAUACUGACUCUACUAUGGCCCUCCUUUCAAAUGUAAGAAAAUGAAAUAAAUUGACACCAUUCCUUCAGUUUUUUCUUAACAAAAUAUCAAAGAUAAAUUCAUAAAUAAAACAUCAAAACUGUAUAAAAUGUUUGUAAGACAUGUACAAUUACAAAAUUAUAAGUUCUCCUCAGAAACAGAGUUCUCUAAGUAUCCAUACACAAACAAGAAAAGCAAAAGCUUAAACAGUUAGCUUAUAGCAAAAUCAUUGUCCCCAUUUCUCUAAACCACACCUGCUGGUGGUAGGUUCCCAUCUUCACUCAUUUCCCGCUUUCUUUUAAGCACACAAUGAUGAAGCACAAAACAGCAAACUUUUAAAGAACUCAUAUUACACCACAUAUGGUUCUAAACAAAACUCAUCCAUAUCCAAUAUGCAAGCCCUAAACUUAGUAAACAGAGUUAUAAAAAAAUAUGUCAAAUUAACAAGCAUUAUUCUCAAACAAAAAGUAUGAUAUGGUUGGGAGUUUACAAGUUCAAAAUGAUAUACACAGGUUAAUUGUCUUGCACUUUUGAUAUCAUCUUCAACAAACAAAAUAGAUACCAAUUAGACUUGUAAGAAGGUUAAAUGCAAUGGUCAUAGAGACUCAUACUAAGCCACCAAAUACUAAUCAAUAACUGCUACAAAAACCAUAAUAAAAUCAUAAUAAAACUAAAAAUACAAUAGCACUAAAAUGCCAACACAACAUCACUACAUUAGCAAUACACUAGCAAAAAAACACAAUACGACAGCAAUAGCAACAGCAACACAAUAGCAGUGCAAGCAUCAGUCCACAAAGAACAAACCCAUUCACUGUUUGAAACAAGGAAUCAUCAUACUAAGAUCAUUUCAGAUAAACCCCAAAACCAAUUUCGUUGAAACCCCUAAACCAAUUUCAGAGAAACCCCUAAACCUUCAACCAAUUUCGAACAAACCCCUAAACUAAUUUCAGCGAAAUCCCUAAACCUUCAACCAAUUUCGAACAAACCCCUCAACCAAUUUCAGAGAAAUGCAUAAACCCUAAACCAACUUCGGAGAAACCCUUAAAGUGUAAGAAAAUGCCGAUGAACAGUACCUGUCGCUGGGAGAGGAAGAGAGAAGAGAGAGUCCGAGCUGAGGGACGAGAGAUUGCGAGCUGAACGACCAGAGAUUCAGAGCAAAGCCACGAGAGAGUGAAGAGAAACAGAGCCGAGAGAAGAGAGAGAUCCGAGAGAAGAGAGAGAGCCGAGAGAAGAGAGAGAGCAAAACAGAGAGAAUAAAAUUUCAGCAAAAGUGAUAUGUGUGCAAUAAGGGCACAAUAAAAAUAUAUUUAUAGGUUAUAGUUCCAAAUUUUUUAAAAAAGGGUGGUAUUUUCAGUUACAAUUAUAAAAAUGGUGGCAUUUAGGGCUAUUUCCCAAGAUAUUAUAACCCAUAAUUAAAACAACAAUAUAACUUCAUAAUCUCAAUAAUCAAAAUAAUCAAAUUUAUAUAUAUGCAAGACAAUCCACUCUUUGAAAAUAAUGAUCAUUUAAAACAAAGUCCACUCACGAAAAGUCCAAAGUUGCUUGACCCUUCGAGGGUCCCACCUGUUGAGUUCGUGGAGCCUGAGUACCUAUUUUAUCGGGAUUCAACUCCUAAGUUUUCGGGAUUCAAAGUGUGUGUGCACGACUACCGGGGAGUUUCUAAAGCCAAUAUAACUCUUUUCAAAAGGUGGAACGACCUCGGAAGACUCACGGUCAACAGGGUGGCCAAACUUCUCAAAUUGGUCAACCCAGCGGGGCCACGACGUUUGAUUUUCUAUCCGAAAGUUCCUACUCAAUCCUAAAGGUACAAAGAACAACAUAUUUGAAAUUGGGACCGAUCAAACGGUCCGAACCUAUCAAACCCGGAUAUCGCAUAAUAGGUGCAAUAUUCUUUCGAUAGUCAAAUGAAAACCAAUUCAAAAUCCAAGCAUACCGUCGUGCUCAGAUUCAGACUAACUAGCCACAUAGUGGUCCACGCGCCGCCACUCUCCGUCGGCAAGGUAUGGUGUCUUGAGAAUUUUCCCAUGAAAACACCUUACAAUACCUAUGCCAACAGAUUCAGACUAACUAGGGGAUCAACUUCUACGCUGAAACCGUAAGCUAAAAUGGGUAUAUUGAACGAUUUGUAAAACCUUGAAAUCAAUCCAAGAUACAUAUACUAACAGCUAGAGCACGUGAAUGGGAUGAAGAACCAUACCUUGGUCAACAGAAACAGCAGCCGGAAUCGCCGAAAAUUGCACGAACACCACCGGCGACCAAACUAGGGUUUCGCUCGGUUCUAGUCCAAAAUCGCGACCAAACUUGGAGUUUCGUAGGUGUAAAUGGGUAUGCACGUGUAGAUGACGAAGAGACGAAUGUUUUGUGGGUCGUGACGUCGCCAAUCUUGAUCGGACGGAGGAGAAAACGCCGACCAAACAAGCCAGUCUAUUUCGGGAAUGAGAAGAGGGUUGCGCGAGCAAGGAGAGGGUUGCACGAGCUAGGAGAGAGAGAUCUGAUAGCUCAUUUUAAAACCCAACUUUGAAAAAAUUAUGAUUGUGCCACUGCACUUCCAUAGACCACAAAUUCUUCGUUAAAUCUCUGAUUUGGGCCUACUACGUGUCUUCGAACUCGUGAGAGCUAGCUCUACGCAAUGGUGCCACUCAUUUUCCCAAAAUCCUUCAUAAUCGAAAAGUGACUAAAGUGACCCUACCCCUAAGGGAAAAAUUGUAAAUUCAAAAAUAAAAAUAAAUUUAAUAAAAUGAUUAAAUUGGGUCGAGAUGUUACAAUAUUGUUGUUGUUGUUUUUCUUUAAUUAAUGUAGCCCCCUGGUUCCUCCUCUCUUUUUUUUAAUUAAUUUUUUUUUUGUGUAAAUUUUUUAUUUUAUUUUAUAAUUUUAGCGACACUAAGAAAGAUACCAACUCACCACACAACUUAAAAACAUAGACUAACUUAUAAGAAAAUAACUAUAAAAACAAAAAACAAAAAAAAUCACAAAUUUUAAUUUUAAAUAUAUAUUUUCUUACAAGCAAAAACAUUUUUAAAAAACAAACUUAAAUUUUUAUUUAAGUUAAACUUUAUAUAUAUAAAUUUAUUUUAUGGACACAUAAAUAUACAAGCAACUCAAGGAUGACUAGUUAAGGGCCUCUGAAAACACAGCCAAUGGUUCCGGGAAGGUUGGAGAGGUCAAAAUUGUCUUGCUUAAAACCCAAACCUUCUUAGACACCAAAGGUGUCGCCGAAGAACUCCUAGACACUAUAUUGACAGAGGUAGCUCGUUCGGUUUACCAAAAAUCGGCUCAUAUGACACAUUAAAUAUUUAUAUUUAUAUUAAUUUUAAUUUUAAUUUUAAAGAAACAAAAACUUAAAAUUACUAAAAUAAUAAUAACAAAACAUGCAAAGAGAAAAUAAAAGAAAAGAAAAUAAGAAUUAUUGUAUCACUCGUGUAUCACCAUGUAAUCACUGUGGUAUCACCCGUUUAUCACGUUUUAGAGAUGAAUUUAUGAACUUUCUAUGUUUUCCAGUUUCGACCUCUGUCCCGUUUUGGACCAAUAACUUUCAAACCGUUAGUCCAGAUUUUAUGUUCAUUAUAUGGUUGGAAUCAACAUAACAAAAUGAAAUACUCAACCUGGACUGAAUGGCAAAAUUAGUUAUAGAAGUGUACAUAAUUCAUUAAAACGAACACUCAAAGUUUCGACACAAUAAAAAAAAUUCCCACCAAGAACUUAAAUGAAACAUUGUCCUUAAUGUUGAAAAGAGUAAAAUUAUGCAAUGUAUCAUAAGGCCAAGGGAAGAAACAAAACAAAAUAAAAUUAAAACAAAAACUUAAAUUACUAAAAACUAAACAAGCAAAGAGGAAUGAUUGGAAUACUCCCCUUCGAAGCGAUUAGGGCGAGCAUGGAAGCAUUUGGAGGUCACGAUUUCUCCCAAUACUCAGCACUUCCCUUCUUUGUUUUGUUACUAUUCCAGUUAUAUCUUUCUUAGAUUGUAGAUUAAUAAUUGUUUUUGAGGUGGUUUUGGUAGUGUCUUAUUCUUGGUGGUAUAUUUUGUUACGGAAUAAUAAUGGCAUCGUAGUUUCUAUUUUUUAAUUGAGUUUUUAUUUUUAUUUUUUAUGUAACAAUUAUAGUUAUAUUUUUGUUAGAUCGUAGAAUCAUUGUUUUUUAAGUAGUUCUAAUAGUGUCUAUUUUUUUGGUAUUAAAGUUCUGGUGGUGUCUUAGCGUUGCAAAUAUGUUUAGUAUGAAAUAUAAAUUGCUUCGUCAUUUCUGUUUUUAACUGUGGGUAGGGUUUUGCCAUUCAAAGCUUAGGGAUUCUAAAUCUUGGAGACUAAACAGUUAGCAACACAUGAAAUUUAAACAUUAAAGAACAACUAAUUAUAUAAUCUGAAGGAGGGUAGAUUCGGUGACUGCAAUGCAACUAAUUAUACAACUAAUUAUAUAAUUAAAGAACAACUAAUUAUCUAAUCUUAAAGAACAACUAAUUAUGUAAACAGUUAGCAACAUAUGAAAUUUAAACAUCUUUUAAAUUUAAACAUAAGCAUUUCCAUUGCAUUUGUUCAAUGUAUCUCUUCCAUCUUUUAAUUUGGCUGAAAGACACAACACUUAAUUAGACAAUGAAAAGCACGUGGUGGAGCAGUUUCAAUAAAUGAGGGUGCGUUCCAUCAACAAUGAUGCGCUGAACCUCCAUACUUGAAGCUUAGUGAGAAAAUAUAUUAGAAACUACAAAGGUUUGGAGUGUUGGGCAGGGCCUUGCAAAAGAUGUCGGUCCACGUGAGAGUGAGGGAGUCAGUGGUGGUGAAGCCAGAGGAGGAAACGCCAAAACAGGCGCUGUGGAUAUCGCACUUGGAUAUCGUGAUUUCGGCAACUCACCUUGGAAGUGUUUACUUCUACAGGAGGCCAAACGUUCAAAACGGCGCACAUCAUCUUCAAAACAACUGUGUCUUGGAUUCGGAGGUGCUCAAGUGCUCCCUUGCCAAGGCCCUCGUGCCCUUCUACCCCUUGGCCGGCCGCCUGAAGCUGAACGAUGAGGGACGUAUCGAGAUCGAUUGCAAUGGAGAGGGAGUGCUGUUUGUUGUGGCGGAGACUGACUCGGUCCUUGAUGAGUUCGGGGACUUUGCGCCGACUCUUGAGUUCCGGAAGCUCGUUCCUGCUGUUGAUUAUUCCGCUGGGAUAUCCUCUUAUCCCCUCUUGGUCGUACAGGUAUUCAGAGAAAGAGAGGAGACAUUUUUUCACUCCCUUUCUUUUAUUUCUCUUGCUCAUAAUAUCAUCCGGGACAAUUCUUGAACCUGAUAUGACUUAAACUUACAAAGUAUGGUUCUGGUUUUACUCUGUUUAUGCAUCAGGUCACAUACUUCAAAUGUGGUGGAUUGUCACUUGGUGUUGGCCUGGAACAUCGUGUAGCAGAUGGCUUUUCUGGUCUCCACUUUGUAAAUACAUGGUCUGAUAUCGCUCGAGGUCUUGACCUUACAAUUCCACCAUUCAUCGACAGGACAUUACUUCGUGCCCGAGACCCACCACAGCCUGCAUUCGAUCACAUUGAAUACCAACCUGAUCCACCCAUUAAAACCGGUACAAAAGCUGUAGGUGAUGAGAGCGCAACGGUAUCCAUUUUUAGAUUGACACGGGAGCAGCUCAACAUCUUGAAAGCCAAGUCUAAGGAAGAUGGGAACACAAUCAACUAUACCACAUAUGAGAUGUUGGCAGGUCAUAUUUGGAGAUGCGCAUCCGUGGCACGUGAACUUCCUGAUGAUCAGGAGACCAAACUACAUAUUGCAGUUGAUGGAAGGUCCAGACUGCAACCCCCCCUCCCUCCUGGUUUCUUCGGCAACGUGGUUUUUUCAGGCGCACCAAUUGCUGCAGCAGGGGAUAUCAAAUCAAAACCAACAUGGUAUGCUGCAAGCCGUAUUCAUGAUGCUGUUGUGCGUAUGGACAACAAUUAUCUUAGAUCAGCGCUGGACUAUCUUGAACUUCAGCCUGACCUGUUACCCCAUGUUCGCGGAGCUCAUACUUUUAGGUGCCCGAGACUUGCAAUAACUAAUUGGUCUAGGCUGCCGAUCUAUGAUGCUGAUUUCGGUUGGGGUCGACCUACUUUCAUGGGGCCUGGUGGAAUUGGAUAUGAGGGGUUGGCUUUUGUGUUACCAAGUGCAACAAAUGAUGGAAGUUUAUCAGUGGUCAUUUCUCUGCAAUCUCAACGUAUGAAAUCAUUCUCCAAGUUGUUGUAUGAGAUAUAAGGAAAUGAAAUGCGUCGAAUGGGAGCAAUACGUUGAACAUACUUUGGGCUUCUGUGUGUGUCCUCCGAGUUCUGGGACUUUUCAUUGACUGUGGC